GACCCAAAGCAAGAGCAUAUCUCAACAAGUCUUCAAUCCUAGUGUCACGACGCAGUAAACUGCAAAGUAGGAAAAUCUGCUUGAGGUCUUCACUAGAUAAAUGAUCGAUACUGUACUUGAUAGCCGAAUAUACCUUAUCAGAUAUAUCAUCCGAGCUUUUUUCUAAGCAAGGCCUCUGUAAUUGUUGUAAAGCAUCCCUCCAAAAAAAUAAAGGCUUAUUUCGCAACGACCUUGCAACAGUUGCAAGGGCGAGUGGUAAUUUUGCACAUUUCUUGGCUACCUCAAUUGCUGUAGAUCGCAGCUCCUCAUCACUUUCAACAAUGUCCCCGGCCAUCUUCUUAAAGAACUCCCAAGCUUCUUCGCCAUCUAAAUCACCAAUUGCAAAGGUCUUUGUAGCAUCCUCCCCGUUGUUUAGAACAUUUUGAUAUCUUGAGGUCAACAGUAUUUUGCAUCCUUUGUAUUGACUUCCAAAUGGAAUUCCGACUUCCUUUAGAUCCAGUUUCUUCCAAAGAUCAUCCAAAAUAAUAAGAACAUUUUUCUCAUUCUUUAACCUUUCAUACAAUUUACGGGCUCUUACACCCGGACUGUUUUCUUCAAGCUUCAAGCGCAAUGAGUAUGCUAUUUGAUUUUGGAUUUCUGUUGGUGCAACAAUAGAAUCAAGCAGACUCAGCAAGUAUCUUGUCGAGCAAGCCUCGAAACUUGCUGAGCAAACAAACAAUUUCGAGUUAAAGAAAGAAGAAAAUAAGCUGGGGAAAUUUGAGAGAAUAUUGAUGAACAAAACUGAUUUGAUUCAUGCAAAAAAACAAUGGCUUGAAGCCAGUACAUAACUCAAGCAUAAGGCUUGUCAAAAUCAACAAGUAAUUACCUACCUCCACUAAUUACAUAGAAACUUGAAAUCUUAGCUUGUAAACUUAUACAAAAGUGUGUUUACAGCUCAUACAUAAGCUAAUUACAUCAAUCAGAAAGCUAACUUAGUUAGAAAUGAACUAACACUCAUUUCAUCAACUAAAUAUAACAAAAUGAACAAAAUGAGCUUGCAUCAGCAGCCCUUGCAUCUGUUCCAGCUUUGCUUGGUCUUCAUGGCCUGUAUGGAAUCGAGUGUUGGCUUCAUGCUGACCAACUUCAACAAUUUCCUUAAUGUCAGCAUUUUGACGUGCAAUUACCGUAACUACUGAAUCGAAUAACUUAACCUCACGGAGUUGUCUCUCAACUUCGUUGACCAGCCAUGAUUUGCCCACACCAGGCAUCCCGUACACUCCAAUCAUGCUUGUUGUUGCAUCUUUCAGUAACUCCAUGAUAUCAUGGAAAACCUCCUCUCUUGAUUGAAAGGUCUCAAAGUCUGUAUGGAUUAUGGGUUCAGCAACAUAAGGGCAUCCCACGCGCUCAAAACGGCCAUCGUCGAUAAGCUUUUUAAAAUUGGCAGCAUCUUCUUCUGCUUUCUUGCUAAGCUGGUAGCGAGACUUGAUGUUGGGACACAAGCCAAAGAAGCACUUGGUCUUUGCUUUGACUUCAAGAUCGUUCACUUUCUUCGCCUCUUCAGUGAAGAUCUCAUCCACUUUGUGGCGCCAUUCCUGGACAUUGGUUUUAAUAUUCUCCAAGUUCGCUAGUGCAAAAGCAACAUCUUCCUGCACACUUGUUCUUUCUAUAUUCAAGUUCUUUUUUUCCUUCUCGAACUCGGCAACAAAUUUCUGGUAGAAGAUUACAUAUCUAAUAUGACGUAUAGCUUGGCGGAAGAUACCUUUCGCAGCAGCGGUUGUGACCUCGUGAGCAGCACCAGUAAAUAUUGUAUCCAUUUUUUUUUUUUUUUUUGGCUUUGGGGUUAGAGAUGACAGUCAGAAAGAGUAAGAAACAAAAUAGAAAAACGAAAGAAGGAAGCAAGAAGAAAAAAAAAUGAUGUGAAGAAGCCAAUAGCCGAUAAAUGGAAAUGCUGAAAGAAAACAGAGAAUGGAUGUGGGUAUUGUCUAGGGUAAGUGUUGGAUCGUAUAAAUAGGUUUUGAAGUUUGAACCUUAUUUUGUUUUUGGCUUCUCCUAUAUCUAAUACCUUGUUAAACAACUGAGGAGGUUGGCCACUUGUUCAAUAACAAAUCAUUUGUAUCAUGAUAAUUGAUAUGGUAUUGUUUCGGUUCUACUCUAAACUGUAUUAAGGAUGAUAUAAAUAAUUGAGGAGGUUGGCCACUUGUUCAAUAAUUGAGGAGGUUGACCAUGCGGGUCUCAGGGAAUACCAUGUGACGGAAAACCAUUUGUAUUAUCAUAAUUGAUAUCGUAUUCUUCGGGUCAAAACUUUAGUGUGUUUGAGCUUACUUUAGUUAAUAUUGGUGUACUUGUAUUAAAUUAUAAAGUCAAAAGUUAAAGUUGAAAUAUAUUUUAUACACUUGUUUGACAUUUAGUUUUUCUAUUCUUACAAUUAGGAAUUUAAAAAUGUAGCAUUAAAAUUCUUCUAUUCAAUUAUAUAGUAACAUUUAUAAAUUAAAAAAAUUACUUAUUAGCUAUUUUACAAUAAAAAAAUAUUAUAAAUAUUGAUUAAGGUUUUCCUAAAAAACACACAUUCAACUUCAUGAUAAAAAAAAUUUGUUUGAAUAAUGUUUUUAGUAAAAAUUGACAUCAAUGUUUCGAUUGACAUAGUUAACAAUAUUAAUUAUUUAGACUAAUAACAUGAUAACGUGAAAUGACCAAACUAUGUUAAAAACUAAAAUGUAUAUGUGACACUCCAUAUCCGACUCAACCAUCUAGUCCGAUUCAUCUAACCACUUGUACUGAUACAAAUUUACUAAGAUCCGAAAAUGAACCCAAAACACAUCUAAUUUAGCUCAAAAGAAUACCAUUUCAAUUCUAAGUAUUAUGAAACACAAAAUACUUGUUUCAAACCUCAUAUUUUCCUAUUUAAACACAUCAAACACAUGGUUAUUAUCAUGGUCACAAUAGUUCCAAUUUCAAAUAUCAAUUUCACCUAUAAAGAAUGAAUGCAACCAACGAAACAGUGCAAAAUCAUUAACUUAAGAUCAUGCAUCUCAACAUAAUCACAUAUUAAUCAUAUCAUCACAUUGUUUCUAUGCUUAUAGAAUAUUCUUAUAUUACAGAUUUCAAGCAUAGAAAAUGAUAAAUACUAAAAGUAAUAUGUUUUAAUCAUAUUAUUAAUGCGAUUUUAGGUGAUUAUUCGAUGUUAAAGGUGAAUUUUAUGUUCCUAAUUUUCUAAAAUCAUAUUUUGAUACUUAAUAAAACAUUUGGGAGGAAAACAACGAAAAUAAAAAAAAAAUCAGAACAAGUUACAAGUGCCACAUGGGCAAAAGAAAUUUUCUUUAGAAUCUCUAAAUUGAUGAACAUAUUCUCUACAAUCUCCGCUUCAUCUUUUCUUUUUGAUGUCUAAAGAAAUUUAAGAAAAAAUGAUGAAAAUAUGAAUUUUUGGCAAAAUACUAAAUUGUCUAAAAUUUAAAGUUUUACCUCUACCCCAUGAACGUGACAAGAAUCACUUAUAUAGAAGACAAAGAAGUUUCUUCAUUUUCUUAUAAAAAUAUCUCAUUAUUUUUUUAUUGAAUAAAACAUUAAAAUAUCUUAUAAUAAAAUAUUAAUUAAAUAAUAAACCAAUCAAUUUUUAACACUUUCCACGUUUAAUCAUUACACCAUAUAAUUAUCUAAUUUUUGUAAUGAUAAUUUUACCUCUCAUGUUUUUUCAAAUUUCAUCCUUAAUCACAACUUACUUUUAGAAAAAUUGUGACUUACUCCCUCGCAUUUAUUCUCUUAUUUAAUUUGGUUCCUACUUACCAAUUUCCCAUCACAAGAAAUUGGUUCACUUUUGGUCCUUCAAUUUUUCUUGUUUUUACACCUCAACCAUUUGAAUUCUAAAUAAUUAUACUAGUUUCUCAAACUUUUCACAUCUUUACAAUCUAAUUCUUGCCGUAAAUUAACAUAUUACAUCAUACCUCUUAAUUCAAAAUUGUCCUUGGCAUCACUCAACCUUUUUCUUUUCUUUUCUUUAUAAUAUAUCGAUUUUAAGGGUGUUACGUUCUAAAAAAAGGGAUUAUAUUAAAAACUAUAAGUAAUAAUUGUAAAAGUAAAUGUAUGCACAAUGUUAUUUAUUAAAAAAUUAUUCAUUAUUUGAAAAAUUAAAUUACAGUAAUUUAUUACUUGCGCAUAUAUGUAUUAAAUGGAAAAAGGAACUUAGCCUAAACUAAAAUUGUCAAUGUAUUCAUGUGUAUUUUAAUUUGUUGACAUAUAAAAACUUUUUCUUUUAAAAAAUAUUUAAAAUUUAUUUAAUUUAUAUAUAUUGUUUAACUUUUUUAAUAUUAUUUUUAAAAUAUUUCAGGAAUGGUUGGGAAAAUGAUAAAAAUGUUUGAACAAGAGAAUGUUAUUGUUUCAAAAUCCAAAUCAGACUUUGAAACAUCAAUGGCUACAUACAUAUUGUAAGAGGCCUAAUUUUGUUCGGGCCCUAAACCGAAACCAAAAAUAAAAAUAAAAAUUAACAGUCCCAAAGCUCAAUUACAUGUCAAGCUUAAAACAAAAACCUUAACUCAAAGUUACAAGCCCAAUGGCUCAAAACACUUAAAAAUUUUUAGAAAACAAAAAAACCCUAGGUCCUUUUGCGCCGCUUAUCCCUUAGCACGUGCACCGCCCAUUCUGCCACCGUUUCACCAAAAUAGCCAAAGGUCUGCCUCCCUGUCGCCGUUAACCGCAUUAGUACCUGCAAGAAAAGAGAAAGAAAAAGGACCAUGGAAGCAAAAAAAAAAAGCAAAGAACAGUGGCUAAAUAGUUGCAAAAAUAGUAAAAUAUAACAUGUAAAUUGGCUAUAAAAGCCGCAACAAUCCAUGUAAUUUAGGGUAGAAAAAACGAGCAAUCGAAACAAAGGAGAAAGAAAAAUUCUAAAAGGGUGGUCUUUUUUCUUACACUAUUUUAUAUUUUUUUUGUAAAUAAACAUAAAAUAAAAAAUGAGUUGAAAACUUACUGUGCUCUUCACAUUUUGCCAUAGUGAGUGUCCGAGGACCGUCAUCUCUAAUGAAAGAUGAUAUCUUUCGGUCUCGGGGAAUCAAACGGCACAAAAAGCAGCAAUUUUUGCACUUUUCAGCCACCGUGGAUGGCGGAGCCGUCGCCGGCGACCGGUUGCCGCCACGGCGGCCCAAUGGCCAGCCUGAGAAGGCUAAUGAGAGAAAAUAGAAAGGGGUUUUCUAGUUUUUUUUUUUUUUUGAAAAGGUGUUUGAAAUGAUAUUUUUUGAAAACUUUUUGGUAUUUAUAGGGACUUACACAACAUCAUUUUGGGCUUGACCCUUAGAUUCCCAAAACAACGUCGUUUUGAAUUACAACCUGAAUUCGGCUCGACCUUUUAAUAGGAUCCACGUGCUUUUAAAAAAUUACAUAAUUGCACCUUUGGUCCUUCCGCUUUUGCGGCUUGUUUGAAUCUAGUCAUGUCUUAUGUUUUGUUUUUUUGCCACUUGAUUCUACUUUACUUUCAUUUUGGUCCUCGGACCAUUUCAAGGGAUGGGUACAUGAAACGGCGUCGUUUCAGUCUACCCAAUAUCCGACCCGAACCACCCUAGGAUCCGCGUGUUUUUUCUUGGGGGAUAUUUGCGUUUUCAGUUCUUCUGCCUUUUAAGUUAUUUUAAUUAGGUCCUAAUUCCAUUUAUUAUUAUUUUUAAAAAUUAUACCAUUUACUUUCAAACCUUUUCAAAUUUGGUCCUCAGAUCGUUGACCCCUCGGGGAAGGACGCACGUCUAGGAGUUUUGGGAUAUUUUCCCAUUUAGCCCCGUUAUCUUUAGUGUGUUAUGUUUUAGUCCUUUUUAGUUUUGUUGUUUAUUUGUAAUUUAUAUUCCUUAAUUUCAUUCUGAUUUCAAAUUGAUCCUUGAUUCAUUUAACUUCAAUUUUUAAAAAAAAUUGUUUUAUUUACUAUUUAUUUAUUUAUUAUUUCUUUAAUCUUUUUUAAUAAUUAAAUUUCAUUUAUUUAUAUUCCUUUUAUGUAAUUUUAUAUUUAAUUAUCAUUGUUAUUAUUCUUAUUAUUAUUAUCAUUAUUAUUUAUUUUUCCUUUAUUAUUUAAUUAGUAUUAGAAUAGUAAUUAAGGUGCUUAUCGCCAUGCUAUUAUUAGUGCAAUUUUAUUGUCAUUAUCUCUUUUAGUUUUUUGUGUGUUCUUGUUAUUUUUUUAUUUUUUUUAUUGCUUUUAUAUUCUGACACUUUCAUGUCUACUAUUUGUUAAUCAUUCAUUUUUAUUUUUUACCUUAUUUAUUUUGUUAUUCUUAUGAUUUGAUUAUUAAUGUUAUUAUUGUUAAUUACAUUAGUAGUACUAUAGUAUUCCUCAUUUACUUAUUAUAUAUUAUUUUAAUGUUCUUGUAACACCCCCUAACCCCAAACCGUCACCGGAACAAGGUUAUGGAGCAUUACCAGACAUAUCGGAUAACUUAUAACUAAUUCACAAUUAAAUAACAGAUAUAGCAUACUUGUAUCAAAUAUGUCAUAUUAGUUCCAUUUCAUACUUAUAACCAAUUUAAACAUCAUUCUACAACCGUAAUAACAAAACUUUUAUUCUUAACCUAUACAUCACCUAGGUACAUGCCACAUUAUCAAACAAAGGUACAUCACUAAAAUUUCUCUGAGUUCGGGAUUGCUCUGGAUGCUGGACCGGACACUGGCUUUCUACUAACCUGCGCACGGAGACAACCGCACGCUGAGUAUAGAAAUACUCAGUGAUAUUACCAUAAUUCAAAUUAAUAACAUUAAUCGAUAAAUUAUAUACAUUUAAAUUUUAUGUCUACAAUUAUUCAAUACAUUUUCUCGUACUUUAAAUCAACCUGAUAAUUAAAAACAAUAAGCAAUAUUUCAAAUCUUGUAUUUAGUUGUAUUCAUACCUUAUUUCACUAUCUCAAUUCUAUUGGAUUUUUCGACAUCUCAUUCUAAUAAUUCAUUCCAAUUCAUACAAAUUCAAUCAAUUUAUCAACUCAUUCAUUAUCAUUUCUAUUUAUAUUCAAUUUAUACUUUUCAAUCUUUUAAUAAUCAAAUUAAACAUUUAGACCAACAUGUUUCAAUAAUAAUAAUAACUAAUUUUAUAAAAUUUGUAUUCAAAUUAACUCAUACACUAUUUCUUAAUUCAAUUUAUACCAUUAAUCUUUCAAUAAACAUUUAAUACAUUAAAUCAACUUGUUUCAACAACAGUAAUAAUAAUAACUAUCUUUCAAUUCGAUUCGUUCAUUUUUAAAUCAAUUUACACAUAUAAUCUUUUAACACUCAAUUUAUACAUUAAAUCCAUAAAUAAAUUUCAAUAACUUGUAUUCAAUUAAAUUCACAUAUUAUUUCACUAUUUCAAAUUAUUUUAUUUUCACUUCUCAUUUCUCAACAAUAGCUAUUUUAAUUUGCUUUUCUUCACUUAGAUUUUUACAUUAUCUCAUACUACCAAAACCAGUUCAUGAACUAUAUCAUUAUCUAUUUCUCGAACCCAUGGUUCAUACAUUUCAUUACAAUUAUCACUACUAAUAAACAAUUCAAUCUUUUAAUAUUAUCAAUUAUUUAUAUAUAUAAAUAUCAUUCUUAUUUCUUUAUUUCAAAAUUUCACUUUUCACAUAUACUAUAUCAUUCGAGAUUAGUUUUAUCAGUAAUUNNNNNNNNNNNNNNNNNNNNNNNNNNNNNNNNNNNNNNNNNNNNNNNNNNNNNNNNNNNNNNNNNNNNNNNNNNNNNNNNNNNNNNNNNNNNNNNNNNNNCUAUUAACUUGACUCGGACUCUGACAGAUACGCGGAUUCCACCCAAACACACCAGAAUAUCCAACCAAAACACACUUGAAAUAAAUAUAAACCCUCCAUAACACACCGAUAUAUCAUAUCCUCCCAAACACACCAAUAAGGCAUUAAAUGCCUCUUCGGAUAAACCGAAGCAUAUAAUAACAUAAUCAUCUUCUCGGCCGAGCUACAAAUCUCCUCAUCACAUCACAAAUCCUAUGGCAUGCCAUUUGUAUCCAAUCUAGUCCGAUAAGUUAAUAGAGUAUUCGAAUCACAUUUCAAUUCAAUCACUUUCUCAUACUUUCAAUUCCAAUUUAAUCACAAUUUAAUUCAAUACAUUUUUCACCUUUCAAUCAGUAUACCAUCAAAUGCUCAUACCUAUUCAUACUUCAUUUUAAUUUCAUUCAAUUCACAUACAAUUCAAUAUCAUUUAAUUCAAUAUCGAUAUUCACCUUAUUUUUAUUUACUAAACAUAUUAUUUAAAAUUCACCAAUAAUUAAUAUUAAUAAAUUCAAUACCAUAUGUAAUUUUCAUUUAAUUCAAUCAUGAUUCUUACCUCAAUUUGCUUAUCAUGUAUAUUAAUUUAAAUUUUAACAAUUAAUAAUUAAAUUCGAAUUAUGGUAAUACUAACCGUAAAUUUUCUCGAGUCACUCCUUGUUCACCUUCUCCUUUCCUUUCUCGGACAAUGACUCUUGCACGACAUUAGCUACGUAAUUAAACAAUUAAAAAUCAUUAAUACACAAUUUCAUUAAAAUAUUUUCAUUUAUGCCUAAACUUUACCUAAAUUCUAAUUUAAUCUCUUAUCAAUACUAAUUUUAUUUUUCCAAUCUAACUCCAUAUUCUCUCUUAAUUCUUACUAUAAAUUCACUUUAACUCUUCAUUUUCACCAUAAUCCAUAAUUUCAAAAUUCUCUCAAUUUAGUCCCUAUUAAUUCAAAGCCUAUAAUUUAUUUUACAAAUCAACCUUUUACUAACUUCUAACUUGAAAUUUAGUCAAUUUAACCCCUAAUCCUUUCAUUUAUUCAACAUAAUCAAUGUCUAGAAAUAUAAUAACUUCCCAAAUUUCAACAUAAAUCCAAUAAUACUUUGUUCUAGGAUACCAAAAACUAAAAAAUUAUAAGAAAAUGACUUAAUUUAACUUACCAAUUAAGCUUGAAAUCUUGAAAUCCCAAAUUUUCUUCCUUUCCUUCCCUUUUUUCUUUUUCUUUCCUUUCUCCCCUCUUUUGGUUUGCCUACUCUGUUUCCAUUUCUCUUUUUCUAUCUUUUAUUUCUUUUAUUUAAUUAGUUUAAUAUAAUAACAAUAAAAUAAUAAUAUAAUAUUACUUACUUAAAUAAUAAGUAAAUAUGUAAUCAUUACUAAUAUAUGUACUUCAUUUUUCCACAUGUCAUCAUAUGCACCAUACAUUUGUCAACAAUUUUUGUUUAUUUAAAAUAUAAUAAUAUAAUAUAAUAUAAUAUAAUUUACAAUAUAAUAAAAUAAUAAUAUACUUUAAAAAAAAUCUCAGAUUUUAUCAUGCAUAUGCCGCCUCAUUUAUGGGACUUGGCAUAUUUACCUAUUUAGUCCUUUUAACUUUUCUUUAAUCUAUAAUUAAACUUUUACCCCUAUUGCAAUUUAGUCCUUUUUAAUCAAUUAACCAUCGGAACAUUAAAAUUUCUUAACAAAACUUUAAUACUACCUUAAUGACACUCCGUAAAUAUUUAUAAAAAUAUUUACGACUUAGUUUAUAAUAUCUAAGUCUCGAUACCUCGUUUUUGACCCAAUUACCUAAUAAUUUCUUUUAAAUCACAAAAUUCACUAAUUCUAAAAUAUUUCUAAAAUCACACUUAACUUAUAAUUAUUAAUUAAUAAUUUUUUCUAACUUUUUCAUCAAAUUUAGUGAUCUUAAAUCAUUAUUCUGACACUACUGAAAAUUGGGCUGUUACAGUUCUACUUAUAUAGUCACUUAACAUUAUUUCAUUAUCACUAUCUCAUACAUUAUGUUUAAAUAAUUACUCGUUUUUGUACUGUGCCCAACAAGUUAAAUGUACAUUACCUUAAACGUUAUGUUCAUCAUCGUACGAUGCAUAAAAUUUUUUAAAUCAAGGUAAUAUACAUUAUUUUAGAAUUAGAAAAGUCGUGUUCCUAACUUAUGGAAUAUGGCUUCUUUCUAAAACCGAGAUAGUCAAAUAUUUACUUUAAAAUAAAUAAAAAAUGAGAUUUAAGUAACGAUCAAUUGGUGUUUAUUCUCGUUUUCGAGGAAUUAAAACAUUGUGUCCUAACUUACAGGACAUGAUCCUUUUUCUCAAUUAACCUGAAAUAAGCCCUUUUCGCAAAAAUUACUUUAAGUAAGUAAGUGCCUUAAUACAAAAAAAAAAGAUCGUGUUUUAAACUCUUUUCAAAUUUUCAAUUCACGACACUAAGACAUUAACUAAUCAACUAGGUAUCAAUUUUGGUCGUUACGAGGGUGUUAAUCCUUCCUCGUGCAUAAUUGACUCCUAAACCAGUUUCUUAAAUUUUGUAGACCAAAAAUUAUUGUUUUAGUAAAUCAAACCGUUUAUUAAAAUGAUCAAAUUACGAGGUGAUCUGAUCACGCCUUAUAAAAAAGGAUUAGUGGUAACUCACAUUUUCGUUUUUAAAUAAAAAGUCGAUUUCAAAAAGGUUUCGACAGCUUGGCGACACCACUGGGGACAAAAUAAGAGAGUCAAGCCGCGAGUUGAUUACUUUUGGUCUUUUUGUCGAAAAUUGAUAAUUUGGUUUAAAUUUACGAUCCCUUCGUUGCAUGUCAUCCUUCAUUUUUGUGGUCUUCAUCAUUUUGUUGCAUAAUGAUAUGUUUGCUUUAUUGGUUUGAGUGUCUUGGUAUAUUUUUGUAUAUUGUAUUGCAUAAUCAUUUGAUUUUGCCCUUCUUAAGUAGGAGUGAGAAGUUAUUCCUUCGUGUGGUCUUCACCUCCAUAUAGGAUAGUGGAUCGCUUUCGGGAUACAUCCGUACCUACGUCUUCGUGAGAUUUUCAUCUCCGUAUAGCUAUAGGGAAAUGUAUUCCCUUGAACCGAACUCGGUCCGUAUGACCCUAUAAUGGGUGAGGAUCGAGGAAUCUUUUGGUUCAAGUACCCUUACUUUAGAACUGAACUGCAUAUAAUGAGUCCUAAGAGCCUACCCUAGGUAGAACCAUACCAAACCUCUAGUGGUCACCCGAUUAGGUGUUUUAUUUAUUUUUUUCUUUGAAUUCUAGAUUUGUAUAAAAUCUACUGACUUGUUUUGUUUUGUUUUGACUGUGAUUGCAUUGCAUUUUCAUCAUAGAAAAGGGUGUUGGUUCACAUUCAGUUACUAAAUAGAGAGCUUUCAUGGAAAAUAGAUUUCUUGAUAAAGUGAAAGACAAUGUGGCCAUCCUGAUAUGGUUUGAAAAGACACAACAAGAGAAGGGUGAUAGUAUAAUGGAGGGAUAUAUGUCAGAACUGUGGGAUCUCACUCACAUCAGUGUGACUCAGAAUAAUCUCCAAGAGUUGAAAGAAAUAUGGGACCAAUGGGAAGACGAAACCAAGUAGUUAUUAUACUGUAACUAUGGUGAUUUGCCUUAUCUACUUGAUGUCAAAGUGGACAAGGACUUAUUCUGAGCUCUCACCCAGUAUUGGAAUCCCACCUAUAGCUGUUUACUUCUGAGAAGGUAGAUUCGGUGCCCACUGUAGAAAAGUACACAACUCUGCUCCAUUGCCCGAUGAUCCAAGCCGACAAAGCUUAUUCUUAAGCUGCCAACAUCUCGACUUUCUUGAAGAGGCUAAUGAGCAUAACGGGAAUGAGUGAGUAAUGGGUUACGGCCAGGAUUAAACAAAAGAGAGAUAGUAAAUGUAUCCCUUGAAAAAGUUUGUGGGAUUUGAUCUUGACAUAUCCGGAUAUGAAGAAAAGAUUCGAUGUCUUCGCCUUGAGUAUUUACAAGUUGGUCAUCUUUCCCAAAGCAUUAAGGCAUAUAGAUGAGGCAGUUUCAGCUUUAUUUGACCGACUUGACAAAAGGGUCACACUCGUCUCGACAAUUUUGGCCGAAACUUUUAGAUCUUUGAAUGCAUGCCGAAUAUGAUUGGUGAUGGGGUAAAAAAGUCAAAGGCAACGUCCCUGCAUUAAGUCAAGAAAACACUCGGCCAAUAGAAGAACACCUACAAGUGAUCCCGUCUGAGCUAGAUAUUAUAAAGUAAGAUUUUGAAAAGUAGAAUUCGAAGCUGGAGAAAAAGAUAGAAUAGUUGGAAAAGAUGCAGCUAGGAUUAGACGUUGACAUCUAGAAGUUAGAAACCAAGAAAAUGAGAAAAAAAAAGAACAAGGCCGAGGAAAAUUUGGACAGUCUAAAAACAAAUUAUAAGAAGCUGCAUUUGUCAAUAAGGACUGCUGUGUUGGGAAAAACAUCGAAGUAAUGGCAGCAAUAGAUCAAAGAAGAAAAGAUUAGGGUUGAUCAGUGGGAAAAGAAAUUCCAAGAUGCUUGAGUUCGAUGAGAUGCUCUAGAAAAGGAUUUGUUAGAAAACUGAAAUAAAAAGGUUGGAUUGAGAGCCAGGGUAGCAGAAUUAGAAAGGUCGCUGCAUCAAUAUCGUAGUCGUAAUUCCGUAAUUGAGUUGAAAGUAAGCCUAAAUAAGAUUGAAAAGUUGAAGGGAAAGAUAGAAGACCUCAAAACCGUACUACAAAAUUGUGAACUCCGAGUUGAGCUUCUUGAAAUAAACAAUGAACACUGGAAAGUGCAACUCCAACGCUCUCAAGAUAGAUGAUAUUUUAAGCAUAUGUUGAUGAUUCCUAAUUAUUCACUGAGUUCGUAAUGAAUUCACCCACUCCUCUCUUACUUCAUAGGUAAGUAGGUUGCGGAUGACAAUGGCAAGGUAGAUGACCCUUGCAUGUUAGUGACCCCCAAUAUGCAUGUGAAGCCCUUUGUAGGAAUAUCUUACAAUAUAGCAAACCCUAUUAAAGCAUGGGAACUCUUUUGUGAAUGACUUCUUUGUUUGCGAAGCCAGUAUUGCAUGUGAACUUAGUCUUGUAUGUUCAAAUGCGAACUUAGGAAGUUUGAGAACUGCAAUUACUUUGCAAACUCAUGUUUUUGUGAGAACUUAUGCUUUAUGUUGUACUGCAAACUCAUAUGUUACUCUGUUAGGCGAACCUAUAUUGUAUGAUGUAUAAAGCCUAAGUUGAGGUGCGAACCUUAAUAAUAAUUUCUAUGUACUUGUACUUAUGUAUGAUUGUGUGUACCCUAAAUUGCUUGUUCGUAUCUUACAUGGGAACCCUUAAACCUUUCUAUUGUUUGACAUGCGAACCAUUCCUUUGUUUGUUUUGCAAGCUCACAUGUUUUACAUUUUGUGUAUGGUAUAAUUCCGUUGCACUGUUUUAACUUAACAUAUUAUUUGUUAUAAGUAAGUGAUGUGUUGGAGGUUAGGUUGAGAGUUAAUAGAGAGUCACUUAUAACUCGCUAAAAUUGGGUCGAACUUACUUGGCCGGAUUUAAGGUGUUAUAGGACAAUUACCUAAAAAAGAUUAUAGCAUUGUUAGAUGUGUGAGGAAAUACAUAUCAAGGUAAUUAUUGUCUUUUCCUCUUUACUCUUUGACACUAUCUAAGCAAACUUUAUUAAAUGAUUAAAUUUUCUAAAUUGUAUCAUAUUUCGGGUUCAUAUCAACUAACUGCAUUAAAAAUCUUAUAUAUCCAUCAUAGUUGAUCUUUCAAUACAGAAAGCAAAGCUUUAUGCCUUAAAUAAAUUACAUUCAAAUAUUUUUAUUUUAUCAUUAACUUUGUUAUUUGAGGAUAAAUGAUAAGAAAUAUUGUUAUUUGUUAGGCUUUCUAAUCAUGAUUCUCAGGAUAUGACAACAUUCUCUAUGCCUGAAAAAAUUGGAAGAAUUGGAUGUUUCUUUGAAACAGAUCAGCGAUCCAUCAUUUACAACUACAAACCGUAAAAUGAAUAUUCUACAUUUUAAUGUUCAGUUUCAUCUCGAUUAUGUGGUCUCAUACAAAUAGGUGUAUUAUUCAUAAAUGAAAAGGAUGCAAAGUCAUUGAUUAACUUUUAAGUCCCUGCACUCCUUGUAAAUUAGUAACCUAGUCUUUACAGUUUUGUUUUUAAGAAUUUAAUUUCUCAACUUUUCAUAUUUCAAAUUUUAGAUAAAUUAUUAACAUUAUUUAAAUUAUUUUGUUAAAUUCAAUUUCAUAACGUCUUUUUUUAGUUACAUUACUACUCUAAGUGAAUAUAACUUUAUUUUAAAAUUUUAAAAUUUUAUACCAACAAAUUAAAAAUAUAUAUUAAUUUCUACUCUUUUACCCUUUUCAUCUUCUACUCCUUUCAAUAAUGGCUCAUUUAAAACUCCCUUACAAAAUACCUCCAACUCAAGGCAACCUUUUACUAUUAAUUUCUCUAAACAUGGGAAUCCAAAAGUACAAAAGCUCUUGAUGCUCAGAAUGAUUGAACUAUCUCAAGAAUAAAUGCUCCUAGUUAUGUGGAAUAAAACAAAUAGUUCAUCGACUAUGAUUAAAUGCAUAAGAUAAAAGUUUAACAGAAUUUAACUAAGAUUAAAUGUCUAUUCAUAAGAUAAAAUUUUAAGAAUUUUAAAAUUUUUUUAUUUAGAAUUUAAAUUAACCUGUAAAAAUUGAUUUAAUCUUGUUCCUUUUGUUGUGCCAUCACACUGGUGCAGAUGUAUUAGUUAUAAUUAUAUAUUUGAAUUUUUUUAAUUUUAUAAAAAACAUUUUAAUUAAUUAUUUAAUUUUUCGUUUUUUAAAUUUAUAUUAUUUAUCAAAUCACUCUAAAAUAGAUAAAGAAGUUAGAUAUUUAAAUUAUUAGAAGCUGAAAGUUCUGAUUCUUUUAUGACCGGUUUUCUAAGUCUUGCCUUCAGAAUCUUAGGUGUCUUAUCUUUUAGCAUCCCUUAACUCAUGACACGACUUUCCACUUCUCAAAACAUGUUGCAAUUAGUGUUUUGUCUGAUAAAUUUAAGUUAUAAUUGUAGGUUAAAUUAUUUAUACAUUUCUUAACAAAUUUAUGAGUGUUUCUUCUUUCAUAUUUUUUAAAAAGAAAAAAAAAUGAAUUAAGAAUUCUUAAAAAAAAAAGUUAAAAAGAAUCAAAACUGACUUGGAAGACAAAGAAUAAAGUAUAAAGAAGUUUAAAUGUUUGAAGUUAUUUAAAGGUUUUUUUUUCCAAAUUUCCAUAAGAAUUUUUGUAUCUUUUUCAAGUUCAGAUUGGAAAAUCAUAAGGGAAACAAUUUUUGGGUUCUAAAUAUUCUUAGAGUUGAAAGUACCACAAUAAAAGCUGUUAGGAAAGUCAUGAAACUUUGGUUUUUUCCAAUCUUUUAAAGAAUACAUGUAGCUCAGUUCAGCACUGACAAUUGAGGUUACAAAUCAAAAUGCAAUUGCUCAUGUACAACACUCUGGUAGACUAGAUUAUCGGAUGCAUUUCUGAACUUAGGCAUGAGAAUAUGACUCUCAAAGACAUUGAAAAAAUGGAACAUAUCCUUGUUAGACAUAUGCUCUUACCUGAAUUUCAAACUCAAAGUUGGAGUAACAUAACUAGGAAGUGAAAUAACAACUUUAGAUCAGUGAAUAUGGCUACUACUGAGCAGCAGCAACAUACUCUAGUAGACAGCAAUGAAAGGGGCAUCUGCCGUAACUCUUUAUAAAGUAACUGCGCCAAAAUGAUAAGCGAAAUAAUCAAUUUCUGCCAUUAAACUACAUUUUAUGCUUAACCCCAUUACUAAAAGUAGGAUAUUGUUAACACUGGAACACAAAAUCAUUUCUGUGAUUCUUUGAAACACUUACCUUUCUAAAGCAAUAUCUCCACUUUUCCUUCAAUUUGGCCUUUCUGUAGUCUGUAUCCUUGAGCUAAAACUCUUCAAUAUGAUUAGCCUGUAAAAUAGAAGGAUGUAAUAAGUUUAGGAAAAUACAGAUUUAACGCUCUUUCCAUAACAAUGGAUUGAGUGAUUGUAACUGCAUGUAAAUUAUUGGCAUGUUUAUUAUUUGCAUCCGCUGUAAUUUCAUCAUUCAUCCCCUAAUAUUAAAAUGGAAAAAGGUAUUCCAAAGUUAUGUUUUUCCCCCUUCAAUCAAACACAUAUAUAAGAUACAGACUCACGCAGUUAGUUGACCGGUUGUGCCAUAUCUUUCUCCAGUUUCCCACACCCAUGAUUCUCUGUUCCUACAAGUAAGGUUAGUUUGCUAGAGAAAAACAAGUAGUACAACAAGAAUAGGGAAUCAGAAACAAAAAAAAAAAAAAAAAUGAAAGAAAACAAUGAUGCAAGAAAACAAAAAUGGGAUAUCACCUUUCAAUGGAAAGAGUUGGAAAAAGAAUCUCUGAGUUGUUUCUUUCUAUCCCAAGAGAAUAAUGUCAGUGCCACUAGUGAUCAUAAGAUUGGCCUUUUUCCUCUAAAUCAUUUUCUCAACCCUUCACAAUUGACUUCUAAAACCUUAAGUUUCUUGAAAUUUAAACUUCCAUGAAUGUUCUUCCAUAUUUCAAUUGACUUGGAAAAUUCAGCCUACAAAAUCUGACAAAGAAACAAGGAUUAAAAUUCAUAAAGGUUAUAACGAAGCCAACCCAAACCAUAUGAAAGAAAGAAUGAUAAUAUGGAAUAAGCUAGAAUAACUAAAGCUAAAUUAAAGUAAUAUACAAUAAUACCUUUAUUGAAUACAUUUCUUGGAUAGUGUUGUUAAGGUCACUACACCAAUGACUAUUAUCUUUUCCGCAUUUUGCCAAUAAUGGUGGAUGAGUUAAAACUCCCUUACAAAAUAUCUCCAGUUCAGGGCAGCCACUCACUAUUAAUUCCUCUAAACAUGGGAAUCCAAAUGUGUGGUUGCCUGAACAAAAGCUCUUAAGUCGUGGUAGAUUCACAAGUUCCAAACUUUUCAACCUGCUGAAAAUAAUGUCACAAGUUGCUUCAUCUCCCUCAGUUGCAACUAUUUCCUUCAUUGAAAAGCAGUUUCUUACUAUCAACUUCUUGAGUUGGGCCACACCUUGGACUGCUAAACAUGUAUCUAAGUAUUUCAUUGUAUAACAAAACUGCACAUCCAAUGUGGUGAGAUUUUGAAAUGAUGCCGAGGAUGAUCCUAAGCAGAUCAAAUUGCAACAACGGUGAACUUGAAGAGUCUCAAGUUUGGGUAGAAUGUGGUCCACUUGUACGUCUUGCUUCCAUAAAUAAUCUUUUAGAUUACCAAGAGCUACCAAUUUUAAGUUUCUAAUAGUUGACAAAGUCCCAGCAUACGUUUCCUCAUUACUGGUAUCUCCUUCGGUACAAAAUAGCUCUUUUAUUUCACAAUAAGAGAUAGCAAGGUUUGCAAGAGUGUAGAAUCUCUCAAGGAAAGAAAUUCGAAAAUCAAUUGAUUUAGCACCGUGGCCAACCACUCGAAAAGAUUUUAUUUCAUGAAAAAGGCUGCUUGAAAAUUGACCAUCACUUGUCAUUGCAAUGUAAUCAGUAUCUAAUGUCAAAAGUUGUAGUUUAGGGAUGACCUGAAAACCAAUCAAAAAAAAUUUUGGAGUCAAUAUGUUCAUCUUCGAAUUAAGAAUUACUAUUUUUUCUAAAUAAUAUUUUCAAAAACUCUUAAUUAGAGUAAAACAAAGUGACCUUUUCAACCAAGAAAAGUGGUGGAUGGAUUGGGGAGUCAAGUUGUCCAUUGUUACUGUUCAGUUGUGUACCAAAUAUCUUCAUUUUCUCACACUCAACUACUUCCAACUUGUUUAACAUUGGCCACUUUGCGGUAUGCUUACCACUAUGCGGAAGUGUAAGGGCGUAUAGUUAUCAAAUUCGAAAUUGACAGCAGUUUCCGAAUCUGAUCCUGCCUCUAAUUUGGAAACAAUCUCCUCCACUCCACAAUCAGAUAUUGCAAGAAAACCAAGUUGUGGUAGGUCUUUGGCUACUGAGGCUGGAAAUACAUUCUUCAAACUUCGACAGCCCAAAACAGAUAUUGCACAGAUUUUUUUAAAUGAAAAAAUUCCUUUGGGAUCAUUUUUCCAAAUAUACUUCAACUUUGGUAAUCUAAAAAUAUGCAAUUUUCUUAGUUGAGCGGUUGCAAGUAAAGCUGUUUCUUUUUCUUCAUGCAUAUUAGAUGGAAAAAUGGUUAACAACUUAUCACAUCCUCCAACAGUCAAUUGUUGUAGUUUGGGAAAUGCAACCUGCAUUCAUGCCAAUUUAAUGAAAUUAGAAGCUAGCUGUUUGUUUCAUUUAUUGUGUGGGUUUCUGGAAAAGUGAAAAAAAUAUAUAUUUAUUUUGAGUGUGAUUGUUGAAAAAAAGAGAUGAAAAAAAUAGGAGAAAUGUUUAUUUUUUAUCCUAAUGUAUAAAAACAAAUCAUUCUAAAUUGAAAUAAGAAGAGAGAAAAUGAGAGAGAUGCUUGUUAGUCUAAAUAUAUACAUUUUUCAAAAAUUUCAUUUUCAUUCCUCUCAUUUUCAACUGUACCAAAAAAUGAAUAAAAAGAAAAAUAUUUUUUUUUUCACUAAACCUUAAACCCAAAGCCAACAAGGAAAAAAAAAUGAAUAAACCUAAAAUUUAAGAAUUAACCCACCUUAUUGUCAAACAGAUCACCUUGACUAGAGAUUCGUUGGUUCCCUUCCCUUGUAUAUCUAAAUAUGAAGCCCUCCAAGUUUGAACAGUUGUAUAUCGUCAUUGACUUCAUAAAUGGAAAUUCAAUAACUUUAUUUUGAGAAUUGAAGCAAAAUCCACGCAAAUGCUGAAGAUCCUUUAGCUCUAAGGACUCUAACUGAGGAAAUAAUGAUAAAGUCAUGGCAACCUGAGUUUCUUCUUCUAUAUCCUCCCAAAAGAUUAUCUCCUCUAAACAGUUGCACUUAGUUACCUCAAAAUAUUUGAGAUGAACUAGAUAUUUAGCCAUAGAAAAUGAUAAUAGGUAAAUUAUGUUUCCACAACCCUCGAUUUUCAAUGUGGUUAACUUCUCAUGAGUGUAAAAAGAUACAUUUGACAACUGGUUCUGCCAUACCCUUGUAACAUUAAGCGAUGAUAACUGCAAUUUCUCCAAGGAAGGGAACGAUAUCUACAACCAUACACAUAAUUAAUUCUACUUUCAAAUCAAUAUUGUAAAUAUAUGUAUAAUUCUAUUUUUGCAAUUAACAAAAAAUAAAGUCUGCCGAUCAAAAAAACGUGUCAUAAAAUAGAAAAUUUCUAGUAAAUAUAAAAUAUGUUGAGAGUAUUGGGGACAGAAGAACCCAUCAUAUGAUCAGAAGAAGGGAAAAAAUCUCACAUAACUAAGCGACAGCGCAAGAGCAAUACGGCAUGAUUCAGAAAAAGGAAAGAAAGCCUUGAAAGAUAUUGAAUUAUAGAUACCUUUUCUCCGAAAAGUGGCAAUUCACGUUGAGGCAAUGAGGUAGCAUCGAUUUUGUCUUGAGAGCAAAAGCUAACGAGUUGAGGAAGACCCUGCAAUGUCAAGGACUGCAAUUCAAGAAAUUCAUUUCUAUCAUUAGUGAUAGAUUCAAUAUCCAAACCAUUUUGGAUAUGCAGAUUCUGCAAAUGUGAUAGCCUUUCCUCAUCUGAUAACUCCUUCAGUGCAAUCUUCACACCUUUCAGUUCAUCCAAUUGUAAAUCUUGAGUUCUCUUUACCAACUUCUUAAUUCCAUGAUCCAAAUCAUCAAAGCUUGUGUUUAGCCUGAGUUUUAAGGUUCUUGAAUAUUGAUAGUUGCCAAACCGCUCCCAUUCCUUUCCUAUGAAAAUCUUGUAUCUUUCCAACUUCUGCAACUUUUGAAAGAAAUCCUCUGGGGCAGCCUCGGCGUUUGGAAUUUGAACUUCUAAAGUGGACAAAUGAGAUAGUGUGUUCAGUUCAGCAAGACUAGCAUUGGGUUGUCCCCAUUGAAUAGAAGUGCCACCCAUAUAUAAUUCUUCUAAUUUUGACAAACUUGGCAACACGUCAGCUGAAAUUGUUUUGAGUUUAGUACAACCACUUACAUCUAACAACUUUAGCUUCAACAACUGCCCAGUUUCCUUGGGUACAAUUUUGAUAUCAGAUCCAGCAAGGCUAUUGAAGUAAUGGUCAGCAUGCAGCAACCAAGACUAUCGAAGGCACUACAUGCAGAAGCUGCUGGUUCUUCAAGUCAGCAAGCUGUUUAUGUUUCAUUUUGUAAUUUUAAGUUAGAGUAAUGUAACUUAGUUGCAUUAUAACUAUGUUAGGUUUAUGUUUGAUGUAAUUUUGAUGUUGAUUGAGCUGAUAAAUCAGCUUUGUUUAUUUGUUCAAGCUAAUUAGCACAAGUUACUAUGUGUAUUAGUGGUAGUAGCUGAAGUUUAGGUCAACCUACUGUUUUGUCAAGAUUGUAAACUUGUUUUAUGUAUUGGCUUUGUGCCAUAUUCAGUUUGUAGAAUGAAAUCAAUGAAGUUUUCAUCUCUAUGCUCUCUAUUUUAGUUUUAUUUCAAAAUCUGUUUGAGUUUUCUGCUUUGUUUCUACUGCAAGUCACGAGACUUGCUCGACAAGCAUUCUGCUGAAGCUUGCUGCUGUUGCACUUAGAUCCAACAAUUGGUAUCUAGAGCCAUAUUCUUAGAGGACCUGUUGUAGUUUAGUAUCAAAACCAUGGCAUCAUCAGGUUUUUCACCAGCUUCACCACCUGUCUUCAAUGGAGAGGGCUUCAACAUUUGGGCAGUUAAGAUGAGGACUUACCUGCAGGCAUUCGACCUAUGGGAAGUUGUUAACUCAGAUGCUGAGCCAGCACCUCUUCGAGCUAAUCCAACAGUUGCUCAAAUGAGGCAACACGCUGAUGAAAGAACAAAAAGGCACAAGGCCAUGUCAUGCAUAUAGAAUUGUGUGACAAAUGUGAUCUUUAUGAGGAUCAUGGCCUGUGAAACACCAAAGGAGGCUUGGGACAAGCUGAAAGAAGAAUUUCAGGGGACUGAGAGAACAAGGCAACAAUAGCUGCUCAAUUUAAGAAGAGAUUUCGAAAAUCUCAAAAUGAAAGAGGAAGAAACAGUUAAGCAGUACUCAGAUCGGAUUAUGGUUGUUGUAAACAGCAUAAGGCUCCUUGGAGAGCAAUUCAGUGAAGCUAGAAUAGUUGAGAAAGUUAUGUCCACUCUACCAGAGAGGUAUGAAGCCAAAAUUUCAUCUCUCAAAGACUCAAGGGACUUGACAACUAUCUCUUUAACUGAGCUAAUCAAUGCCUUGUAUGCACAAGAGCAAAGAAGAGCCAGCAGACAAGAGGAGCACCAGGAAGGUGCUUUUCAAGCCAAAACAAAAGAAGCCUCGAGCACCAAUGCUCAUAAAGGCAAAAAGUUCUAGAAAAACAGGCCUAAGCCUGAUGCUGCUAGAAGCAGUGACCAACUCUGCAGACAUUGUAAAAGAGCUGGUCAUCCAGAAGAUAGAUGCUGGUUUAGACCAGAUGCAGGAUGCCAACACUGCAAGAAAAAGGGCCAUGUUGAAAAGGUUUGCAAGAACAGAAGCAAACCAAGACAGAAUCAAUUUCAGCAACAAAAGGCAGAAGCUCGAGUAGCUGAAGAAAGCAGUGAUCAAGAAGAACAUGUUUUUGCUGUGUCAUGUGCAGCAAGUCAGAAGAAGAGUUCAAAGGGCUGGCUUCUAGACAGUGGGUGCACAAACCACAUGUCACCAGAUGCAACUAUCUUCAAAACCUUGGACAGAACCUGCAAAACCAAGGUGAAAAUUGGAAAUGGUCAGUUUAUUAAUGCUGAAGGAAGAGGAGAUGUGCUGAUUCAUACCUCUACAGGUAGCAAAAUCAUUUCAAAUGUACUUUUGGUACCUGAAAUCGAUAGGAACCUUCUCAGUAUAACUCAACUACUUGAGAAAGGUUACUCAGUUGUGUUCCAGGAGAAAGAAUGCCAAAUUUUUGAUCCAAGUGGAUCAAAUCUCAUAACAGUCACCAUGACUGAUAAAUGUUUUGAAGUAGACUGGCCAAAUGACUUGCAUUCAGCCUGCAUAGCCUUCACUGAUGACUCUAGACUCUGGCACCAGAGGCUUGGACAUGCAAACUUCAAAUCCAUAGCCCGAAUGGUCAAUGAAGGACUUGCUGAAAAUUUCAUCGAUUCAGUGAAGAAUGAUGAGCUUUGUGAGAUAUGUCAGCAAGGAAAAUUGGCAAGAUUGCCAUUUCCUACAGGCACAACAUGUAGAGCAUCAGAGAAGCUGCAGCUUGUGCACACUGAUGUGUGUGGACCAAUGAAGACCGAGUCUCUCAAAGGAAGCAGGUACUUUAUACUCUUUAUUGAUGAUUUGACAAGAUACUGCUGGAUUUAUUUUCUAAAGCAAAAAUCAGAAGUUGCAUCUGUGUUCUUGAAGUAUAAAGCUGCUGUUGAAACUGAGUCUGGUUGCAAACUUAAAGCACUGAGGUCAGAUAAUGGAACUGAGUACACCUCAGCUCAGUUCCAAGCCUACUGUGAAGAAGCAGGCAUCAAACACCAGUUGACUAAUGUGUAUACACCCCAACAGAAUGGGGUCAGUGAAAGGAAAAAUAGAAGCUUGAUGAACAUGGCAAGAUGUCUUAUGUUUGAGAAGAAUUUGCCCAAAACUCUGUGGGCUGAAGCUGUUAACACAGCAGUUUAUCUCCAAAACAGGCUCCCAACUAAGGCUCUGGCUGAGAAGACUCCGUUUGAAGCCUGGUUUGAGUUUAAGCCAUCACUAGCUCAUCUCAGAACCUUUGGUUGUCUGUGCUACACUCAAGUUCCAGCUGAGAAAAGAAGCAAACUAGAUAAAAGAGCUCAAGCAGGGAUCCUGAUCGGCUAUAGUUUGGUUAAAAAGGGUUACAGAAUCCUAAAACCUGCUACAAACAAGAUACUGGUUAGCAGGGAUGUUGUCUUCAAUGAAAAAGGAUACUGGAAUUGGGAAAAGGCUAAGCCAGAGGCAGUGGCUGAAGAUCUGGCAUUGGACCAAGCUGAAGAUAAUGAAAACACACUUGAAAUGGAUGUAGAUGAUGUUCCAAUCAGAUGUACUCGAUCACUGGCUGAUGUUUAUGAAAGAGCACAAGUGGCCACUGUUGAACCAAGUUGCUUUGAAGAAGCAGAGAGCCAGGAGGGGUGGAAGCAGGCAAUGAUUGAAGAAAUCAGAAUGAUUGAAAAGAAUCAGACCUGGAGUCUGAUUGAAAGACCAACAAACAGGAAGAUUAUUGGUGUCAAAUGGGUUUAUCGAGUUAAGAACAAUGUUGAUGGUAGCCUAAACAAGUUAAAGGCUAGACUGGUUGUGAAAGGCUUCAGUCAAAGGUAUGGAUCAGACUACCUGGAAACCUUUGCACCAGUGGCCAGGCUAGACACCAUCAGACUGCUAGUUGCCUUAGCAGCACAAAAACAGUGGUUGAUACACCAACUUGAUGUAAAAUCAGCAUUUCUAAAUGGAUUCCUUGAAGAGGAGAUUUAUGUGGAGCAACCUCAAGGUUUCAAGGUGUCUGGCAAGGAAGAAAUGGUGUACAAGCUCAACAAAGCCUUGUAUGGCUUGAAACAGGCUCCAAGGGCCUGGUAUAGUAGAAUAGAUGGCUAUCUGACCAGUCUAGGAUUUGAAAGAAGUCUUAGCGAGCCAACUCUGUAUGUUAAAUCAACUAGUGCUGAAACUCAGCUCAUUGUCUCAAUAUAUGUCGAUGACCUACUGGUGACAGGAGGAGAUCAUGAGAUGCUAAGCAGCUUUAAAGCCAAAAUGCAACAGCACUUUGAAAUGUCAGACUUGGAAUUGAUGUCUUACUUCUUAGGCAUGGAAGUAACUCAAGCUAAGAAUGGGAUUUGGCUAAGUCAAAAGACCUUUGCUAUGAAGGUUCUCAACAAAUUCUCAAUGGAGAAUUGCAAAGCAACCAGCACACCAGUUGCUAUUGGAGAAAAACUCUCGAGCCAAGACAAGCAUGAAAAGGUUUGUGAAACAACCUAUCGAAGUCUAGUUGGAUGUUUGUUGUAUUUGACUGCUACUAGACGUGACAUAAUGUAUGCUGUAAGUCUACUCUCGAGGUUUAUGCAUUGUUCAAAUGAAAGUCAUUUUAGAGCUGCAAAAAGGGUUCUAAGAUACAUCAAAGGAACCUUGUCCUAUGGAAUGCAGUUUACCAAGGCUGAGAACUUGAAGCUAGUUGGAUAUUGUGACAGUGAUUGGGCUGGUUCCUUGGAUGACAUGAAGAGCACUACAGGUUAUGCAUUCAACAUAGGCUCUGCUAUGAUUUGUUGGAGCUCAAAGAAGCAGGGAGUAGUGGCUCAGUCGACUGCAGAAGCAGAAUAUGUGGCUGCUGCUGCAGCAGUCAAUCAAGCCAUAUGGCUUAGAAAAAUUUUGAAAGAUAUCAAUCAUGAGCAAAAGGAAGCAACUGAGAUAAUGUGUGACAACCAAUCAGUAGUUGCUAUUGCAAAGAAUCCUGUUUUUCAUGGAAGGACCAAGCACUUCAACAUCAAACUUCAUGCAGUUCGAGAAAUGGAGCAAGCUCAUGUUGUUAAGCUGAUACAUUGCAGUUCUGAAGAGCAAAUUGCUGACAUUUUAACAAAAGCACUAAGUGUUUCCAAGUUUCAACACCUGAGAGCUAAGAUGGGAGUUUGCAACAUGCUAACCAAGGAGGAGUGUUGAAGUAAUGGUCAGCAUGCAGCAACCAAGACUAUCGAAGGCACUACAUGUAGAAGCUGCUGGUUCUUCAAGUCAGCAAGCUGUUUAUGUUUCAUUUUGUAAUUUUAAGUUAGAGUAAUGUAACUUAGUUGCAUUAUAACUAUGUUAGGUUUAUGUUUGAUGUAAUUUUGAUGUUGAUUGAGCUGAUAAAUCAGCUUUGUUUAUUUGUUCAAGCUAAUUAGCACAAGUUACUAUGUGUAUUAGUGGUAGUAGCUGAAGUUUAGGUCAACCUACUGUUUUGUCAAGAUUGUAAACUUGUUUUAUGUAUUGGCUUUGUGCCAUAUUUAGUUUGUAGAAUGAAAUCAAUGAAGUUUUCAUCUAUAUGCUCUCUAUUUUAGUUUUAUUUCAAAAUCUGUUUGAGUUUUCUGCUUUGUUUCUACUGCAAGUCACGAGACUUGCUCGACAAGCAUUCUGCUGAAGCUUGCUGCUGUUGCACUUAGAUCCAACAAAGGCUAAGCACAUUUAAGUUCUUGAGAGCUCCAAUAACGGUUAGGUUAUCUCCCAAAUUGCAGCAAUCUAGGCACAAUGUACUGAGGCUAGUUAGGAGACCAAUCGAUGAAGGUAAAGAAGAAAAAUGCAUGCGAGUCAAAUCUAAGACUUUAAGAUUUUUUGCUUCCUUGAAGAAGUUAUCCGACAACAUCGCCUUGCUUGACAAAAGGAAAAGAAAAAGCAGCGGGCAAUUCAACUGGUCAGGAAGCUUGUAAAUACUAGAAUGCGGCAAAAUAAUCUUGUUGCACUCUUUCAUUGACUCUCCAUUUGGCCAAUCUGUUACAAUAUCCUCAUCCUCUGUUAAAGCAAGCACUUGAUUGUCCUUUGAAGCGAUUGAUUUGGCCACAAUAUAAGUAAGAUCAUGCACAUCAAAGUAUUCCUUAUUGGAACUUUUGCUAUCAAGCAACAAACAAGAUUCUUUGAGGGUACUCAGCAUUUUUAACAGCCUAUCUCGUGCUGCUUUCAUGCUGUUGGCUCCUUUAAUUAGACCCAAACCAAGAGCAUAUCUCAACAAGCCUUCAAUCCUAACGACACGACGCAGUAAACUGCAAAGUAGGAAAAUUUGCUUGAGGUCUUCACUCGAUAAAUGAUUGAUACUCAACUCAGUAGCCGAAUGUACCUUAGCAGAUAUAUCAUCUGAGCUUUUUUCUAAGUAAGGCCUCUGUAAUUGUUGUAAAGCAUCACUCCAAAAAAAUAAAUGUUUAUUUCGCAACGCCCUUGCAACUGUAAAGCAUCACUCCAAAAAAAUAAAGGUUUAUUUCGCAACGCCCUUGCAACAGUUGCAAGGGCGAGUGGUAAUCUUGCACAUUUCUCGGCUACCUUAAUUGCUGUAGAUCGCAGCUCCUCAUCACUUUCAAAACUGUCCCCGGCCAUCUUCCUAAAGAACUCCCAAGCUUCUUCGUUUUCUAAAUCACCAAUUGCAAAGGUCUUUGUAGCAUCCAUUCCAUUGCUUAGAACAUUUUGAUCUCUUGAGGUCAACAGUAUUUUGCAUCCUUUGUGUCGACUUCCAAAUGGAAUUCCGACUUCCUCUAGAUCCAGUUUCUUCCAAAGAUCAUCCAAAAUAAUAAGAACAUUUUUAUCCUUCCUUAACCUUUCAAACAAUCUACGGGCUCUUACAACCGGACUGUUUUCUUCAAGCUUCAAACCCAAUGAGUAUGCUAUUUGGUCUUGGAUUUCCUUAAUGUCAGGAAUUCGAGAUACAAUUGCCCUGACAACUGAAUCGAAUAACUUAACCUCAUGGAGUUGUCUCUCAACUUCUUUGACCAGCGAUGUUUUGCCCACACCAGCCAUCCCGUACACUCCAAUCAUGCCUGUUGUUGCAUCUUUCAGUGACUCCAUGAUAUCAUCGAAAACCUCCUCUCUUGAUUUAAAUGCCUCAAAGUCUGGAUGGACUAUGGGUCCAGGAACAUCAUGGUAUCCCACGCCCUCAAAUUGGCAAUCUUUGAUAAGCUCAUCAAAAGUGGCAGCAGCUUCUUCAGCUUUCCUGCUAAGCUGUUAGCGAGACUUGAUGUUGGGACACAAGCCAAAGAAGCACUUGGUCUUCGCUUUGACUUCAAGAUCCUUCACUUUCUUCUCCUUUUCAGUGACAACCUUCUCCACUCGGUGGCGCCAAUCCAGGACAUCGGCUUUAAUCUUCUCCCCGUUCAUUUCUGCAACAUCAACAUCUUGCUGCACACUUGUUCUUUUUGCAAUCAACGUCCUGUGUUUCUGCUCGAACUUGUCAACAAUUUUCUGGUAGAAGAUUACAUAUGUAAUAUGACGUUUAACAUGGUGGAAAAUACCUUUGGCAGCCUCGGAAGAGACAUUGGCAGCAGCACCAGUACCAAUUGCUUCCAUUUUUAUUUUAUUUUUUUGCUUUGGGGAUACAGAUGACAGUCAGAGAGUAGAAAAAGAGGCAAGAAAGAAAAUACUAAAAGGAAAUAAGCAAGCAAGAAGAAAUCAGAAAUGAUGUGAAGAAGCCAUUAGCAGAUAAGGAAUAGAAAUUCAGAAAGGCGUGGAAUUGGAUAUGGACUGUUGUCUUUGACUCUGUUAGACUUUAGAUUAGAAAUCAAAGAACCAGCAAAAGAAAGCAGAGAAUGGAUGUGGACGGUUGCGGGUAUUUUCAGUGGAAAUUAAGUUUAAUGAUUUAACUUAUAAAAAUUACAUAAUUAUUUAUGAGAAUAUUAUAUUUUUAUUAGGGAUGUUCAUUCGGUUGACCGACCCGAAAUAAUAUUAAUUGAAUUAACCAACUUUUUAAAAUCUUUAACCGUUAACCGAACCAAAAUUUUUUAAAAAAAAUUAACCGAACCGAAAUUUUUCGGUUAAUAGAUUACUCCUAUUGUUGAUAUAUGCAACCGCACAACAUUGCAAUUAAAAAAAUUACAAGAAAAAAAGUUCAAUUUUUUAUCCUCUUACUAGAUUUAUUUGGUCAAGCAAACAAAAGAGAUCAAACUUUGUAAAACAACAAUCAUCCUCCAUCUCCUUCCCCAUUCAUCUUCAAGUUUUUCAUUGUUCUUAUACCCUCGCUCAAAUCUCACAAUCUCAAAUACUAUACCAAAUCAAUAUCCAACUUUACUAGACCCAAACUACAUCACCACUUCAUCAUCGAGCACUCAUCGCUAAACCCACAUCGAAAGACGUCUUUUUUUUUUUACAAACAUACCUAAACUCUGUUUCGCAUUUUCUUUUAAUGAGGAAAAAUCAGUUAAUGAAGCAUCACUUAGUCUUAAGCAUCUAAAUCCCUCAAAGCCCUGCAUUUUGCAGCUGAAAUAGAGCCAAAGAUGUUUCUAUAAUUAAAGGCUUUUUUAUUUGAAUCUCUCAGCCAACUAUUUGAUCAUGGUUCUAGUAGAAUUUGGUAGUGAUUGAUUCAAAAAAGUAAUUCAAAAGACUCAUUUAGUUGGGUGAGGUUUAAAGAAAAAAAAGGAAAUAUUUAUUCAAAAAAUUCAAGAAAAUUUGAGGGUUAAAUUUUGUUGAAUCCCUAAAAAAAAGGUAAAUUAAAGAAAUAUUUAUUUGAAUCCCUCAACCAAAUUCAUAUUUAAUCCUUUAUGUAAUUUUAUAUAUAUUUUUAGUAAUUUAUAUUUUUAUGUCAUUUUAUAAUAAAUUUUUAUAUAUUUUCAAGUUUUUAAAACUAUAAUUUUUUUUAAUUUGGACUAAAUUGCCAAAAUAAGCAAAUAUUGAGGGUUAAAUUUGUUGAAUUUUUAGAAUUAAGAACAAAUAGACAAAAUGUGUAAAGUGUUAAGGGUUAAUUUUGUUUUUAUAACAAGUAAAAGACGAUCAUGUCAACAUUUUGUUUAGUGACCAAGGCAUUUUAAUGGAGUGACUAAAAAUGACAAUUAAUCUAACGGGUGACUAAAUUAACAAAAACAAAUCGNNNNNNNNNNNNNNNNNNNNNNNNNNNNNNNNNNNNNNNNNNNNNNNNNNNNNNNNNNNNNNNNNNNNNNNNNNNNNNNNNNNNNNNNNNNNNNNNNNNNNNNNNNNNNNNNNNNNNNNNNNNNNNNNNNNNNNNNNNNNNNNNNNNNNNNNNNNNNNNNNNNNNNNNNNGAUGAGUGACAAAAAAUAAUAUUUCAAUACCUUUAAUGGUAAUUAUAUAACUUUUGAAAGUUGAAUGACUGAAAUACAAUUUGAAUCAAAGUUUAGAAACAAUUGGUAUAGUUUAUUCUAUUUUAUACACUUUUGAACCCUCAGUAAAUUCUUCUUAAUAUUAUUUUAGUUCUAAUUAGUUAUGAUUAAUUAAAUAAAACUAAUGUAAAAAAUUAAAUAAAACUAAAAAAAGAUUAUUAUGAUAAUAUUUUUUUAUACUUUUAAAUUUUUUAAAGAAAAAAAUUAUAAAUUAAAUAAUUAAAUACAUGUUGAAUAAUAUUAUAAUACAAGUUUAUUAUCAGUUGACCUAUAUCUAUAAUUAAAUAAUUUUUUUUAAAAAUUAACAUAUAAUUUUUUUUUAUUGGUGGGCAAUUUAGGGAAAUUUGAGUAGAAGUAGUAGGUUAAUUUUCCAAUAAAAGCCCUUUUUUUUUCAAAAUUUACCGGAAUGAGCCGAUUUUUUGAUUAUUUACCGGAAUGGGCCAUUUUCCGCGAAAUCUCAUCCACGUCAGUGCGAUGCCAGGGUACGCGCCAGGAAAUCGCGUCCACGUCAGCGCGACUUGCUGACGUGGACAGAAAUCGCGCCCUAGAGGAUGCGAUUUGCUGACGUGGCAUGAACAGUUUAUGUUUUUUAGCUUGAAAAACUUCGAAAGACCAUAACUUUUGGCUCGGUUGUCCGAUUGAGCCGAUUUUUUUAUUUCGAAUAAAUUUUUGAGAUCUACGCGCUGACAAACUCUUAGAGAUGAAUAGGGACUAAUUUGUAAAGUAUAAUUUGUUAGUUACGAGUAUAGGGACUAAAGUGUAAUUAUUUCAAAAUUAGCAUGAAAUUUUUGUAUUUAAGAAUAUUUGAAUGUUAUGGAAGGAUGAAAUUGAAUUUGAAUUGAAAAACGAAGCUUAGAUUUGAAAAUAUGACUAUUUAGGUUUUAGGGACUAAAUUGAAUAAAAUGGAAAAUUUUAGGGAACUUCUCAAAAGUGGAAUGAGCUGACUUAUACCUAUAACAGGAUGAUAUAAGACAAUUCUGUAAAAAGAGAUCCGGUGUUUACUUCAAAUAAAUGAGGAAAAUAACGAUUUGAAUGUUUCAAAAUUCAAUUUUAAACCAAAAAAAUCGAAAUUUAGGGGCAAAAAAGGAUCUUUUUCGAUGAAAAAUUUGGCAAACCGCCUACGGCUAUUUGCCAGUGCGUAGAUCUUGAAAAUUUAUUCGAAAUAAAAAAAUCGUCUCAAUCGGACAACCGAGCGAAAAGUUAUGGCCUUUCAAAGUUUUCCAAGCUUAAAAACAUAAACUGUUCAUCCACGUCAGCAAAUCGCGUCCUUGUAGGCGCGAUUUGUGUCCACGUAAGCAAAUCGCGCUGACGUGGACGCGAUGUCCUGACACGUACCCUGACAUCGCGCUUACGUGGACGCGAUUUCGUGAAAAAUGGCCCAUUCUGGUAAGUAAUUAAAAAAAACCGGCCCAUUUCGAUAAAUUUUAACGACUUUUUUUUGGUAAAAUAGCCGAAGUAGUAAUAUUUUUAUUUUCAGUUUUGAAGUUUCAACCUUAUUUUGUUUUCAGCUUGUUCAAUAAUUGAUAAGGUUGGCCACUUGUUCAAUAAUUGAGGAGGCUGGUCGUGUGGGUCUCAUGAAAUGGCACGUGACAUCAUAAUUGAUUUCCUAUUGUUUCGGUUCUACAAAAUAGUUUAUAUUUUGUUUUGCUUGAAAUUGUAAUGUGUUUCAACUCAAUUUUGGUUAAUAUCAAUUUGUAUUGGUGUAUUUAAAUUAAAUUACAGAGUAAAAAAGUAAAAAAUAAAAUAUAUUUUCUAUAUUCGAAAUUUAACAUUUCUACUUUUAUUUUUAGAAAUUCAAUUUAUCUAUUUUCGAAAUUAAAAAUAUAGAUCUAAUUGCUAUCACCGUUAAAAUUUUCUAUAAAAUUAUACAAUGACAUUUAAAAAUUAAAAAAGUUUACUUGAUAACCAUGUAAUAAUAAAAAUAAUGUUAUAAAUAUCGAUUGAGAUUUUUUUUAACACUGUACAUUUGAAUUUGUUAUGGUAAAAAAAUUUUCCCAUUUGAAUAGUAUUUUUAACAAAAAUUGACAUCAAAAUUUGGAUAACAAUUUAACUUAAAGUAAAAAACUAAAUUAUGUUAAAAACUGAACUAUACAUAUAACAACCCACAUUUAAUCCAAUCAUUAAAUCUAAAUAUACAACAUCAGAAGCAAUUUGAAGUAGCUUCUCUUUAAAAGAAACAACACAAAUAUCAAGCAUUUAUCACCUUAUACAAACAUAAACAAUUUAUCACAUUCGAAAUGAAGCGAAUUUAAAAACAUAAACAAUUUAAAACAUGUUAUAUUAAAAACUGUAAGUAAUCAUUGUAAAAGUAUAUGUAUGUACUUUUUUUUUAAUUAAAAAAUUGUUUUCUAUUUGAAAAAUUCAGUUACAGUAAUUUUUUUAGUGUAAGAUAUAAACUUUAAUAUUUUUUUAAAUGUUAGUUACUUUAUUAACCUGUUAUUAAAUUUAAUAAUGAAUAACCAAAAUGUCAUAAAUUUCUAUUCAUUUGAAAUCUUUAAAUUAAAAUAAGUAAACCAAAGAUAUUAGAACGAAUUAAUACAAAAUAAAGUAUAUUUUUAAUGAUUUUUGUUAAAAUAAAAUGAUAAAAAUAUCUUCAAAUAAUAUAAUUAUUUUACUUUCGAAAAAUUAUUUGCGUAAUUUUUUUAAUCGAUCUGGUACCCGAUUGACUCGUAACACCAACUUAGACAAAAAUUUAAAUAAUAGCUUAGAUUUAUCAAUAAUUUAUUAUAUUAUUCAUCAUAUAUUACUAGUUUAUAAUUAUUUAUAAAAUUUACUAUAUAUUAUGAAUAUAUCAUAAAGAUAAAAUUAUUUAUCAUUCAGAGAUUUUGUAACACCCAAAAAUUUUGGUGACAUAAAUAGUAAAAUUUUCUUAUUUUCAUAUCUUUUUAAACAGAAAAAAACAAUGAUUUUAUUCAAAGAAAAAAAAAGGUUAAAAAGAAGCAAAAGGGUUUUGGAAGGCAAACAAUAAAGUGUAAAGAAGCUUUAAAUGUUUAAGGUUAUUUAAAUAUUCACAUGGAAAUAUUUCAUUAAUGGAAGCAUCAAUCACAACAAUAUUUAAGGUUAUAUCUCCAUGCAUGCAUACCAUGUUGUAUCCUUCCAUCUUUGCCAAAGUAUGUAUUAAAAUAAUAUUUCAUUAAUUGGAUGUCUUUUUAAGGAUGUAAAUGAUCAUUGGUUAUGUGGGUACUCCUUGAAAGUCAGCAAGGAAACUUUAUGCGGAAUCCCGGAUCUAAACACAAGAGAAACACAAAUUAGAAAUAAAAAAUAAGAAUAAAUAAAAGUAGUUAAAUAAUAAUAAAAAAUAGAUUUACCCUAUAGAACCCUUGGUUAACUUGCAACCAAAAACGCCAAUGAUUGAGCGGCUCCCUACGAAACCCCUAGAAGAAGAACCUCUAGAAACACCAAUGAACAGGAAAGAAAUUUGAAUAUUUGCAACUCCGAAAUACCCUCGAAAGUAACAAGCUCCAAACUAAAUAGCAAGAGAAGAAUCACUCUACUCUCAAAAAUUUGCCUCACACAAAUUUGAAUGAAAACAAAUACUCUUCUUUUUAUUCCUCCUCCAAUGUGUAGAAAACAAGCCUAUUUAUAGGCAAAUUACAAGAGUAAUUGAAUCCUAAUAAAACUCUUUUAAGAGUAAUUGAAUCCUAAUAAAAACUCUUUAAAGAGUAAUUGAAUCCUAAUAAAACUCUUUAAAAUUAUCUAAGAAAAUAAAUAAAUAAUAACCUAACCAAUAAAAUUACUUAACUCAUAAAUGAUGUGUCCCAACCAAUGAGAAUUAAGCAAAUAAUAAUAAUAAUAAUAAGAUACAUAANNNNNNNNNNNNNNNNNNNNNNNNNNNNNNNNNNNNNNNNNNNNNNNNNNNNNNNNNNNNNNNNNNNNNNNNNNNNNNNNNNNNNNNNNNNNNNNNNNNNNNNNNNNNNNNNNNNNNNNNNNNNNNNNNNNNNNNNNGAUUUUAAUUGUCGUGCCUUGCUUCGAGUGAUUGGACCACUAGGAAAGACAACCCUUUGAGUGUCACCUCCUUGACUCGUAUCAUUCUCCCCCUCUUCAAGAAGAUUCGUCCUCGAAUCUGAACCUACAUCAAAUUCAAAAGGAGAAAGAUCAGAAACAUUGAAAGUAGCACUAACACUAUACUCACCAGGAAGAUCAAUGCGAUAAGCAUUGUCAUUUAUUUUCUCGAGUACUUGGAAUGGUCCAUGUCCUCGUGCAUCAAGUUUAUUCUUUCUCUUAGAAGGAAAUCGUUCCUUCCUCAUAUGCACCCAUACCCAAUCUCCAGGUUCAAACAAGACUUGCUUUCGUCCUUUAUUAACUCGAUGUGCAUUGGACUCAUUCUUUUUCUCAAUGGCUUUACGAGCCUUCUCAUGGAUCUCUUUCACUAAAUCAGCUUUCCUUUCACCAUCUAAAUUAGCAAUCUCAUUCAAAGGUAAAGGAAGCAAAUCUAAAACAGUAAGUGGAUUAAAGCCAUAUACAAUCUCAAAAUGAAUAAAACCUGUGGAAGAAUGAACAGAACGAUUAUAAGCAAACUCAACAUAUUCUUCCCAAGAUUUAACAUUCUUACCUAUUAUGGCUCUAAGCAAAGAUCCCAAAACUCGAUUUACCACAUUGGUUUGACCAUCAGUUUGAGGGUGGCAUGUAGUAGAGUAAAGUAGUUUAGUACCUAACUUACCCCAUAACACCUUCCAAAAGUUACUAAGAAAUUUUGCAUCUCUAUCGAAACGAUAGUCCUUGGGAUUUCAUGUAAUCUCACAACUUCACGGAAAAAUAGAUCGGCAACAUGGGUUGCAUCAUCAGUCUUAUGGCAUGGAAUGAAAUGAGCCAUUUUAGAAAAUCGAUCUACAACCACAAAGAUGCUAUCUAGUCCACGCUUUGUCCUUGGUAAACCUAUUACAAAAUCCAUUGAAAUGUCAGUUCAAGGUGAACUAGGAACAGGAAGAGGAGUGUAUAGACCAUGAUGCAUCACAGUGGAUUUAGCUUGUUUACAAGUAAUGCAAGUAGAGCAAAUUUUCUCAACAAGUUUUCAUAUGUUAGGCCAAUAAAAAUGCUCAUGUAAAACAUCAUAAGUCUUAGUGACUCCAAAAUGACCCAUAAGACCACCACUAUGAGCCUCUCGAACCAACAAUUCUCGUAUUGAACACUUUGGUAAGCAUAGUCUAUUAUUUCGAAAAAGAUAGCCAUCGUGCUUAUAAAAUUUGUGAAAUGUACCAUGUUUACAUGCGUCAUAAAUGCUUGAAAAAUUAGAAUCAGUGGCAUAUAAAUCUUUGAGAUACUCAAAACCUAAUAACUUAGUAUGCAAAGUACUAAGUAAAGUGUACCUCCUUGAUAGAGCAUCAGCCACAAUAUUAUCUUUACCUUUCUUAUACCUUAUAACAUAAGGAAAAGAUUCAAUGAAUUCAACCCACCUCGCAUGUCGCUUGUUCAACUUACCUUGUCCCUUUAAGUGCUUAAGUGAUUCAUGGUCAGUGUGAAUCACAAACUCCUUUGAUAAAAGGUAAUGUUGCCAAACUUCUAAUGCCCUUACCAAGGCAUACAACUCUUUAUCAUAGGUCGAAUAGUUCAAAUGUGCUCCACCAAGUUUCUCACUAAAGUAGGCUAGUGGUUUACUAUCUUGCAUGAGGACGGCACCUAUACCUACACCAGAAGCAUCACAUUCAAUCUCAAAGGUCUUUUCAAAAUUAGGUAAAACAAGAAUAGGAGCAUUACAUAAUUUAUCUUUAAGUUCAUUAAAUGCUAAUUCUUACUUAUCUGUCCAAUGAAAAGAUACAUCAUUUUUAAUAAGUGCAGUCAAAGGCGAAGCAAUUGUGGAAAAGUUACGAACAAACCUGCAGUAGAAACCGGCUAACCCAAGGAAAGAUCUUACCUCAGAAAUAGUUUUAGGGAUAGGCCAUUCUUUAAUUGCCUUUACCUUCUCCUCAUCCACAUGGAUUCUUGUAGAACUUAUCACAAAACCCAAAAAAACAAGCUUAUCCAUACAAAAGGUGCAUUUUUCAAGACUAGCAAAGAGUCGUUCAUGCCUUAACACAUCCAAUACUAAUUUAACGUGCCCAACAUGAUCAUUCAAAGUUUUACUAUAAAUCAGUAUAUCAUCAAAAUACACAACGACAAAUUUUCCUAAAAAAGGUCUAAGUAUGUGGUUCAUUAAUCUCAUGAAUGUGCUAGGAGCAUUAGUUAAGCCAAAUGGCAUGACUAACCACUCAUACAGGCCAUACUUAGUCUUAAAAGUAGUUUUUCAUUCAUCACAUUGUUUCAUUCUUAUUUGAUGGUAACCACUUUUUAAGUCAAUUUUAGAGAAAAUGCAUGCACCAUUAAGCUCAUCCAACAUAUCAUCUAAUCGAGGAAUUGGAUGUCGAUACUUUACCGUAAUCUUGUUGACAGCACGACAAUCAACACACAUUCUCUAAGAACCAUCUUUUUUUGGGAUGAGAAGUACAGGGACCGCACAAGGGCUUAGACUCUCACGAAUCAACCCUUUCUUUAAGAGAUCUUCAACUUGCCUUUGCAACUCCUUAGUUUCUUCAGGAUUGCUUCGAUAGACUAGUCUAUUCGGAAUACUCGAACCAGGCACAAAGUCAAUUUGAUGUUCAAUCCCUCGUAAAGGAGGUAAUCCCUUAGGCAUUUCAGAAGGAAAUACAUCCUCAAAAUCCUGCAAAAGAUCAACAAAACAACUAGGCAAAUGUGUAUUAGGGUUAGUCAAAACAAAGUUUUCCCUAAACCUAAUAAUUACAAAUGUUUGUUUUGUACAAAGAGUAAAUUUGAUAUCUCAAAACCUAGCGAAUAAACUCACUCUCUCAUCUCGUGACUUGUGUGUGCAAUCACUCACCAAUGUUGGGCCUUUAAGCUGGCUUUUAACACUAAGGGCCUCUUUACUCUCAGCCUUUUUCAAUGAUUUUACCUCACUUCCCUUACCCAUCUCACUAGCAAGUUUGAGUUGAUCAUUGUAGACUUAUUGAGGAGGAAGUGGAGCCAAAGUAAACUUCUUUCCAAGGAACACAAAGGUAUAUUGGUUAAGGAAACCAUAAUGAUUUACUCGUUGAUCAAACUGCCAUGGCCGUCCAAGUAAUAUGUGCCCAGCUUGCAUUGGAACAACAUCACACAAAACUUUAUCAAAGUAUCUACCAAUGGAAAAUGAAACUAAGCAUUGUUUAGAUACUUUUACCUCCCCACUAUCAUUCAGCCAUUGCAAGCGGUAUGGCCUUGGAUGCUUCACACAAGGUAGGCCAAGUUUCUCAACAAGGGAAGAACUCACCAUAUUGGUGCAACUUCCACUAUCGAUGAUCAAUUAACUAGGUUGUCCAUCAAUCAAACAUCUCGUGUGGAAAAUGUUAUCUCUUUGUUCGCGCCCUUCCUCUUUAAACUGGACAUUUAAAGCCCUUCGAGCAACAAGUGAUUUCUCACCAUACUCUAAGUAUUCUUCAUACUCAUCAUGAGCAUCUUCCAAAGGAGGCAUUUCAUCUUCGUUAUUAGACUCAAAAUCAACCUCGCCAUCUUCUCGAAUCACCAAUGACUUUUUAUUAGGGCAUUCUCGAGCACAGUGACCCCUUUCUUGGCAUUUGAAGCAGGUAAUAUCUUUUGGCUACUUAAUGGCACUAGGAGAAGUAGAAGAAGAAGAUAGAGCUUGAUUAGUAGAAGUAGAACCUUUAAAUGAAUUAGGCAUACCUCUAUCUCAUACCUCUAUCUUUGGAGUAAGUUCUAGGCUCAUUUGGCUUGGACCGUGCAUCUCUCCCAUUCCACAAUCUAUCAUCUUGUUUUUGCCAAUUUCCUCUCCAAGCAGGAUUAGAAACUGAACUAGUACCCCUCGGUGUCCCUUUCUUUCGUAAUUGCUUUUCAAUGGUGAGUGCGAUUUGAAGCAUCUCUUCAACAUCCAUGUAGUGUUGUAACUCAACUCGAUUUGCAAUCUCAGGCUUUAGGCCGGCAAGGAAUCUAGCCAUAGUUACAUCAGCCUCUUCAACAAGAUUGGCUUUAAUCUGAAUAGUCUCUAUCUCUUUGUAGUAGUCAUCCACAGAUCUAUCUCCUUGAACAAGAUGUUGGAGUCUUUGAUGGAGUUCUCGAUAAUAGUAUGGUGGAACAAACUGUUUUCGCAAGAUGCGCUUCAUUUCAACCCAAGUAGUAACAGGUUGCUCUCUAUAAAGAAUCCUGCUUUUACAAAAUUGAUUCCACCAUGUUAGUGCAUAAUUAAUGAACUCAGCGAUAGCGUAUGUUACCUUUUUCUCAUCAGAGUAAUUGUAACAAGCAAUGACUGCUUCCAUCUUUUCCUCCCAAUCAAGGUAAGCAUCAGGAUCAUUCUUCCCUGAGAAAGAAAGAAAUUUUGGUUUGGGGGUGUCAUUGUUUCAUUCCACCCUUUCUCUAGGUACAUACUCGGACUCAAAGUCAUCAUCAAAAACAUGGUCCUUCCUUCGUUUAAAAGUUCGAUCUCGCAAAUUUGAUCAGAUUAUAAAGGCUUCGUUCAACUUCUUGUAAUUAUCGGCAAUGUAUCUCUCUUGAGUUGUAAGUUUUGUAUCAAGAUACUCCCUUUGCUCUUGUAACAUCUGGGUCAUGCGAUGUUCGAAUUGAGUUUGUAACUUUUUCAUCUCUUUUUGUAACAACUCGACCAAAGGAUCAUUCUCUCUUUUUUUCUCAUCCUCUUCAUUUUUACUAGUUUGGGAUCUAGUAAGCGGCAUGAUAUCUGUGAAAGAUCAAACAAACAGGAACAAGAAAGAAAAAUAAUAAUAACCUCACUCGUUAGCUCUCAAAAGAAUAACUCUCUGAAUGAUUCAAAACUUGUAAAUAUGUUUGGAGAGGGUUACUAAUCAAGAUCAACGGAGGUGCAAACUUCAAAGAAACAAUGAAGACCCUAAUUGCUCUAAGAGGCCAAUAAACUUGACGAGGCAAUUUGUAAUGGAGGCUACACGGAUGAAGGAAUUGUGCGUGCCUUUAAUAUCUGCUAACACAAGAAGAAACAAAGUGUUAGAAAGCGUAAGAGAAAUAAAAAAAAGCGUAGACCUGCAACGAUCCCUAACUCUAGAGUCAAAGAAAAGCUUUAAUAAGAAGAAAACUUAAGAAAAACUCUACCCAAAUUAAAACAAAAAAACAAAAAAUCGAAAACGUUUGGUGUAUUAAGAUUUUCAAAAAUUGAAGCUUUAAUUAUACUUGAGUCAAGAAAAAAAAGAAGGAAAAUAAAUUCAAUUUUGGGAAAAAUAAAAAUAAUAACAAUAAUAGGAAAAGAAGAAACCUACGUAUGAAAGGUAGGCAACUUUUUUUUUACGAUUUUUUUUGCUCUUUUUACUUUUUUUCUUUUUUUUUGCUGUUUUUUUUUAAAGAAUAAGAGGAGAAUAAACACAAAAUUCAAAAAAAAAAAGAAUCGACGAAACUGAUGAAAAGUGUUUUUAGUAUUUUGACUCGUUUCGGAUUUGAUUUUAGCUUCAAAAAUAACACCGACUGGCCUGAAACUGAUACCAACUGAUGUGGAAUCCCGGAUCUAGACACAAGAGAAACACAAAUUAGAAAUAAAAAACAAGAAUAAAUAAAAUUAGUUAAAUAAUAAUAAAAAAUGAUAGAUUUGCCCUAUAGAACCCUUAGUUAACUUGUAACAAAAAACGCCAAUGAUUGAGCGGCUCCCUACGAAACCCCUAGACGAAGAACCUCUAGAAACACUGAUGAACGGGAAAGAAAUUUGAAUAUUUGCAACUCCGAAAUACCCUCGAAAGUAACAAACUCCAAACUAAAUAGUAAGAGAAGAAUCACUCUACUCUCAAAAAUUUGCCUCACACAAAUUUGAAUGAAAACAAAUACUCUUCUUUUUAUUCCUUCUCCAAUGUGUAGAAAACAAGCCUAUUUAUAGGUAAAUUACAAGAGUAAUUGAAUCCUAAUAAAACUCUUUUAAGAGUAAUUGAAUCCUAAUAAAAACUCUUUAAAGAGUAAUUGAAUCCUAAUAAAACUCUUUAAAAUUAUCUAAGAAAAUAAAUAAAUAAUAACCUAACCAAUAAAAUUACUUAACUCAUAAAUGAUGUGUCCCACCAAUGAGAAUAAGCAAAUAAUAAUAAUAAUAAUAAGAUACAUAAAAGAUUAAUCCACCAAUUUAUGGGCUUUCACAAUUCCAAGAUUGGUCCAGUGAAUUGCAUUCCCUUAUUUGUCAAUGUCACGAACAUGAUGAAUUAAAUUUGUAGCAACAAAGUCUUGGACAAAAGCAUUCAUCUUUGAUUUUAAUUGUCGUGCCUUGCUUCGAGUGAUUGGACCACUAGGAAAGACAACCCUUUGAGUGUCACCUCCUUGGCUCGUAUCAAAACUUUCUUUCGUAUAGAAGCUCGAGCUAUUUUUGAAGUUUUACAUAUUGCAUGGGAGAAAGGUUAUAGACAGUUGGAGAUUGAAUGCGACAAUGCACUACUUGUAGAGUCCGUUUUUACUGGUAGUGCUGCCAGUAGUAACCUAGCUGAAUUAUGUUUAAUCAAUGUUUACCUUAAGGGGAAUUGGAAGACAAGAAUCUGUCACAUUCCUAGAUCUCAGAAUAUGGCUGCUAAUUGAAUGGCGAAAUGUAUUUAUGAUAAUUAGUUUAGGUUGAAGCUUUUUCAAGGUCCCUUAAUUUUGGUUCAAGAGAUUUUACAGUCAAAUGGUGAUUUCCUAAGUAGAGUUGUGUGAUUUCAUUGUUUUCGCUUAAUGUUGUUUGUUUCUACUAAAAGAAAGUAGAACAAAAUUAUUGUAAAGAAGUGUUCAAAUCUAACUAUAUUUAUAUUUUAAAUGGUUUUUAUUAAAAUUAUAAAAUGACUAAAACACCCUUAAAUAAUAUAAUUUAUUUUAAUUUCGAAGAAAAUUUUCAUGAUUUUUUUAAUCGAUUUGGUACCCAAUUGACUCAUAACACCAGCUCAAUUAAGGACUUAAAUAAUAGUAUAAAUUUAUUAAUAAUUUAUUAUAUUAUUCAUCAUAUAUUACUAUUUUAUAAUUAUUUAUAUUUUAUUUACUAUAUAUUAUGAAUAUUAUAAAGAUGAGAUUAUUUAUUAAAAGUUUUGUAACAACCAAAAAUCUUGGUGGCAUAAAUGAUAUUAUUAUGAGAAUAUAAAUAGUACAAUUUUCAAAAAGAGGGUAAGAAUUAUUAAUUGAAUAAUGUAAGUAGAAUUGGACACCAAAAUGAAAAAGUAUAAAUAGAAAUUUUUGAGAAAGGAUUCAAUUGAAAUUUUGCAAAAGUGUGAGGAAUAAAAUGUGAAUAGCUUAUAAAAGAAAAAUGGUAGAAAAGUGAUGAAGUAUUUUAUGUAAAAAUGAAAUUGAAAAUAUAUUGAUAUUUAGAAUUUAAAAAAUUAGGGAGUUAAUUAAAUUGUAAUUAAAAAAUUAGGAGGGACUUAAGUGAAAAGAUGAGUUAACUGUAAUUAAACCAUGAAGAAAUAAUACCUCCAAAAGUAAUUAUUACAUUAGGAUACAGAUAAGUGAUGGAAAAGGGUUGAAAUGACUAGAAAAGUAAUUAAUGAUUUAAUAACUAAAUAAAAUAAAUGAUGAAAUGCCGAGAAAUGACAAAUAUAUCGGGCAAAACACUAAAAAAAGCCCUUUUUUUUUAAAUUUACCAAAAUAGGCUGGUUUUUUAAUUAUUUACCGGAAUGGGCCGUUUUCCCCGAAAUCGCGUCCACGUCAGCGCGAUGUCGGGGAACGUGACAGGUCAUCGCGUCCACGUCAGCAGGUCACGCUGACGUGGACGGGAUGACCUGUCACGUAGCGCGUUUUCCGGGGCGCGAUUUUGACGUUGAUUUCACGUUGGGUUUUCUGGGUUUUAAGGUUUAGGGUGCAAGCUUUUUUAGGGUUUAGGGGUACCGAAAAAAAUUAUUUCGUUUAGGGUGCAGGCUUUUUUAGGGUUUAGGGGUCCCGAAAAAAAUUAUUUCGAGUUGACGUUUCUGGUCAAAUAGUAUAAAAUCGCUUCUACCAGGAUGCUAUUAGAGAAGAAAUUGUGAAAUCGUGCCCUCGUGGACGCCAUUUCAGCACAGUUGGUCAUGUAAGAAAUAAUUUUUUUUUGACGUUUUCUGAGCAAAUAGUAUAAAAUCGCUGAUACCAGGAUGCUAUAUGAGAAGAAAUUGUGAAAUCGCGCCCUCGUGGACGCGAUUUCGCUACAGUUGGUCAUGUAGGAAAUAAUUAUUUUUUGACGUUUCUGAGCAAAUAGUGUCAAAUCGCGCCCUCGUGGACACGAUUUUGCUACAGUAGCAAGUUUGGGCUGAGGCUAUAAAUUAGGUAGAAAAUGUUCUUAAAAUGCAUAAGUCAUAGCAGAAACAUUUUAGAGAGGCUAAGAAAGUUAGAGUUUCAAAAUGAGUGAACGUAUUAGUGCUGUUAUUUACUACGAUGGUGAGGUUUGCCACACCGAGAAUGGUGUUGUUUUUUGUCGGAGAAUACGGUGCNNNNNNNNNNNNNNNNNNNNNNNNNNNNNNNNNNNNNNNNNNNNNNNNNNNNNNNNNNNNNNNNNNNNNNNNNNNNNNNNNNNNNNNNNNNNNNNNNNNNNNNNNNNNNNNNNNNNNNNNNNNNNNNNNNNNNNNNNNNNNNNNNNNNNNNNNNNNNNNNNNNNNNNNNNNNNNNNNNNNNNNNNNNNNNNNNNNNNNNNNNNNNNNNNNNNNNNNNNNNNNNNNNNNNNNNNNNNNNNNNNNNNNNNNNNNNNNNNNNNNNNNNNNNNNNNNNNNNNNNNNNNNNNNNNNNNNNNNNNNNNNNNNNNNNNNNNNNNNNNNNNNNNNNNNNNNNNNNNNNNNNNNNNNNNNNNNNNNNNNNNNNNNNNNNNNNNNNNNNNNNNNNNNNNNNNNNNNNNNNNNNNNNNNNNNNNNNNNNNNNNNNNNNNNNNNNNNNNNNNNNNNNNNNNNNNNNNNNNNNNNNNNNNNNNNNNNNNNNNNNNNNNNNNNNNNNNNNNNNNNNNNNNNNNNNNNNNNNNNNNNNNNNNNNNNNNNNNNNNNNNNNNNNNNNNNNNNNNNNNNNNNNNNNNNNNNNNNNNNNNNNNNNNNNNNNNNNNNNNNNNNNNNNNNNNNNNNNNNNNNNNNNNNNNNNNNNNNNNNNNNNNNNNNNNNNNNNNNNNNNNNNNNNNNNNNNNNNNNNNNNNNNNNNNNNNNNNNNNNNNNNNNNNNNNNNNNNNNNNNNNNNNNNNNNNNNNNNNNNNNNNNNNNNNNNNNNNNNNNNNNNNNNNNNNNNNNNNNNNNNNNNNNNNNNNNNNNNNNNNNNNNNNNNNNNNNNNNNNNNNNNNNNNNNNNNNNNNNNNNNNNNNNNNNNNNNNNNNNNNNNNNNNNNNNNNNNNNNNNNNNNNNNNNNNNNNNNNNNNNNNNNNNNNNNNNNNNNNNNNNNNNNNNNNNNNNNNNNNNNNNNNNNNNNNNNNNNNNNNNNNNNNNNNNNNNNNNNNNNNNNNNNNNNNNNNNNNNNNNNNNNNNNNNNNNNNNNNNNNNNNNNNNNNNNNNNNNNNNNNNNNNNNNNNNNNNNNNNNNNNNNNNNNNNNNNNNNNNNNNNNNNNNNNNNNNNNNNNNNNNNNNNNNNNNNNNNNNNNNNNNNNNNNNNNNNNNNNNNNNNNNNNNNNNNNNNNNNNNNNNNNNNNNNNNNNNNNNNNNNNNNNNNNNNNNNNNNNNNNNNNNNNNNNNNNNNNNNNNNNNNNNNNNNNNNNNNNNNNNNNNNNNNNNNNNNNNNNNNNNNNNNNNNNNNNNNNNNNNNNNNNNNNNNNNNNNNNNNNNNNNNNNNNNNNNNNNNNNNNNNNNNNNNNNNNNNNNNNNNNNNNNNNNNNNNNNNNNNNNNNNNNNNNNNNNNNNNNNNNNNNNNNNNNNNNNNNNNNNNNNNNNNNNNNNNNNNNNNNNNNNNNNNNNNNNNNNNNNNNNNNNNNNNNNNNNNNNNNNNNNNNNNNNNNNNNNNNNNNNNNNNNNNNNNNNNNNNNNNNNNNNNNNNNNNNNNNNNNNNNNNNNNNNNNNNNNNNNNNNNNNNNNNNNNNNNNNNNNNNNNNNNNNNNNNNNNNNNNNNNNNNNNNNNNNNNNNNNNNNNNNNNNNNNNNNNNNNNNNNNNNNNNNNNNNNNNNNNNNNNNNNNNNNNNNNNNNNNNNNNNNNNNNNNNNNNNNNNNNNNNNNNNNNNNNNNNNNNNNNNNNNNNNNNNNNNNNNNNNNNNNNNNNNNNNNNNNNNNNNNNNNNNNNNNNNNNNNNNNNNNNNNNNNNNNNNNNNNNNNNNNNNNNNNNNNNNNNNNNNNNNNNNNNNNNNNNNNNNNNNNNNNNNNNNNNNNNNNNNNNNNNNNNNNNNNNNNNNNNNNNNNNNNNNNNNNNNNNNNNNNNNNNNNNNNNNNNNNNNNNNNNNNNNNNNNNNNNNNNNNNNNNNNNNNNNNNNNNNNNNNNNNNNNNNNNNNNNNNNNNNNNNNNNNNNNNNNNNNNNNNNNNNNNNNNNNNNNNNNNNNNNNNNNNNNNNNNNNNNNNNNNNNNNNNNNNNNNNNNNNNNNNNNNNNNNNNNNNNNNNNNNNNNNNNNNNNNNNNNNNNNNNNNNNNNNNNNNNNNNNNNNNNNNNNNNNNNNNNNNNNNNNNNNNNNNNNNNNNNNNNNNNNNNNNNNNNNNNNNNNNNNNNNNNNNNNNNNNNNNNNNNNNNNNNNNNNNNNNNNNNNNNNNNNNNNNNNNNNNNNNNNNNNNNNNNNNNNNNNNNNNNNNNNNNNNNNNNNNNNNNNNNNNNNNNNNNNNNNNNNNNNNNNNNNNNNNNNNNNNNNNNNNNNNNNNNNNNNNNNNNNNNNNNNNNNNNNNNNNNNNNNNNNNNNNNNNUCACUCGAGGACGUAGAAAUGGAAAGCGAAAUCGUGCCCAUGAUUGCAGUAGUGACAGGCAACCUCCGAUUUUUGCUCUCCUCGGUUUCGUCGCCCGCACAUCUCACGAUAUAAUGUUGCCAAGACGGCAGACCCCCAACUAAAUUCACCGGUUGCUCUAAAAUCAACGAGUUUUAGCAGCCACCUUAGAUGUACACGGCUCCGUGACGUGUCGGCCAUCCGAUUGCCUCCAAUUAUUUGAAGAAUGUAUGAUCGGGCAUAUCGAAUUCUUUCAAUUUCGGUUGAAUUUUCAUUCAGAUCGGGGAAGGUGGCACGUAACCAGCCCAUCUCCACCUUACCUCCAUCCAUUUUAUCCGGUACAGCGCCCAAAAGCUCGUAACACACCGCCUCCUAGUUGCUAGAUUGGGCAGACCCGGUGACUGGGUGCCCGUCCACCGGCAAUCCCAAAUGCAGAUGGACAUCUUCUAGAGUGAUAGUGCACUCUCCACAUGGAAGAUGAAAUGUGUGCGUCUCGGGUCUCCACCUCUCGAUGAGCGCACUGAUCAGUUUCGGCUCCAACUUGCAUCCCAGGCCUACCGUCGCCACGUGCCAAAAUCUCGCUUCCCGCAGGUAGUUCUCUACUAAUGGUGAUGGAGGACCAUGCAUAUUCCGAAUAAUGCAUUCCAAUACCCGAUCUUCAGACUAUUAUAACAAAAAAUAAAUUAAUAUUUAUCUAAAAAUACAUAAAUAAAAUUAUCUUAAAUAAAAUUUAAAAUUUAAAUUUAAUACUUACCAUUUUCAUUUGCUCCACCGAUAUGUGAUUCCUAUCAAGACGAAUCAAUGAUUCGGCCAUUGCAGAAAAUAUUAAAAAUUUUAAAAUUAUUUUAAAAAAAUAAAAAUAUUUAAAAUUUUCUUUAAAAAAAAUGAAAUUGAAUGGAAAAAGAAAUUUAAUAUGGAGUUUAGAGAUUUUUUGAAGGAAAUUGUGAGGAUUUUGGAAGGAAUUCGAGAGUUUAAGAGAAUUUUGGAAGGAAAUUGAGAGAAUUUUGGAAGGACUUUGAGAGAAUUUUUGAAUGAAAUUGAGAUAGGAUUUGUUUGUGAAAAAAUAAGAGGUAGGGGGGGUUUUUAUAGUUUAAAAAUUUCUGACUGUUGGGGGGGCAACGGUCAAAUUUUUGACCGUUGGGGUACUGUUCAUGCGCGGGUGUCAUCGCGUCCACGUCAGCGCGACCUGCUGACGUGGAAGGAAAUCGCUUCCUCAGGGACGCGAUUUCCUUCCAUGUCGGCAGGUCGCGCUGACGUGGACGCGAUGACCUAUCACGUUCCCCGACAUCGCACUGACGUGGACGCGAUUUCGGGGAAAACGGCCCAUUCCGGUAAAUAAUUAAAAAACCGGCCUAUUUCGGUAAAUUAAAAAAAAAAAGGGCUUUUUUUAGUGUUUUGCCCAAAUAUAUCAUGAUCUUUCAUCCGGAGGUGGAUUUAGGGGUUAGCCCUCUAAAAUGGAAAUUCUGUUAUUUUAAAUUUUUUAAAAUUUAAAAAUUUUAAAUUAAUAAAGAUAAAAUUAUACUUUGACUCUCUUAAAAGUAUUAAAAUUUGAUUUAAUCUUUUAAAAAUUAUAAAUAUAUAAAUAAUUUAAUUUCGAACCUAAACUUAUUUCCUGACUUGCCCCUGCUUCCAUCAUUGGUUUCGGAUAAAGAUACUCCAUGUUUUUUUCAACUAUAUUUUUUAUACUAACAAUGGACUCGAAAAUAGAAUGAGAACACCGUAUGAUGGGAAUUUUAGUGAAAAAGUUGUUACGACCUGAGAAUUUUAGAAGAAAAUCUUUAUGCCCAAGUCUUGUGGAAAAUAUAUAUAUAUAUAUAUAUAUAUCUUUUUUGAGGAUUUCGAAUUUCAUAUUAGAGGAAAUAAAUGUUAAUCUUGAUCAAUGGGUUUAUAAUUGUCCAUUUGUAGAUCAAGUUACUGCUAUAUAGGUUGAAGGAAAUAACUCGAAUGUUUUAUUUGAAAGAGACAUAACAAUUCAUGAUCAUUCUAGAAGGUAAGAUAGGGUUAAAUGGUAUAAUUUUGUUGUUACAAUGUUGUGCAAUAUCCUAUACUCUUCCCAAAUGGAUAAGUUGGGUGGCAUCAAACUGUUAAGAAAGUUAGACUUAAUGGUAAUGAAGAAAUUUUUGAAUGUGAAAAUAAUUUUAUAAUUUUUUAAAUUAUUUUAAUUUUAUUAGUUUUAUUUAAUAAUUGUUUUUACAAUUUCUCUAUUAUACAUUUGUAAGUAAUUGAAUUUGUGAGUAGAAACUAAAUGGUGGAAUACAAAUAGAAAAAAAAAAGCCCUAAUGAAAUACAACAUUUUUGAAUUCACCAUAACUUAACUCACAAAUACAUUUUCAUAUUUACGAGUUUUUAAACAUAAAAAACAAUGAUUUUAAGACUUCUUCAAAGAAAAAAAAAGGGUUAAAAAGAAGCAAAAGGGUUUUGGAAGGCAAACAAUAAAGUGUAAAGAAGCUUUAUAUGUUUAAGGUUAUUUAAAUAUUCACCUGGAAAUAUUUCAUUAAUGGAAGCAUCACUCGCAACAAUAUUUUGAAGAUUUAAGAGCUUCAAAACUUCAAGCUUAAAAUACACCCUUCUGGAAGUUGUCCAUGCCAUAUCUCUUUCAUGUUGCCAUUGCUUUCCAAUCUCAGUUCUUGUAAACAAGGGAAUGUGACCUGGUCAGUUGACAAAUGUGUUAAACAAAAGCAAGGAUUAAUUUCGAUGAAGGAAAUGGAAUUGUCGCAAUGAGUUUAUUACAUAUCCAGACACUCUUGAACUCUCAAUGUCGCAUAAUACUAAUACAAAUCUCAUGCUCGGUCUUCCGUUUUAGAUGGUAAACAUGCAUACUAUUUGAAAUCAGAUUAGGAUAGCAAGGAUGCAAUUAGAUAAAGGGUAUAGAAUUGUGCCAACAGUUCUGUCAACAUUGCUUAAUACUAAUACUAUUUUCAUCCUUGGCCCUUCGUUUUAGUUAGUAAACAUGCAUGCUAUUAGAAUUCAGAUCAGGAUAGCUAUCGAGAGAAUGCUUAUGGAUUAGAUGUGGAUGGAUUUAUGCAGAAAGAAAAACAUGCACAUCUAGUUUUACUAAUUACUAUGUUAGAAUAAGAAAUAGAAAAUGAAUGCAUCUUGUGGACAUGUUUCAUAUACCAUAUUGAUCCAAAAUAAGGGUUGCUGUCCUCCUGUUUCAUGGGAGCUUAAUAUUCUGUAGCAAAUAUCUCCACUUUGUCACAUCCAUAAAGAUCCAAAUUUUUCAAUAAUGGCCAUUCGGUGGUAUGCAGCCCAGAGUAGAAACUCUUCAGUUUUGGUAGCAUAGAAAGGUUCAGCUAUGUCAUUUGAGGAAAUAAAAACUGGUUCUUAUUUCUGCCUCGGUGAAUUUGUGUUCAAAUAAUUCUUCUAAUGAGGCACACUCCAUUAUUUGCAGAUUUUUUAGUCUCUGAAGUCUUUCCAGCAUAUUAAGUGGGAAAAUGUUUGAUAGUUUCACACAACUAUGCACUUCAAGGUGUUUUAAUUUGGAGGAGGAGUUCAUCUCAAGUUGGUCAUCCCAUAUCCUUUCCAUAUUCCCCAUGUCUACAAUUGUCAAAUCCUUUAACAAAGGUAAUGACACCUACAAAAAUCAUUUGAUUGUGUUAAUAACAGGACAUGGUUAAGUAUGUGAGAAAAGAGACAGAACAAUGGAGAGAGGGCCUUUCGACUUUAUUUGAUGAAUUCUGUCUUAAAAUAUUUUAAGCCCCAGAAAAUAUCACUGAACAAUGGGUGCAAAGAGAUACAUGGAUGCAAUUGCCAAGCAUUUUUCAUUUCGAAAAUUGCACUUACAGAAAAAUCGUUUUAAAGAAAGUGAAAAAUUCACAAUGCAGAUCAGCCUGACCUUAUUAAUGAAAAAGGGUUUAGCAGAGACAUUGGACGCAUCCUUUACAAGAAUAUUCGAGUAUUCUCCACCAAUGAUCUCAUUGUGCAGCUUGUUUGAAACAGUGGAUGCAAAUGCAACCAUCUUUGGCCAGCCAACUAACGGAAUUUCCUUCAAGUUUGGACAUUCCAAUAAAAUAUAUACAUCACACACACACACACACACACACACACACACACAUAUAUAUAAUAUAGUAAGGGUUGUUAUUAUUAUUUACUAUUACUUUAGCCUAAAUUAAAAAUGAUCUAAUUUGAUUAAGGGUUAUUGGGCUUUAAUUAUUAAAUAAAGUAUAAGUCAAAUAUGUAUAGAUACUCUAGUAAUUGAGUUCUAAUUAAUUUCUAAUUAAUAAUGGGUAAUUAGGAAUUAUGACUAAUAUGCCAAAGCUAUAUAUAUUAGGGUUAUGACCCCUAAAUUACAGACAAUAUAUAUUUUCUAAUAUCCCAUCCUUAGGAAAGAGAGAGCAAAUAUUCUCUGAAUUUUUUGUGUGCUAAUUUGGAAGAUUAAAUUUUCAAAAUUCAUAGAUUUGAAGGAAUUCAUGGAUUCAGGUAUGCUUCCCCAUCUAAUUUUAUUAUUAAUUUGUUCUUAAUGAUUUGACUUGAUAGAUCCUGGCUUAUAGUUUAUUAAGUUUUUUUUAGAUUUAUUUUAAAAAUCGAACAAGUGGUAUCAGAGUCUCGUCAUGUUGAAUCAUUGAGAAUGAAUUGAUUUUUUGUUAUUUUUGGAUUGAUUCGUUUUUUUUAAUUUUAUGGAUUUGAUAUUUUAAUUAUAUACUAUGUUGAAACUUUGAGUUUCUUGAUAAAAAUUUUGGGUUUUAAUUCUUUAAGUAAAGUUUUAGGGUUUUAUAAAUAUAAUCUAGUUUAAUAUUUGCAUAUGCUAUUCGAAAUAUGAAUGUUUAUUUAUUUAUAUAUAUAUAUAAUCAAUUGAUAAAAAUUGAUUUGUGAGAUUUCUUUAUCUUCUUUUUGCACAAUUAUUUUAUAAAUUUUGGUUAAAGUCAUUAUUAGAUUAAAGUUACAUACUUAUAACUUUUUGCAAUUGAAGAAUUCCAAUUGGGAUGUAUAAUUGGUUUUGAAAGUUAAUUUAUUUGAUAAUCGAAUAAAUGAAUGUUGUUAAGAUUUUUUUUUGCACUAUUUAUUUUAAAUUUGUGGUUGAAUGUAUAUGGAAUUAUCAUCUUUUGUGUUUAUUCAUGAUGAAUUAUAUUCACCAUUGAAUUCAAUUCAUAUAUACGAACUAUUACUUUUGGUUUCUGCUAUAAUUAUUUUAUAUAAGUUUUAGUCCUUAUAGAACUAGACUAAAAUUAAAAUAUUUGAGAUUUUUUUUAAUAUGGUGGCUAUGAAUUUUCAUAAGUAGUUGCGCAUAUGAAGGCUUUUAUACAAUUUGAGAUUCUUUUUAUAUUUGGUAGUUAUGGAUUUUUUUUAAGUAUUUGUGCAUAUAAAAAAGUUUUAUGAUAAUGUCUUUAGUCAUGAAUAUAAAUUUGAGUUUACAUGAAAUAUGUAAGACAAGCAGUAUUAUUUUUCUAUUAUUAUAAUUGUGUGUAUAUAUAUUAUAUGCAUAUCAAUGAUUUUGAGGAUUAAUGCAUGAUUAUAGUUUAUGUGAAUAGGUGUUUAUAACCAUUAUUCAAUAAGAUAAUUUUUAUAGUUUAAUUGGUGAUAAUUUUUAUAGUUUAAUUGGUGAAAUUAAGUUUUGAUGGAUAUUGUUAAAGUUGUUAAAUUUUUUUAUUAUGGUUAUAUAUUUAAUUUUAUAGGUGCUUUGGUGCAAAUUCAUGUCAACUAUACACAUGCUUAAAUAAUUUGGUUUUAAGUUUAGUUCUAUAAUAUUAUUAGGUUUUGGGUUCCAAAUAUUUGGUUAAAUUAUAAUGUUAUGGUUUAUUGCAUGAAUUAUGAGAUAUGCCAACUAUUAUGAUUUUGUUUUUGAAAUUUAUUGGCUUGAAAAUAUUUUCAAGUAUUCAUGCGAAUCUAUAUUUAAUCAUAAAUACAACUUUAGAAUUACAUGGUAUAUUUCUAUUUGAUUAUGAAUACAUAUAUAUAUAUAUAUAUAUGCGUGAAUUGUUUUGGUGUUUUUGUCUAUGCCAAAAUUAUGAAUACAUGUGCUUGUUAAUUAUUUGGCUUUAAACCACUACAUUAUUUCUGUUUGGUUUUGAUAUAUAUGGUUUUGGAACAAAAAAAACACAAUCAAAUAUUAAGGUUUUUAGGUUUUUAUUACAUUAUUAAGACGACCUUAUUUUGGGUUAUUUCAGAGUCUAUAAAGCAAUAAAUAAAAUAUUUUUGACCUUUAACUAUUGGGUAAAUUUUAAAUUUGAAUAUUAGUAUGUUUAUAUAAUUUUUUAAAAUAACUUAAUUAAAGCAAUAAGUCACCAAAAUGAUUUUUUUUAUAAAUUAUUUUUUUAAACUAUAAAAGGUUGUGUGCAUGUAACUUAUGUUAAUAUUGAUCGGCCUAACUGAAGGUUAAUAAUAUUAUAUGUGCCACUAUGGUAAUAAAGAUGUGACAAUUAUUCGGUUUUACAUGUGAGCAAUAAAUUGGCCCAAAGGAAGAUUUAUGGUUCGGCAUGUUCUUAUUAUCAAUGUUUGAUUAUUACACCAGUAUAUCACUUACAAAUUAAUAUUUUUUUCCAAAGAUGAAAUAUUAAUAGAGUGUACGAUAUCUUGAUAUGAGGUUUAAAUUUAAAGUAUUAUGUAAGCUUAUUUUAAUUUAUUCAACUAUUAUUAUAUUUGCCAGUAUGUUGUUUUGGGAUAAAUAUAUAUUCAUAUAUAUACUAUUAUCUUUUAAUUUGAUUGAAAGAUGAAAUUAAGAGAAAUAUUUUGAAACAAAUAAAUUCAGAUUUUGACUUUAGGUUUUAAUUAAGGAUGUUUAAUAUUUUAAGUAGAUUAGUUGAAACAAAAUGCUGCCAAAGUGACCUCUUUUGUGUAGAUUAGUUUAUUUAAAAUAUCAAGAUGAUUAUAUGUUUUUGUGAUUCAUGCGUUUAUUAAUUGAACCAAAGGCAAGUUAACAUUUGGUGAAAUUUCAACAACAUCUGUGGUGAUAAAUGUGUGACAAUUAUAAGGUAAUUUAUGUGAACAAUAAGUUAGUCCAAAGAUUAAUUCAUUGUUUGACAUAAUUUAUUGUCAAUGUUUAAUUGUUGCAACAAGAGUACCGUUUACUGUUAAUAUUAUUGUCCAAAGACUUUAUAUUAAUGUUGUGUUUGGUAUCUUGAGAUGGGGUUAGUCAUUAUUUUGAAUUUAUUGUUUACUUAUGAAUAUUGAUGUGACCUUAUUUUUAUUUAUUUAUUAUUCUAUAUUCAACUAAUUAAUCUUCUACUGCCACAAUAUCUGCUAAUAUAAAUUCUAUACUCAUACUUAAUGUGACUAAUUUCAAUGAAUGGAAAAGACAUUUACCUAUAGUGCUUGACUAUAUGAACAUAGAACAUUGCACUAACGGAAGAACAACCCCCACCUCUCACUACGGGAAACACCCCUUAUGUUAAAAGGAAUUUUGAGAGGUGGGAUCGUUCAAAUUGCAUGAGUUUAAUUAUCAUGAAGCACAACAUUUCAGAAGCCUUUAGGGGCAUAGAAUCUGAAAAGAUUACUCACGCAAAAGUUUCCUUGACAAAAUUGAAAAACGUUUUGCUAAAAACGAUAAGGUUGAAAUGACAUCACUUCUAACUUUUUUGAUGUCUACAAAGCAUAAGGGUCAAGGAAAUUCUGAGCGAUUUAAAGGCUAUGAGUUUUAUGAUCCCACAAUUAGGAAUAUUUUUUAGAUGAAAAUUGUAACAUUAUUUUAGGAUGUUGAGUUUGGAGGGAGAAAUAAGGUUAGAGAUAUUGCUUUUAAGGAGGAAUUGAAUUCUAACUCAGUUUCUACUAUCACUUUUGAUGAUGUUUAGGUUCUCACACCUAUCAUUGAUUAAGAAGUGAAUCCAGAACCUCAGUAAGACAAUGUUGAACAAAUCUCUAUUCAAGAUGAGGUAAUUGUUCUAGAAUAACAAACUCAACAACCUCAAUAAUGAAUGUCUUUAAAAAGGUCCACUAGAGAAAGUGUUAUACUGGCUUUAGUGGAACAUUUUGACCUUAAGCUACAUUAGAUGAAUAUUAAGUUAAUGGUUUCUCAAUGGUAACAUUGAUCAUACAUUUAUAUGGUGCAAUUACAAAACUUUGUGUUUGAUGAUGAAAAGGUAAUGAUUUGAAAAUUAAAUAACUUCAUCUAUGGGAUUAAGUAGACUUCUUGUCAAUAAUAUUACAAAUUUUACCAAAUGAUUAUCUCAUUCAGUUUAGAGAUGAAUUUUGUUGAUAAUUGUAUAUACCAUAAGUUUAGUAGGAGUAAGGUUCUAUAUUUGGUUUUAUAUGUUAAUGACAUACUGCUUGUCAAUAAUAAGUAUAGGCUCAAUCAAUGCCCUAAGAAUGAUUUUGAGAUUACAAAAAUUCAUAAGAUUUUUUACAUUUUAGCAGUGGAAAGUCUAAUGUACGUUCAGGUUUGUAUACAUUGGAAUAUUGUUUACACUGUUGGGAUGUUAGCCAGAUUUUUAAGCAAACCUGGUUUGGACAAUUAGAUAGCAACAAAGAGGGUUAUGAGGUAUUUUCAGAGAACAAAAGAUUACAUGUUCACAUAUCAAAUGUCUAAUCAGUUAGAGAUCAUCAAGUAUACAGACACCAAUUUUGAUGGAAUAUGGAUAUAAUAUCUUGUCACUAAGGUGCAAAUUGUGAAAACAAAUUGCAAUAUUUUAUUCCAAUAGCAACAGGGGUACAUCAAAGUCAAAACAAAUAGACUUUAAGUUCCUAGUUAUUAAAGUAAAGUUCAGAGUGGUUAGGUGCCUAUAAAGCAUAUUAGAACAAUCUCCAUGAUAGUGGAUCCGCUUACUAAUGGGCUACACCUAAGGUUUUAUAAGAGCACACUGCUUAUAUGGGCGUAAUUUCAUUUAAGGAUAUUUGGUUUUAGUGGGAGUUUGUACUUUUAAAUACUUUUAUGUUAUAGACACAUUUUCAGUUAUUUCAAUUUAUGUAUAUUAAGUUUAUUUUCUGUAGAAAAAAAGUUUAUUUGCUUUAUUCACACUCUGAUUUUGGUAAGGUUUGAUCUCACUAAGGUUUAAGAAUGACCAGUUGAAAAUAGACAUGUUUAGAUCAUAUUGCAUAUAAUUUUUCAUGCUACACAUCCAUACUUGAUCAAUGUCAUUUGGUUGUGUUAAUAUACAUGAUCAAGAUGGAUUUGGUUACAAUAUAUGUAACGAAAGUCGCAUUGGUUUGAUGUUAACAUAAUUAAUGGACGAGAUUGUUUAGAAUACAUUUUGGAUAUGAUAGUAAAACUUUUUAGCUCAUAAGGUCAUAUAAUAACAUGUAAUUAUAAAAUAAUUAGUAUAUAUAUGUGGUCCAAGUGGGAGAUUGUUGGAAAAUAUGGACAUCACAUAUAUAUAAUAAGGGUAAUUAUAUGUUAUUAUUUACUAUCAUAAUAGGUUAACCCAAAUUAAAAGAGAUCUAAUUUGGUUAAGGGUUAUCGGGAUUUAAUUAUUAAAUAAAGUAUGAGUCAAACAUGUGUAGAUACUCUAGUAAUUGAGUUCUAAUUAAUUUCGAAUUAAUGAUGGACUAAUUAGGAAUUAGGACUAAUAUGCCAAAGUUAUAUAUAUUAGGGUUGUGGUCUCCAAAUUACAAACAAGAUAUCUUUUUUAAUAUCCCAUCCUUAGGAAAGAGAGAGAAAAUAUUCUUUAAUUCUUGUGUGCUAAUUUGGAAGAUCAAAUCCCUAAAAUCCAUAGAUUUCAAGAAAAUUCAUGGAUUCAGGUACGCUUCCGUAUCUAGUUUUAUUGUUGAUUUAUUCGUAAUGAUUUGAUAUGAUACAUCCUAGCUUACAAUUUAUUAAGUUUUAUUUUAGAUUUAUUUUACAAAUCUGACAUUCAAUGCAAAACUUCCUGAGGAAAACCAUGCCAAGUCCAAACAAGACUUGAUAGUUAUUGUUUUAAGCUGAGGGAAUAUAAUCUUCAUUGUAGUUGAUUUGUCAUCUCUAAUGAUUUCUUCAAUUACUUUGCAAUUUUUUACUUUUAUCUGUUGCAGCUGCACAAGAUCUGCAGCCAUGGAAGCUGUUAACAUGUAUCUCAAGUUGUUAUAGUCAUACACUUUGUUGGUGUAAAGAACAAAUGAAAGAAAAAAAUAGCUUGUAGCUUCUGCAACAAGGCUCGAUACUUGCGGAAGAAACAACCGAAUUUGAAAAACAAAAGAAAGAACAAAAACAAGAUAAAAUGGAGAGUAUAUGCAAGAAAACAAACUGAUUUCAUUCAACUUUGAACAAUGGCAUAAUGCCAAUACAUAAACCAAGCAUUAAGCUUGUCAAAAAAAUAGUAAGUGAUCACCUAAUCAACACCUACUACCACUAAUACAUUGAAACUUGCAAAACAAAGCUUGUACGCAUAGACAAAUCUGAGUUAAUAGCUCAUUCACUAUCAAAUUACAUCAAUCCUUAACCUAACAUAGUUCAAAAUGAACUAGAUUACAUUACAUCAUCCUAAGCUUACAAAAUGAAUAGCAGCAUUAGCUUCAGCAGCUCCUACAUGGCCCGAUCUUUAUGGUCUGCUUCUUGAUUGCUUUGUUACAUGCUGACCAAACUUCAACACCCCUCCUUGGUUAGCAUGUUACAAACUCCUAGUCUUUUACUCAAAUGCUUGAAUCUUGUUACACAAAGAGGCUUGGUUAAAAUGUCAGCAAGUUGAUCCUCUGAAUUGCAAUAGACUAGUUUCACUUCCUGAGCCUGCUCCAUUUCUGUAACAACAUGGAGUUUAAUAUUGAAAUGUUUUGUUCUUCUAUGGACCACUGGAUUUUUUGCGAAUGCAAUAGCAAAUUGAUUGUCACAAAAGAUCUUUGUUGCUUCCCUGUGAUGCACAUUCAAGUCAACCAUAAUUUUUCUUAGCCAAAUGGCUUGGUUGACAACACUUGCACUUACAACAUAUUCGGCUUCAACAGUGGAUUGAGCAACUAGUGUUUGCUUCUUCGAGCUCCAACUGAACAUGGCUGAACCAAGAUUGAAAGCAUACCCAGAGGUGUUUUUCAUGUCAUCCAUCAAACCAUCCCAGUCACUGUCAAUUUAGCCAACCAACUUCAGGCUUUUAGCUUUGUUGUACAUCAAGCCAUGGCUCAACGUACCCUUGACAUACCUGAGCACUCUUUUUCCAGCUUGAAGGUGCUUCUCAUUGCUACAAUGCAAGAACCUUGAGAGCAAACUUAUAGCAAACAUAAUGUCAAGUCUAGUGGCUGUUAAAUACAGCAAACAACCAACUAAACUUCUGUAGGUUGUUUCACAAACCCUUUCAAAAUUACCAUAGCUCGAUAGCUUUUCUCCAACAGCAACUGGAGUAUUUUUUGCUUUGCUGUUUGGCAUUGAGAACUUGGUCAAAAUCUUGGAAGCAAAAGCUCUCUGAAUUAGGAAUAUCCCAUGGUAUGUUCGUGUCACUUCCAUGCCAAAGAAAUAGCUCAUCCUUAUCAGACAUCUCAAACAUCUGCUACAUUUUGGUUUUGAAAUCAGUCAGCAUUAUUUGUUCUCCUCCUGUCACUAGCAGGUCAUGAACAUACAGGGAUACAAUGAGCUAAGUUUGUGCCCCUUCCUUCUUGACAUACAAGGUUGGCUCGCUGUUGCUUCUUUCAAAUCCCAAACUGACCAGGUAGCCAUCGAUCUUGUUAUACCAGCCUUUUGGAGCCUGUUUCAAGCCAUACAAGGUUUUUUUCAUUUUGUAGACCAUAUGUUCUUUACCAGCUACUUCAAAACCCCGUGGUUGUUUAACAUAAAUUUCUUCCUCAAUAAAUCCAUUAAGGAAGGCUGACUUUACAUCGAUUUGGUGGAUUUUCCACUGCAUUUGUGCUAUUAAGGCAAUCAACAGUCUGAUGGUGUCUAGCCUGACCACUAGUGCAAAGGUCUCCAGGUAAUCCAGACCAUAAUUUUGGCUAAACCCCUUAACAACCAGCCUUGCUUUUAGCUUAUUCAAGUUCUCAUCAGCAUUGUGCUUGGCUCGAUAAACCCAUUUCACCCCAAUGAUCUUCCUUUUGACUGGUCUUUCAACCAGCUUCCAAGUCUGAUUCUUCUCAAUCAUGUUGAUUUCAUCAGCCAUUACUUGCUUCCACACUUGUUGAGCUUCAGCCUCUUCAAAACAGCUUGGUUCAGCUAUGGCUACUUGAGCUCUUUCAUAAAUCUCAACCAAUGGUCUAGUACCCCUGACUGGUUCAUCACCAAUGUCCAUUUUAGGACUAUUUUGAUAUGGCUCAGUUUGGUCUAUUACAAGAUCUUCAGAAACUGCCUGUGGCUCAUUCUUUUCCCAAUUCCAACAUGACUUCUCAUCAAACACCACAUCUCUGCUUACAAACACUUUGCUUGUUGAAGGAUCCAAGAUCACAUAACCCUUUUUGACUGUGCUGUAGCCCACUAAAAUACCAGGUCGAGCUCUUUUAACCAGUUUAUCCCUUUUAACAGCAGGCACAUGUGCACAGCAGAUACAACAAAAGACCUUUAGGUGAGCCAAUGAUGGUUUGAAUCCAAACCAGGCCUCAAAAUGAGUUUUGUGAUCCAAAGCCUUGGUAGGAAGCCUAUUUUGGAUAUACACAGCAGUGUUAACUACCUCAGUCCACAAGGUUAUAGGCAAAUUCUUCUCAAAUAGUAGGCAUCUAGCCAUAUCCAUCAAGCUCCUGUUCUUCAUCUCACUUACACAAUUUUGUUGAGGAGUAUAGGUGUUGGUGAGCUGGUGUUUGAUGCCUGCCUUAUCACAAAAGGCCUGGAACUGAGCUGAGGUGUACUCAGUCCUAUUGUCAGACCUUAUGGUCUUGAGCUUGCAAUCUGUUUCAGUUUCAGCAGUAAUCUUGAACUUUGAAAACACUAAGCCUACCUCUAAUUUCUGUUUCAAAAAAUAAAUCCAGUAAAAUCUUGAAAAAUCAUCAAUAAAUAGAAUGAAGUACCUACUUCCAUUCAGUGACUUGGUCUUCAUAGGGCCACACACAUCAGUGUGCAUGAGCUGCAGCCUUUCAGAGGCUCUCCAUACCUGAUUUGAAGGAAAAGGGAGCCUAGCUUGCUUUUCUAGCUGACAUUCUUCACAAACCUUCUGUUUUUCAAAUGAACCAAUGAAGUUUUCAGCCAAGUCUUCUCUGGAUAGCUGAUCAAUUGAUCUGUAGUUGGCAUGACCAAGUCUUUGAUGCCAAAGCUUGGAUUUAUCAAUUGUGGCUGUAUAGGCAGUGUCUGAGCCAUUUGUCCAAUCAAUAACAAAGUUCUUAUCAGCCAUAGUGGCUGCCAUGAGCUUGGAUCCACUUGGAUCACUAAUUUGGCACUCCUUGCCCUUGAACACUACAAAAUACCUUUUCUCUAGCAGCUGAGCCAUGCUAAGCAGGUUUCUAUCAAUUUCAGGUACCAACAACAUAUUCGAGAUGAGAUUGUUACCUAUAGGAGUGCAUAUCAACACAUCUCAUUUACCUUCUGCCUUUAUAAAAUGACCAUUACCAAUUUUAACUUUGGUUUUGUAGCUUCUAUCUAAUGACUUGAAAAUGGAAGCAUCUGGUGUCAUGUGGUUUGUGCAACCAUUGUCCAAGAGCCAGCCAUUUGUAAGCUUCUCCUGAGCAGCUGAGCAUGACACAACAAAAACUUGCUCCUCACGGUUACUAUCUUCUUUUACUACUCGAGCCUCAGCCUUUGGCUGUUGGGGUUGGUUCUGCCUUAACUUGCCCUUGUUUUUGCAGACCUUUUCAACAUGCCCCAUCUUUUUGCAAUAUUGGCAUUGCACAUCUAGUCUAAACCAAUAAUUUGCUUCUGGAUGACCAGGUCUUUUGCAAUGCCUGCAGGGUUGGUCCCUUCUUUUUGCAGCAUCAAACUUUGGUUUGUCUUUCCAAGUCUUUUUGCCUUUGUAGGCAGUGUUAUUCAAGGUAGGUUUGGUUUUUGCUUGAAAGGCACCUUCUUGGUGCUCCUCCAGUUUGCUAGCUCUUCUCUGCUCUUAUGCAUAGAGAGCAUUGAUCAGCUCUAUCAGUGAGAUGCUGGUCAGGUCCCUUGAAUCUUCAAGGGAUGAAAUUUUUGCCUCGUACCUCUCAGGUAAGGUUGAAAUCACCUUCUCCACUAUUCUUGCUUCAUUGAACUACUCACCAAGGAGCCUUAUGUUGUUUACACAGUCAUAAUCCUGUCUGAGUACUGUUUGAUAGUUUCUUUUUCCUUUAUUUUCAAAUUCUCGAAGUCCCUUAUCAGAUUCAACAACUGUUGCUGCCUUUUUCUCUCUGUCCCUUGAAACUCCUCUUUUAAUUUGACCCAGGCCUGUUUUGGUGUCUCACAAGCCAUGAUCCUUGUAAAGAUGACAUCUGACAUUGAGUUCUAGAUGCAAGACAUGGCCUUGUGCCUCUUAGUCCUUUCAUCAGCAUGCUGCCUGAUCUGUGCCAUUGUUGGAUUGGCUCUAAAUGGCUCUAGUUCAACGUCUGAGUUGACCAUCUCCCACAGAUUGAAUGCCUGCAGAUAGGUUUUUAUUUUGAGUUUCUAAAACUAUGCUUCUAGACUGAAUGAAGAUAAGAUAUAUAUGCAACGUAAUAUUAGUACCUUUCCAUCAAAAAAGUAGUCAAGACCGUGUAUUCACCGAUUCCAGUUGAUAAAUAGAACGACUCUUCUCUUUGGAGCAGAAACUACGAAGCUCUGGUAGAAGCUGUAGUGUUAAGGAUCACAAUUGGCCAAACUCAAUUUUAUUGGUUUCUAUAUCAGCAUUAUGCUCUCUCUCUCCAGUAACAAUCUCUUCAAUGCUUUUGCACUUUGAAACUUUAAUUUCUUGAAGUUAGACAAGCAUUUUUGUCAUGGAGAAGGAAAAAUAUUCUUGAGUCAGUCACAACAUUCGACACUUAUGAUUUUCAAUCUCUUGAAACUUCUUCUUCAAGUUUGCCUUGAUAAAUAUUCUCCAAAUGAACCAAUGAUUUGAGGAUAGAAAAGGCUUUACAUGAUGCCACCUCCAUAGAGUAAAAAAUAAACAGUAAUUCUGAACCAUUUUUUAUGUAGAGAUUCCUGAGCUGUGGAAAACCAGUGCCAUCCAACUCAUACAGCAAGUUCUUGAUGCCUUGCAUUUCAUCUAGAUAUAGAUCUUCAGUUUUCUGCAACAACAGUUUAACUCCAUGAUCCAAGUGAAUUCCCUUAGUAAGCUAGAGUUUCAGUGUCUCUCAUUUUCAUACUUUUUGGACCAGUCCCAGACCUCCCCGAUAAGAAUCUUAUAUCGAUUCAGUUUUUCAGAGAAUAGUUCUACUGGCAUAAGUUGAAUAGAAUGAAUAUGGACAUCCAAAGAAAUUAAACCAGACAAAGACUUCAAUUCAUGAUGUGUCUUCAUGUUGCUAACUAAAUAUACGACUAAUGCAAGUGCACUUAUCUAUAAUAGUAUAGUUAAGGUGAGUUGAGAUAUCGUAUCCACGAGGACUAAAAAUAUUAAUCCUGGAAAUAUUAAGCACAUUAAACAUGAAUUAAUAACUGGAAAUAUUAAAAUAAGAAAUAAAUAUACAUAAAUCAAGUAUUUAUCGAGUAAAAUAGAAAUUACAUAAUAUAAUGUAUCAUAGGUUUCAUCCUCCCUAGGUAUCUAGGGAAUUAGUAAUGAAAACAUAUUAAAGUCAUAAAAACCACAAGAAAUAAAGAAACUCAUAAAAAUUUCAAAAGAAAUUAAAAAGAGGUCUUCGAUCUUGAUGGAAAUUUGAUUCCGAGUUGGCUCCAAUGGUGUUCUUCAAGUUGUUUCUUUGAUCUUCUCUGAUGGCUCCUAUAUCUCUUAUUCUAUUUGGUAAUUAUAGACUUUAGAAUGCUCAAAAAGCCUAAAAAUUGUGUUUUUUCGCGUGUUUGAGAAGCAGGUUGCGAAAUCAACAAGGGUUGGCACAUGGGCGUGUGUCCAACCCGUGUGGCUCCUGAAAUUUUCUCUUUUUCUCUGACUUUCACUCAUUUUGCUCCCAAAUGCUCACCUAAGUAUAAGAACAUGAAUUAGAAGGAUUAGAAGCAUCAAAUUCACCAAUUUGUAUAAAUAAUCAUCCAAAAACGCAUUAAGAAUGAGAUUAAAAUAUGUUAGUUUUAUCAUUUAUCAAUAUCCCCAUACUUAAGCGUUUGCUUGUCCUCAACCAAAAUCCUCAACUCACAUUAAAAUUAAUCUUUCUCAACUUAUAAUUCUCAUCAAUAAUGUUAUGAUUCACAAAUAAUCAUGUAUUGACAAUUCAACUAAAAGGGCACUUAAAGAUUCAAACAAUCCAAGUCGAAAUUUUUAAAGCACGAAAACAUAGGUAUCUCCCCUUAUCUAUGUAAUUACCUUUAAUUCAAAAUCGACAAGAAUUGGCAUCCCCACUAAAGAUCCACACAAAUCAUUAAAAAUGUUUAAGGUUCAAGAAUAAGCACUCAAUAGUCGAAUAAGAAAUGUCAUUACCAUAAGCUUGCUUGAAAAUCAAAUCUCCACCACUAUAAAUUGAUAUGACACACUAAUCAAAAGUUUUUUCAAGAGGUUCUAAGGGGGCUUAGGUUACGGGUGCGGAGAAAGGCUAGAAAAGUUGGUUAUAAUCGAGAUCAAGUUGAUAAAUUAUCAAACUAGAAAAAAAUAAAUGUUGAAUUAAAAACAAAUGCAUCAAUCAAGAAUAUUCAAAAACAAAAACAAGAUUCUUCUCAAAAAAUGAAUUUAAUUGUUCAAACUCAAUCAACAAAUAACUAGUUAAUAAUCAAUAUUUUUUUCAACUUUUUUUUCUUUUUCUUUCAAGAACAAUAAGAAAUAAGUCAACAAAUCAAACAGAAGAGCAUAGCUAGGCAACUAACCAAAUCAAAUCUCAACAAAAAGAGAAGUCAAUAAAACAGGAAAAAGUCACAACGAACGAAAAAAUGGGUUAUAGUUAAUAUUAACGGGUCAUUCAAGAAAAGGUGUGUUAGGCUCAACGGGGUUCACUAAUGAGUUAAUUAAAAAGGUAGACUUUUUUAUGGGAUAAGUGGGUUAAAACCUAAGUGCUUUUAUUAUCUCAGUAUAUCAAAUCAAAGAUGUGGUCUUGACAUGCAUAAUUGAAGCAAGUUCUAGAAUAACAAAUCAAGUUGACACGCUCAUAACCAAUAAUAGAAUGAACAUGUAAAAUGUAUGCUCUGAAGACUCAAAAUCUCACAAAAAACAUGGUUUUGAUGUCAAACUUGCAAAUUUAAAACUUCAAGAUAAUACCUCAAUUCAGGGAAACAACCUAAAAUUUUUAAUUCUGAAAAAUAACUUAUUAUGGUUGAUUCUUUCAUGUCUUAAAUUUUAAAUAAACUAAUGCACAAAUAUCUACAAAUUAAUCCAAAACAAAUCAACAAAAAUCACAAAUCGACAAAAUUUCAUUCUAAUUCAAGUAUGAGAAAUUUACUUAAAUACAAUAAAUAAUUUAGGGAUUUUUAAUAAUUAUAUAAAUAACCUCCCCACAUUUAAGAUGUACAUUGUCCUCAAUGUACUAACAAAUAUAAGCACAGUAUAAACAGAAUAUCAUAAGAGAGGAAGAAAACUGAAACUGCCCUAAAUAUUGGAUGAAAUCGUCAAAAUGGUGAAAAUCAAAAUUAUAGGCAAAUCUAAAUAUAGUGCAUGAUUCCGAAAAAACUAAUAAGAAAAUAAACACAAAUAAUGAAAAAUAUUAAGAGGUUACAAACUCGAUUAGAAACAACCAUAAAAAUAAAAAUAAAAAAUAGCUCAAAAGAUAAUAAACGAAAUAAGUCUAAGAAAAUAAAAAUAAAACAACUAAAAGAAAAAAUAAAAAAAUAAAAAAAAUCAAUAGUCUUCUUUGUCAGAGCCAUCGUGGUCGUGAGGCACCAAAUCUAAAGAAGAUAUAUGGAGGUGCUGACAGAUUUACUACAAAGUCGCAUCAAUACAGUUGAACUAUUCAUAAAAGUGUCACUCAAAACGAGUGAAACGCUCGGGGAGAUCUGCUAAGGUGGUAGCAAAAGUAGUAGGAUAGUGACUCUAAGAUGGAGGAUAAGGUGGAUCCUCAUGGUGGAAGGGGACAUCAUCGGUGAAUUUUUCAUGCUCAUCUUGAGGGUCAAAAUGAGAUAACUGGUAUUGAGGAGGAUCCACUCCACAAAGUCACUCGAUCAUCCUCAUGUGACUCAUACUCGAUAAUCCCUGCGUGGUCAUUUUCCCAAUAAUGGUAAAGGAGGAGGACUACUCCAAAGUGUCGAGGAUGUCAAAGUGUCGUGCGAGUCGAGUCACAUAAAGGCCUAAGUAGAUAGGGCCCUUCCUACCGCGCUCUGUUUGAUGGCACACAACUAGGGCGAUAAAAUAAGCAAGAUCAAAGGUGUGCCUCGUGGCCAUGUUUCAUAGAAAAUAAGCGUUGGUUGUACCGACAACGCCAGUGCUCUCCCUCCGACCGGUCAAAGUGUGAGCUAAAAUGGCAUGAAUAUAGUGUAAGGCCGGAGGUAAGGAAGCCACCUUCGAUCGACUCGUAUCAUAAGGCGUUGUACUCGCAGUGAGGUUUACCCAACAUAGAGAAGGCGAGUAGUGUAUAUGCCGGUAUAAACUGAGAAAGCUCUCGUGACUCAUGAACUCGUCAGUGAAAAGUCCUAAUGCAGCUCCGAACACCGGGACGCUCAUAUGACGCGUUGUGCCACCGAGUCUGAAGGUAAUAGUUCCCGGCUCAUCGUGUGUUGACAUCACUUGCUGAAAUAGGAAUGUUGAGCAAAAAUUGAGAGUAAGCUUCGAGUAGAUGGGCUCAAUGAUGGAGAAAAAUUGGUCCCAAGGAGUUGUGGCAAUGGUGACGCGCACUCUAUCAGCUAACUGCACCUACUCUAAAGUGGCCCAACCAAUGCAACGACCUAAUCCUAGUGGCCUCUGUCAAUGAUGCUGAUAAAGGUCCUCUUGAGAACCUUGUGCAAAGCGGAGGUAUGGAUGGUGGGAACCGGUGAAAGCGUCCGACGAUGAUGUCGCGCCCAGAUUUUUCUGCUUUUUCGAAGCAGGGAUGGCGAAUUUAGAUUUGCCACUUGUGUUGGUCAUUAUGUCCUUGAAAUAAAGGAUAAAAGUAAAAAAUCAGAUAACCAGAAAAAUUAGCAUAAACAACAUAUCAAAGAAAACAACUAUUGUAGGCCAAUAAACAGCACGAUAGAGACCGAAUUGAAGUGAAAACCUAAACCACAAUACUGAACAACUAACCUAAAAAAAUUCACCAACACUCAAGCAUGAUAAAAAUAAAAAUAAUAUAAUAAUAAAGAUAAAGUGAAAUAAAAACAAUCAAGGCCUAUUAAUAAAAUAACUAAAAAUAGUGAAACAUAAACUAAAUAAACAAAACCAAUAACAAUAAAUGCAAAAUAAUAUAUAUAUAUAUAUAUAAUAAUAAGAAGAAGAAGAAUAAGAUAAAUAAAAUUAAUGUAUAAAAUCGGAAAAAUAAAAAUAAGAAUGCAAAUAAUAAUCAUAAAAAAACUAAAGAUAAAAUAAUAAGAAUAUAAAUAAAAAUCAAUAAUAAGCUAAACAUAAUAAUAAAAAUGAUAAUAAAUAAAGAAGUAAAUAAAUAAUACGGUAAAAGAAAGGACCAAUAAGACUAAGGUUAUACGGCGGCGGUGGUAAUGGGCGGCGAUCCACGACGGUAGGCCGAUGAGGGGAUGGUAAGGAAGGAGGGGGAAGGCGGGGUGGUUUGUGGUUUAAAGGAGGGGAAAGGGAAACAAAGAAGAAAAUGGAAGGGUUAGUUGAAGGAAAAGAGCUGUCGGAGGUGGGGUGGAACCAAAGAGAGGAGCAAAUGGCGGGGUGGUUUUGUGGAGGGAAGAAAAUAGAAAGGGGAAGAAGAGAGAAAGGAUGAGGACGGAUGGGGGUGAGGGAGAGAACAGGUUCAGUUAGGGGAAGGCUGUGAUGGGAAUAAGGGAAGGGAAGGAAAAAGGGAAGGAUGAGGGACACAACGACGUGAGAGGGAGCGAACGGGGGUGACGAACGACGAGGAAAUGGUCGAACUGGUGGGUGGAGAGUCGAACGACGUUUAGGGUGGGUUGUGAGAAGAAGAAAAAGUACAAAGAAAUUAGGGUUUUUUGGGGGUAAUAAAGGAGACACAGUCGUGUUUAGACCCGUGUUGGGCAACACGCCCGUGUGGUACUCUUUUAGGCUGUGUGUAAUUCAAAAAAAUUAAGCCUAGUCUUCACACAACCUCAGACACGCCCGUGUGCGAUCUCCUUUGCUUCUCCCACGCCUAUGUGAGAGGCCGUAUGGGUCACACGAUCUCAUACACGCCCGUAUGUCCCGAUCGUGUCUCGCACAUUAUCAUGUCUCUUGCUCGUGUAACUCAUUGACUUGAAAUUAAAAUUAAAAAAUUAGUUCCAAUACUCACACGUCCAUGUGCCUAAGCCAUUUGUGCCACACGGCCGUGUUUCAAAGCUAUGUGGACCACCUCAGGCUGUGUUACAAUUGAAUUUUGGAAAAAUUAAGUCUCGAGAUUCACACGGCCAAGGACACCCCCGUUUGUCCAGGCUGUGUGACUCACAUGGACAUGUUUUUACACCAUGUAACUCUAUCAUUUGCUCCCUUAUGCAUACAGCCUAGGACGCGAUUGUGUGUCCACGCCGUGUGGGUCAAAAACACACAUUUUUUUUAAAUUUAACUUUAAAUUAGCAUGCAAUAAAUUAAAAGAACUAACUGAGGUUAAACACUCAGGUUGCCUCUCGAGAAGCGCUUAUUUAGAGUCUAAGUUUGACUUUACCUUAUGCACGAUUACGAUGGUUCAUAGAGCCGAAGCUCCUAUUUUUCGUUAUCAAUUAUUCUACCAAGAUAAGGUUUGAGUCAAGUACUAUUUACCUUAAAUGUGUCUAACUCAAAAUGAGUUACCUCAACUGUACCAUAUGGGAAGACGUUCAAUACCGUAGAUGGGUUUGAUCCAUUUUGCAUCAAGUUCCGAAGAGGCAAUGCAUGGAUCCGUUUUGUCUAGUAGUACUUCAUCCCCAACCUUAAAUUAGUUUGUUCCAUUCAUAUGCACCUCAUGAUGUCGCUUUGGCUCUUCAUCGUGUUUUCUCGAUUUCUCCUUGACAUGUGUUCGCCAUUCAUCUAGUUCAUUGAGUUGCACCAUUCAUUGUUAAUGAGUUGUUCUAUUUUUGUCACCUUUACUGAAACAUGGCUCUAUUACAUUUUCACCAGAGAUUUCCUACAAUGAAGGUUGAGCCACAUGGUUACUCACAUUAACAGAACAUUUCAUACCAUCUCGUUCACUAGAGAUUUUUGCAGAAUCACGUGUUUGGAGAGUAAUCGUUUUGUCACAUACCCGAAGUACUAAUUCACCCAUACCAACAUCAAUAAUAGCCCUGCUAGUGGCUAAAAAGAGGCGACCUAAAAUUAAAGGUAGCUCACUACCCUCAUCCAUGUCCAACAUAACAAAGUCAACGGGGAAUAUGAAUUUAUCUAUUUUAACAAGCACAUCCUCAAUAACACCCCGAUGGUUCUAUCUGCUAAUUGAAUACUCAUCCUAAUGUGUUUAGGUUUCCCAAGACCUAGUUGUUUAAAAAUUUUGCAGGGCAUGACAUUAAUAAUGGCCCCUAAAUCAGCUAAGGCAUUAUUAUUUAAACUACUAGUGAGACAAGGAAUAGUAAAACUCUCUGGAUCUUUAAAUUUGUUGGGUAGUUUAUUUUGUAAUAUGGCCAAGCAAACUGCAUUGAGCUCUAGAAUCGACGAGUCGUCUAACUUCCUUUUGUUUGCCAAAAGCUCCUUUAAAAAUAUGACGUAAUUUGGCAUCUGCGAAAGAGCUUCAACAAACAGUAAGUUAAUAUGUAAUUUCUUUAAGAGCUUGAGGAAUUUACCAAAUUGUUCGUUCGUGUGGUCUCUCUUUGACACCUUAGGAUAUGGCACUCGAGGUUUAUAUUCCUUGACAAUCAGCUUUUUCUCUUUCCUAUCUUCCACAGCAUUAUCGUUAUACACCACAAUUUCUUGCCUUAGUUCUUGUUCAGAUUCAACUAACCCUUCUUUGUCUCAAACAAUAAUUGCAUGAAGCUGCUCCUUUAGGUUAGUUUCAGUAUUGCUAGGUAAGCUACCUUGUGGUCGUUCUAAGAUUAGUUUAGCAAGCUGACUUAUUUGGUUGUUGGAAGCCUGGAGGGGGUUAUGCUCUUUGAAUUCCUUGACCACCCUAAGUGAAAUUGGGAUAGUUCCUCCAACCUGCAUUAUAUUUGUUACUAUAAGGGUUGUUUUGAGGCCUAAAAUUAUUACUCAUAUAAUUGAUUUGCUCAUUCUCUAUGCUAGGACCGAAGGGUAAACAUUUUGGAUUAUUUAUUCCACCUCCAUUUGUAUUGCAUUGCAUCACUAGAUGUACAUGUGUAGAAAGAUAUAAACAAUUAAUUUUCUUAUUUAAUACUUCGACCUGGUUCGAUAACAUGGUGACUACAUCUAAAUUAAAAACACCGACUGCAUUCAGCGGCUUUGUCCUCAUGACUUGCCACUGAUAAUUAUUCAGUGGCAUCUCCUCUAUAAACUCAUAAGCCGCUUCGGGUGUUUUAUUGUUCAAAGUUCCACCGAGUACUACAUCAAUCAACUGCCUCAUUAAGGGGUUCAAACCAUUGUAGAAGGUUUGAACUUUUAACCAUAAAGGUAAGCCAUGGUGAGAGCACCGUCUCAAUAGAUCCUUGUAUCUCUCCCAUGCAUCAUAUAUUGUCUAUAAGUCGAUCUGAACAAAGGAAGAUAUGUUAUUCCUCAACUUAGUUGUCUUAGCCGAUGGGAAGUAUUUUAGUAGAAAUUUCUCGGUCAUUUGAGCCCAUGUAGUAAUGAAACCUCGUGGUAAAGAGUUCAACCACUAUUUUGAUUUGUUCCUUAACGAGAAUAGGAACAACCGUAAAUGAAUGGCGUCAUCAGUGGAACCAUUAAUCUUGAAAGUGUCGCAGAUUUCCAAAAAAUUAGCCAAAGGAGUAUUUGGAUCUUUUUCUUUCAAACCAUUGAACUAAAUAUACUGUUGUACCAUCUGAAUUGUAUUCAGUUCAGUUCGAAAUUAUUUGCAGCAAUGGUAGGUCACACAAUACUCGAUUCAACACCAGUCAGAGUGGGCUUGCCAUAAUCGUACAUAGUACGAGAAAUAGGAGUGGAACGACGAAAAUGUGCAAGUGUACACAACGCAACAAGUCAUAAAGUGACAAGUAAAUGUUGAACUAUCAUACCCACAGGGACUGUAAAAGAAUUAUUUAUGAAAGUAAGUUUAAACACUUUGGUGAAAGAAAAAUAUUUGGAUUUGGGAAAUGAUUAAAAACUAGAAACAAAGUAAAUAAAAUAAAAUAAAAAGUUCUAAUGCACGAUUUCAAAAGCUGAUUUUAAUCAAGAUGAUAUAAUUGUGCUAGAUUAAUUACAUUUCCUUACCUUAGAAUCAUUAAACUUAUGCUUAUACUUAUUACUAAUAAAUCACGACAACUCGGUAAUUCACUAACUUAUGAACAUAUUUACAAAUAAAAAAUCCAUUCAUCUCUUGUACAUAUUCCUAUGUCAAUUCGAUCGAUAAAACAAAUUUAUAAAGAUAAACAUGUUAUUGCACAUACAUACUUAUUAAAUUAAACAAUCUCUUGCAUAUUCCUAUGUCGAUUCAAAUGAUUAAUUCAACCAAAUAAGCAUAUAAAAGACUAUGUGAGGUAACAAAGUAUCCUUACCUUGAAACAGUUAAAUCACAAUAAUCUUGCAAGUUAUGCAAGGCAUAAGUAUCGCCAAAUACAAUGCUAAUCUAAUCUUCAGCUACCUAAGAAGAAUUAAACAUGCACUGAUUAAGUACUGUGUCCAUUAAUUACAAUUUCAAUGCAUUUAAAUAAUUAAAUCUUUAGUUAUCUUACAAUUGUAAUGCAAAAAUAACUUAAUCAUGGUUUUACUUAGUCAAACAUUUUACCGAGGCCUAUAACAGUAUAAACAUAAAUUUAACAAAUUAAGAGGACAGAAUGCAAUCAACCCAACAUGAAUUAAAUUCAAGCUAAGAUGAUUAAACUAAUCAUUCCAAUAGCAUAAAUAUUCAUAGAUGUGUUCAUCAUAAAAACAACAAAAAUUAAAGAGAUAAUGAGCAGGAAUCAAAUCUGGUGGUUUUCCGUGGCUUGACUAGGUUGCUCCGUUCUUCCUUCUUUGCUGUCCUCGCCGGUCAAGGCUGCUAUGAACACUCAAUUGCUACUCCAAAAUGGCUGAAGAAGACCCCUUUCCCAAGAGGAGAAAUCGGCACAAGAGCAAGGAACUUUGAAUGGGAAAAUGAGAGAUAAAAGUGAGAGAGGAGAGAAGAGUUGUGAGAAAAGAGAUGUGAAUAAGGGAUGAUUUGAAUGGGAAGAAAAAAUAGAAAAUUUUAGCAGCCAAAGAUCCCCCUCAUGGCCGGCCAUCCUACAUGGCAAAGUUGAGAAUUUCAACUUUGCUAAAAUUAGCCUGGGGCAAAUCCGUAAAGCCUUAAUUUAAGGUGAGGUUUGAAUGCAAUUUGGAAGUCUUCCAAUGGCCUUUUUGCAGCUCAUUUAAUUAGCUAAAAAUGCUUAUUUGGGUCAGCAUUUGAACGGUUCUGGGCUGCCCAAUUGGUGGCUGGUUCGGUUUGCUCAAUUUGGUUCAACUAGUGCGGUUCAACUAGGCUCUUUUUUUCCAUAAUUAAUUAAAAUUAAUUUAUUUAGCCCAAAUUAAAUUGGGAAUAAAUUAAAAUUAAUUAUAUUAUGAAUUAAUACACAUAUUUGGACUGUCUUAGGCUGGAAAUUAUUUUGCCUUGUUACUUCGAAUUGCUUCUCGAUUUUGUUCUUCUAACGGUGUCUACCAGGUCAAUUUUCACCUUUUGUACGAAUCUGUCAAAAAUAAUCAAAAUUCACUAAAAAUAAUUAUAAAAUUGACUAAAAAUUAACAUGUUCAAAUUUUUAAUACAAUUUAAUUAUUUUAUAAAAAUUAAUUAUUUUAUGACAAAAAUUCUAUCGAAAAUGCAUGAUUUUAAGUAAAAUUAGGUAUGAAAAAGUAUAUAAAUCUUUGUGUUUCCAAGGAGCAGGAGCUGCAGCAACUACAUGAGGUAGUUGAAUAUUCUAAUUAUCACCUAUCUCCUCAGUAAUAAUAAUAUCCUCUUAUUCGCCUACUAAAUUCUGUCAACUAUGCCUUGUUUUUCUACGAUUUUUCUGAGCUGUACUUUCAAUUUCGUUGUCGAAAAGCAAAGGUCCCGACAGGUUUCUUCUAGUCAUAAACCAAGAGAACCUGCCAAAAGUAAAUAAAAUAAAAAAAUUAGAAUGUAAAAAUUAAACUAAAACAAGAAUAUCAAAUAAAAAAUAAUAAUGUUUAAUUAAUAAAAUUAAAUUGUUCCUAAUAUUUUAGUCCCCGGCAAUGGUGCCAAAAACUUGAUGUGUCUUCAUGUUACUAACUAAAUAUACGACUAGGGCAAGUGCACCUAUCGAUAAUAGUAUAGAUACGAUGAGGUGAGAUAUCGUAUCCACGAGGACUAAAAGUAUUAGUAAUUAACAUUUUCUUAUUACUUAGCCGACAAAUUGGAGUGAUGUGUUUAAAACUAAAUUUACAAAACUAAAUUAACUAAUAACUCAACAAAGAAUGAAUAAGGAAAAUAAUCGAAUGAUAACUAAUGAGAGAGACAAUACCUAGGAAAGAAUUCACCUAGACUUUUCCUAUUAUUAUGAAUCUGAAUUAAACGAUUUAUUCACUUGGUGUCUUGAUCUGUAGAAAUCCCUAAAUUAUGCUAAUAUCUCUUCGAAAGUAAGAGCAAUUGACUCUAGGUUGAUUAAUUGAAAUCUCUUUCUAAUUAAAACCCCUAUAGUCGAAUUAACUCAAUUUAUGAAAUCCAUUAUUAGAUUUGACUCUAAUCCAGUAGAUUUAUGUCAUCUUAUUUUAGGAUUGCAUGCAACUCCACUCAAUUAUGCUAGAUCUACUCUUAAACAAAGACUUUUUCUCCACUGAAUUAUUCAUAUUAAACAUGAAUUAAUAUCCAAAAAAUAUUAAAACAAGAAAUAAACACACAUAAUUCAGAACAAGAAUCAAGUAUUUAUCACGUAAAACAGAAAUUAAAUAAUAGAAUUCAUCAUAGGUUUUAUCUUCCCUAGGUAUCUAGCGAAUUAGUUCAUAAUCCUGAAUGAAAAUAUAUCAAAGUCAGAAAAACUAGAAGAAACAAAGAAACUCAUAAAAACUUCAAAAGAAAUUAAAAUGGCGUCUUCGAUCUUAACAAAAAUCUACUUUGAGUUGGCUCCAAUUGUGUUCUUCGAGUUGUUUCUUCGAUCUUCUCUGAUGGCUCCCAUAUCUCUUAUUCGAUUUGGUAUUUAUAGAAUUUAGAAUGCUCAAAAGCCUAAAAAAUGUGUUUUUCAGCGUGUUUGGGAAGCAUGUUGCAAAAUCAACAUGGGCUGGCACAUGGGCGUGUGUCCAGCCCGUGUGGCUCCUGAAAUUUUCUCUUUCUCUUGACUUUCGCUCCUUUUUCUCCCAAAUGCUCACCUAAGUAUAAGGGCAUGAAUUAAAAUGAUUAGAAGCAUCAAAUUCACCAGUUUUCAUAAAUAAUCAUCCAAAAAUGCAUUAAGAAUAAGAUUAAAACAUGUUAGUUUUAUCAUUUAUCAAUUUACUAAAGCUGGCAUUGCCUUCAACACCCCAUUGAUUAAAGUUGUUAUGCAUAAGCAAUUCUUCUAAAUAAGGCAGACCUGAUAUGAUUUUCCUGGAAUGACUUUAAGCUUAGAAUAAUUACUCAAAUCUAAGGACUUAAACCUUGUUAGUCUCCCUAUUUCCUAAGGGAUCUCUGAAUAUCAGAACUGAAAAUUUUAAGUGUAUCCAAUUGCUUCAGGUUCCCAACAAUUGUGAUGUCAUUCAACUUACAUUCAUUGAAACGCAACCUUUGAAGGUUUCUUAAAGAAGUAAAUGAUGAAGGUAGGGAAGCAAAAUCUAUACCAGUGAAAUCUAAUAUCAAGAGUUCAUUCAUCUGCUCAAAGAAAUUUUCUGGGACUUCUAACGAUGGAUUUUUGUUUAACAAAACCAGCAACUUUAACCUAAGGCAUUCAAGAUUGUCUGAUAUCUUGUUAAUGCUAGUGUAUGGCAACAAAAUGGUAGUGCAAUUAUUGAGUUUUCUUUUCUUUAGCAGCUCUUUAAUAUGGAUUUCAUCCUCUAUAACAAACAUCUGCUUUUCUUCAGAUGCAAUCCAAAUGGCAACAUCACGAACAAUGUCAUUCAUUUUCACCAUUUCAUUGUUGUCACUGCUGAGUAAUAAACCUGCAUCUUUGAGCUUAUUCAAACAUUAUUUGGCUUCUUCCAUUGUGCUAGCAUUACUUGCUAUUCUUAAACCCAAGUUGUAUCUUAGCAAAUCAAAUACAUGAAUGUCAAAACCGUGGGGUAGCAAGGCACAGAUUUGGAAAAAUAACUACAAUUGAGGUUUCUUUAACAUGCUGUAACUUUUCUCUAUAGUGAAGUAAACACUUUGAACGCUUCUUCAUUUUUUGUAAUUGGCUUUGGUUCUUUUUUUCAAAGCCUCCACCAAGUUGAAGUUUUGUGUUCUCAAUGCAAUUGCAAUUGCUAAAAUAGCAACUGGAAAACCUGCACAAUUUUUCACAACUUUAGUCAGUAGUUGUCAGUAACCAAGCUUGUUUGCUGCAUUGCCCAUAACUUUCUGAAUCCACUCUAUUGUUUCUUCAUUAGUUAACAUUUGGACAUUGAAUAUUUCUUCAGUUUUCAUGUCAAUGAGUAACUGUGGAUGUGUGGAAGUUAGCAAUAUUUUGAAUCUAACAGCAGAGAAUUUUUGAAAACCAUUUUCACUAAUAUUUUGCAGUAAUGGUCGUCCUAGAUCUUCUUCAUUUGCAAUAUUUUGGUCACCUUCAAUAGCAAUCCCAACUUGUUCCAAUUCCAGUCUUUGACCAUCCUAAAUAUCAUCUAAAAUUAAAAGAACUCUCUUAUCUUGUUUCUUCAACCAUUUCUCUAGUCCCAUUUCUCUUGCAAACACAAUCUCCUUAUCAAGUUUCAGACCUAGUGCAUCUGUAAUUUCUCCCUAAAUUCUUUUUAAGUUUGGAUUCCACAACACAGUUACCAUCACAACCUCAUCAAGCAUGGUUUCUUCAUUGACUCUCCUAGCAGCUUCUUUUACUGGCAUUGUCUUGCCUACACCAGGCAUCCCAUUUACUCCAAUGAUCUUCAAAUCAGGAUCCUUUAAAGCUUCCACAAUAUCUUCCCUGAUAGUCGAGUAGUUGAUAAGAUGAUUACCACACUUCUUGAGAGAUAUGAAUCAAGGAUAUCCUCAUUGGAAGAUUCAAAGGAUCUAUCAACCAUCUCACUCUUUGAACUAAUCAAUGCUCUGUAUGCUCAAGAAAAAAGAAGGGCAAAUAAAGAAUAAAAGUACGUUGAUGGAGUCUUUCAAGCCAAAAAUAGAAAAGGCUCGAGCUCCUCAAAAAAUGAAGAAAAGAAGGACUGGACAAAGAAGAAACAGGAUAAUUGGAGAGAUGGUGGCAAGGAGAAAAAUCCAUUACGUUCUCAAUACAAAAAGACCAAUCACUUAAAGAGGUAUUGUUGGUUCAGGCCAGAUAUUUAAUGUAGAAGCUGUAAACAAUUUGGUCAUAUGGAGAGAGUGUGCAAGAAUAAUAGGCAUGCACAACAACAAAAUGCUCAGGCACAGACGAAAGAAUCAAAUCAAUAAGAACUGGUGUUCACUGCCUCCUGCGAAGCCAAACUCGCUACCCCAUGAGAAGUCCUAUUUGCGACACCGUGUGAACCCUCCAACAAAGUAAGAAAAAACUGGUUGGUUGACUGUGGUUGUACAAACCACAUGACUUCAGAUGAAAGCAUUUUCAAACGGAUUGAUAGAAGUUGCAUUUCAAAAGUUAGAGUUGGAAAUGGCGAGUACAUCGAAGCUGUAGGAAAAGAAGAUAUGCUAAUCAGCACUUCUACAGGUACUAAAGUAAUUACAAAUGUGCUUUUAAUUCUUGAGAUAAAUCAUAAUCUCCUUAGCAUUGGUCAAUUGAUUGAGAAAAAAUAUAUUGUAACACCCCUAACCCGUAUCCAUCGUCAGAUUAAGGUUAUGAGGCAUUACCUAACACAACACAGUCUAACAGAGUCAUUUAUCACAAUUCAUAUCUACUAAUCAUAUCUCAUAUACAAACCAUACUUCUUUUCUGUGCAAACCAAUUUCACAAUACAAUUCACACACUGAAAUUUAACUAAGUCAUAAUCAUUCUACUACUCACAUUUCGAACCAAUUAACAUACAUCGAUUCAUAUUACAUUAUAGCAAAACACAUCUAUCAACUAAAUCAUACAUAUAUACUUUGAAACAUACUUCCCAAAAGAGCUUAUAACAUGACCGAAUAUACAUAAUAAUUAGUAUAUCUAACAAGCCAUUUCGCAUGGCAACUUAUAUACAAUUCAAAAUUAGCCAUAGUCUAUACAUGCCAUUUGUCACAAUAUCAAGCUUUCAAAAUACCGAAAUGGCAAUUGAUAGUGUGAAGAUAAUCCUUGAUGAUCCCCGAGCUCGAGCUAGCUUUAUGUAUCUAUAAAGAAAUGGAAGGAUGCACAAAGUAACCUUUGGAAGCUUAGUAAGCCAUAAGCAAAUAAAUCAUCUCAAUGAUAUUUAGAAUUCAAUUCAACUAGGUCUAAUUCAAAUGAAUCUCAAACACAUAUACAUUUAACUAACUCAUAUAAAUUCAUAUUAUCACAUUAAGUACUAAACUUACCUUAAUAUUUCAUGAACAUAUAACUUCACACAUACCUGAACCAUUUAGCUCAUAUUUACAUUCGGAAUUGUUAAGAACACACGGAAUUCAUAUAAAGCUCAUACAAUGCCAUAUCCCGGAUAUGGUCUUACAUGUUAACGCAUAUCGAUGCUACUGUCCCAAACAAUGUCUUAUAUGAAUCAUAUACGAUGCUAAUGUCCCAAACAUGGUCUUACACGUUUUCUCACUUUGAUGCCAAUGUCCCAGACAUGGUCUUACACGAAAUCACACCUCAGAAGUCCUAAUAUCAUGACAUCAAUAUCCAAUACAUUUCCUAAGGUUCAUUCAAAGCUUUCGAAUUCGUAAUUAAAUCAAUUCAUGCACGAAACCAAUCAUCCAAUGCUCAAAUCAAUUCAUCAAUAUAUAUGUAUACAUAUACAAAUCAAUUCGGUAAUGUAUAUCCAAAUACGAAUCAAUUCGGCAAUGUAUAUCCAUAUACAAAUAAAUUCGGCAAUGUAUAUCUAUAUACAAAUCAAUUAGGUAAUGUGUAUCCAAAUACAAAUCAAUUCAGCAAUGUAUAUCUAUAUACAAAUAAAUUCGACAAUGUAUAUCCAAAUACGAAUAAAUUCAGCAAUGUAUAUCCAAAUACGAAUCAAUUCGGUAAUGUAUAUUUAAAUACAAAUCAAUUCGGCAAUGUAUAUCUAUAUACAAAUCAAUUUGACAAUGUAUAUCCAAAUAUGAAUCAAUUCGGCAAUGUAUAAAACAUAUACAUUUGAAUUAAAAAAAUAUUUAUUUACUUAUGAACUUACCUCAUACGGAAAUAAACGGAUUGGAUCAACUACUAAAUCUGAUUUCUUUCUUUUUCGAUCUAAUUGAAUUCAAAUUUAACUCAUUUAAUCACAUAUUCAUUCAAUUUCAUCCAAAAUACCUAUUUGGACAUUUUUACACUUUAGCCCCUAAAGUUUCACAUUUAUUCAAUUUAGUCCCAUUUUCACAAAUACACAAAAUUUGCACAAUUCAAUAUAACCCAAGCUUAUUAGAAUUAUUAUAGUGCCCCUAGCAGCCCAAAAAUUUCAUUUAUUUCACAUUUCAACCACCCAAUUUACAUAUUUCACAAUUUAAUCCAUAUUUAACAUUUUUGUCAAAAAUCACUUUACAAAACAUAUUAAUCUAUCAAAAAUUAUUCAUUUUCCAUCAUCAAGAUUCAAAAACAUCAAGUUAUCAUUAAUGGUAACUCACAAAUUCAUCAACCAAUUCAAAAAUUAGGGCAUGGACUAGCUAGAACACGAAGCAACGAUCUCAAAACGUAAAAACUAUCAAAAAUGGGACAAAAACGCAUGCCUAAUUGAGAUUACAAGCUUGUCCGAAUGUUUUGCAAAAAAAUGGCUUCUUUCCCUUCUAAAAAUCGGUGGAAGAUGGUAAUGGAAGAUGAUGAUAAUUUUGUUUUGUUUAUUUUUAACAUUAAUUACUAUUUUACUUAAUUAACCUUUAUAAACUUUAAUGAUUACACAAAAUGCCACUCCACUAUCAUCCACUAACUUACAAAUGGCCUAUUUACCACUUAAGGACCUUUACUUUAAUAUUCUAUAGCUAUUAGACACCUUUAGCUUGUAGAAUAUAACUUUUACGCUCUACGCGAUUUAGUCCUUUUUACCGAUUAAGCAUUCAAACAGUAAAAUUUCUUUAUGAAACUUUCACACAUAUAUAAUCACAUGUUGUAAAUACCAAAAAUAAUAUUAAAAUAAUUUUCUAACCUCAGGUUUGUGGUUCUGAAAUCAUUAUUCCGAUUUAACUAAAAUCGGGCGGUUACAUAUAUUAUUGUUUUCAAAGAUAAAUAUUGCAUUAUAUUUGAUUCAUUAGGAUAGGAAGUUGUGAUUGUCUCAAUGAACAAUAGAAGAUUUCUACUAGAUUGGAAUUUUAUGGCCUUGAGAGCCUAUACCAGUUCAAUAGAUAAAUCAUAUAGUUGGCACAAAAGACAGGGACAUGUGAACAAGAAGUUCCUUAGUCAAGUCAAGUGUGCAAACCAAAAACAAUUGUGAAGAUAACUAAUGUUGACGAUAAAGAUUUAGGUAAAGGCUUUGAUAAUCUUCCUGUUAAAGAUACCAGGUUUGUUGUUGAAACUUAUCACAGAUGUGACUUAGCAGUAUGGGAGUCUACAAUUUUGAAGAAGUUGCACAAGAAAACAACAUUGGUGCUUGUUGCAAAAUGGUCAAGAAAGAGUGUUCAAAGUUGGCCAAUCAAGCAGUAGAAAGCAGCAGGAUAAACUGUGAGCCUACGAGCUCACCAAAAUGCAAGUUGCGAAGUUAGCAAAAAUGUGUGUUGAUAGAUGUCAAGCUAUGAAAGUGCAAGCUACAAGCUAAAUGAAAUAUGUGAUACAAAAGUGCGAGGUCAUAAAAAUGAGAGCUCAUCGAAGCACAAGCUUGAGAGCAGGCAAAGAUGCAAACUUGUUGAUACUCUAACAAAAUCCCUUGGGAAGAUGAAGUUUGAAAAACUAGGUUAUGAUAUUGGGGUUCGCAACAUGGAGGCCAAGGAGGAGUGUUGCGAAGUUGCCAUCCAUGCAUUGGCAAACCUAGCUCCUACAUGAUUGCGAGCUCACCAUAUCUGCGAGCUCACCAAAAGAUGCAAGCCCACCAAGAGUGCGAGCUUACCUACGAACUAUGAAUUGCGAGCUCACCAAGAACUACAAGCUCACAAAAAUGUGCGAGCUUGCCAAGAUCAUGAGCUCACCAAGCAUGCGAGCUCACCUGCGAGCUCUUCACUCUGCAAGUUGCCAACUUGCACUCAAACUGUGACAAAUUUUAAUUAAACAUUUUGGCAAGCGAUUAGCUAGAAACCAACAAAUGAAAAACAAAGUUAUAUGAAUUUAGUCACUGAAUUAAGCCAAGUUGUAAUAUUUUAUUAUUAUUUUUAGCUUAUUUAAGCAUAGUUUUUCAUGUAAACUAAGCAUCAAUUUUUUAAUGAAACAGAUCACCAAAAAUUAACUUCUCCAUUUUUCAUCUUUUGCUUCUGUUUCAGCCUCUCAUUCUUCAAAAAUCCAACACACCUCUUCUUUGCUUGCGCUUCAAGGUUAUUCAUUGUCUCUGACUAUUCCUUGAUUUUCUCUUUUGCGCGAUUCACCUAAAUCUGGCCAUCUUGGUCAAACUCUUGUGCCUUUUCCUUGGCAACAUCAAUGUAAUAUGCUGCACUCUGUCUCUUUGAUAUCUCGAUUCCUUAAUUUGUUCCUUCAGAUUCUGAACUUUACCAUCAGGCUUCAACAUGUAACGUUUAAACCCAGAAACAAACUCUAUUUUUGGGGGGUUUUUCAAUUUAUAGUAAUUGGUAAAGCAAACAAAGCAAACCAAAAACAAAAUAGCAGUGAAUGAAUGACCAAACUAUGGAGCAAAUGGAGUUUCAAUCUUUGUAUUGAAGGGAAAAAAGAUGCAAUGAAUGGCAAAGACAACAAGGCAAAGAAAGCAUCAAAAGGUAAAAUAAAGAACAUGAAGAUAAAACUAAGAAUGUAGAAUCAAUGCUUUGAUCAUUUGCAGAAGUUAAGGUUUUGAUCAUUAGAAGCUCAAACUCUUAGUUUUUAUGACUGGUUGUUUUGAGUCUUGCCGGUCUCUAAUCGAGUUAGCCUAAUUGAGUAAAAAAAAUUGGAGAUAAUAGAGUUAGUCGAAUUGAGUAAUAAAUUUUUGAAUUUUGUUGGUUUUGAUAAUUUUUUUUAUAUAAUUUUUUAGCUUUUUUAAAAAUAUUUCUAAUUUUUUUUAAAUAUUAAUUUUGAAAUUUUAAAAAUUAUUUUUAAUUUUUCUGAGAGAGUGACCAGUUUAUACAUUUUCAAUACUGAUAGAGACCAAAUGAGUAUUUAUAUCAAUUUGUUGUUCAAUUGUAAAAUUUUAAUUUGACUUGAAAUCAAAGCUCGAAUUAUUUAUUUGAGUUAACUUGAAUAUUUUGAAUAACUUGAUUCGAUUAAAAUCUAAAUUAUUUUUAUUUUUUUUGAAUCGAAUCAGAUUUUGCUCGAUGUUAGAAUCUUUACAAACUACAAUGAUAUCUUUACUCUGGCAACUUUUCAUUUUUCAAUACAUGUUGCAAUUAGUGUUUUGUUUGAUAAAUUUAUUUGAAAGUGGAGCUUCCAUAUUUAAGUUAUAAUUGUUGAUUAAAUUAUUUAUUCAUUUCUUAACAAAUUUAUGAAUGUUUCUUCUUUUCAUAUUUUUGAAAAAGAAAAAGAAAGAAUUCUUCAAAGAAAAGAAAAAAAGUUAAAAUGAAGCAAAACGGUUUUGGAAGGCAAAGAAUAAAGUGCAGAGAAGCUUUAAAUGUUUAAUGUUAUUUAAACUCCUUUUUCUUCAAUUUUCCAUAAGAAUUUUCUGUUUUUUUUUUUAAAGUUAAAAUUUUAAAGAUUGGAAAAUUCAUAAAGGAAGGAAUUUCUGGGUUCUAAAUAUUCUUAAGAGUUGAAAUUACCACAAUAAAAGUUGUUAGGAAAAUCAUGAAACUUUGAUUUUCAUCGAUUGUUAAAAAAAUACUUGUAAUUCAGUUCAACACUAACAAUUAAAGUUACAAAUUAAAAUGCAAUCGCUCAUGUACAGGACACUGAUAGGCUAGAUUAUCGGAUGCAUUUCCGGACUUAGGUAUGAAAAUAUGACUUUCAAAGACGAAAAAGAAUAUAAAAGAAAUGGAACAUAUCAUUGUUACUGACAUUCAAACUCAAAGUUGGAGUAACAUGGCUAGGAAGUGAAAUACCAACUUUAGAUCAAUGAAUAUGGCUGCAACUGAGCAGCAGCUAGUAGACAGCAUUUGAACUCGCAAUGAAAGGGGCAUCUCCCAUAACUCUUUAUAAAGCGACUGUGCCAAAAUGAUAAGUGAAAUAAUCAAUUUCUGCCAUUAAACUACAUUUUAUGCUUAAGCUCAAAACUAAAAGCAUGAUAUUUUUAACACUCAUGCAACACAAAAUCAUUUCUGUGAUUCUUUGAAACUCAUACUUUUCUAAAGCAAAUAUCUCCACUUUUCCUUCAAUAUUGGCCUUUCUGUAGUUUGUAUCCUUGAGCUGAAACUCUUCCAUAUGAAUAGCAAUGGAUUGAGUGAUUGUCGCUGCAUGUAAAUUGUUGGCAUGUUUAUUAUUUGCAUCCGCUGUAAUUUCAUCAUUCAUCCCCUAAUAUUAAAAUGGAAAAAGGUAUUCCAAAGUUAUGUUUUUCCCCCUUCAAUCAAACACAUAUGUAAGAUAUAGACUCACAAAGUUAGUUGACUGGUUGUGCCAUAUCUUUCUCCAGUUUCCCACACCCGUGAUGCUCUGUUCCUCUAAGCAAGGUUAGUUUGCUAGAGAAAAACAAGUAGUACAACAAGAAUAGGGAAUCAAAUAUUUAACAAAAAUGAACAAUAAAAAAGACAUGAAAGAAAGCAAUGAUACAAGAAAACAAAAAUGGGACAUUACCUUUCAAUGGAAAGAGUUGGAAAGCGAAUCUCUGAGUUGUUUCUUUCUAUCCUAAGAAAAUAAUGCCAGUGCCACUAGUGAUCAUAAGAUUGGCAUUUGUCCUCUUAAAUCAUUUUCUCAACCCUUCACAAUGUUCGUUCUCAAUUAAGUACAAGUAUGACUCACUAAUUCAAUUGUGACAAAAGGAGUAUUUGAGGGAACCACUUAUCAGUUUACACGUAAGAAUAUCAUACAUAUUUACUAGUUACAAGUGUUUAACUAGGGGAAGAAGUAAACUAACACUACAUAUCUAAUUAUAUUCACAACAUCAGCAAAACCAAUUAAGCUUAUUUUUACUCAAAAAGACUUGGAAUCUCAUCUCAAAACUGUUAACAAGCGGCUUCCGAUGUCAAAGUGGAGAAUGCUGAGGUAUAAUUCUCUGAGCAGAGCCUUGAAAGACUACCAAGUUCUAAAGACUUGAGUUGGGAGAAAACGAUGCCAUCCAUGACUUCAUCAGUGUAGAAAAGCUAUGGUUUCUUCUAACUUUUGGCAAUCAGUAACACUCAUUCUUGUGAGUUACACCAUGCUUUUAGCUAUUGUGAAAGCUACUAAAUUUCUGAAUCCAUGGCAUUUUGAUGCCUCUACAGUUGUCAAAUGCUUGAAUGACAAAAAAGAUGGCACUAAAUUCUUUAAUUUUCCGCAUCCCAACACUUGUAGAAAACUUCUGCAAGUGAUAGUUUGCUCUUCUAGAUAUGUGUCAACUCAGGAAGAUAAUACAACCUUAACUCCUUCAAGCAAGCAAGUGUUCCUGCACGUUCGUUUUCAUCUCUUACUCCUUCACAUGGAAAUAAUUCAUUGAAGGUAGCCCUUUGCCAAAAGAAAGGUAUUCAAGAUUUGGUAAUGACUAAAUGAAACAAUCUGAGAUAGUAAUUCAUGUUUCGGGACAAUCAAACUUUCUUAGUUUGGGACAAUAUUGUUUCGGGUCUGCUCCAUGUCCAUGCCAUACCUUCAUAUUGCCAUUCCGAGCCAAAACCAAUUCUUCUAAAUUGGGGAAUGUUUCCUGAGAAAUUAAGAACCAUAUAUAUGUUAAAUAAAAGCAAAUCUUCCAAAGUGAUUGAUAAAAUAUGCAAAUCUGUUUAGAUUGACCUUUUAUUUAGUUUCUUUUAUGAGAUCUUACCUUAGUGACCCAAAAUAGGGGUUGUUGAACAGGGAUAACGGAGUGGUUCUCUUCUUGUGUUUCUCUAAAGUUGAUAUACUCCCCAGCGAAUGUCUCCACCUUGCUGCAUUCACACACCUCCAAUUGUUUUAACAAUGGCCAAUCUGUAGUAUGCACCUUGGAGUACAAACCCUUCAAUUUGGGUAGCUUAUGAAGUAUCAGCUGUCUUAUUUUAGGAAACAGAAACUUGGUAGUUGAUUUGAGCUCAAUUGAUUCAUUUGAGUUGAGUCCACGAUCGUCAGCGAGUCCAAUUAUUUCUUCUACCGACUCACAUUCCGAUAUUUCCAGAGCUUCUAGUUUUUCAAGUCUUUCCACCAUAUCAAAUGGUAAAACAUUUGAAAGUUUGUCACACUGUUUCACCGCAAGAAUGGUUAAUUCAUGAAAUGAAUCCUUAGUGAGUUUAUCAUGCCAUAUCUUUCUACACUUUCCCAUGCCUGCAAUUAUCAAACGGCACAAGCUAGGAAACGCAACCUGCGAGAAUUAUUUAAGUUGUUAAUGAGGAAAACAAGUUAGAAUUCUACAUGGAUAUGAAAAGUAAAAUUACUACAAAAAAAUAAAAGAAGAAUAUCACCUUUUGGUUGAAGAGAGUAUUGGUCUCUGAGUUUUCUUGAUGGCAGAAUGUCCUUAGUUUUGGAAGCCCAUCGAGAAUCAGGAAAUAUAGCUUUGUGAACAAGUAAAUCUGAGGUAUCCCAUCUUCUGCUGUGGCUGCUAAUCCAUCUGUAAAGAUUAUUUCUUCCAUGUUCUCGCAAUUGUGAAGGCUAAGUAGAAGGAGCCGCUCAAAAUUUUUGACUAAAAAGGAUGGGAAUAGAUAUUCCAAAUUGUGGCAACGCUUCACAAAUAAGAAUUGUAAGUUAAGCACAUUAGAGGAUAUAGCCCUGUCUGGUUUAUCAGGCCAUAAUUUUUUGAUCUUAGUUGAUGAUAGCUUCAAGUACUUCAAGUGGGCACACAAAACCUGCAGACAAAAUCCUCAUUGCAUGAAUUAUGCAUGCUUGUGAUGAUAAAUACAUACACUCAUUGAUUAAUGCUAAAGCAUUUGUUAUCAAAACAAAACAAUUUGAAUUAUCAUUAAAAACAAUUAUUUAAUUAAUGGUCAGACUUCUUUUUUCUAUUUUUUUCUCAAGAUUACGGAAUUAAUUUUAUUACAUUUGAAUUAUCAUUAAAAACUAUUAUUUAUUACAUUUUGGCAUUGUCAUAACAUACUCUUACACUAUUAGUUAUAACAUUGAAUUUGAACAAUCUUUAACAUACGACAUUUUUAGUUUCUAUCCGUAGAAAAUUUGUACCCUACUUUCUUAUUCUAUUAUUUAAUUUAAGUUUUCACCCAAAUAAAUUAAAAAGUUAAAACACUAAACAAAAGAGAAGAGACUAACCUUAUGAUUGAAAAAGGGUGUCUUUUCUCUGCCAAGUAUCUCUAUAUCCUCUUGCUCCCUUGUAGAUGCCAUUGCAUACAUCUUUGGGCAAUCUUUGACUGCGAUUUUUAAUAAAGAUGGACAUUCCAGGGUACUACUUCCCAUAAAAAAACUUGUCAACCUUGAACAUGACUCAAGUCUUAUCUCCCGAAGCUCGGGUAACAAGAGUAUAUCCAUUUCAGUUUCCUCUGCUCCUUUGAUAAUCUGCUCCAUCAUAGGGCAUUGUUUCACUUUUAUGUCUUGUAGUUGCACAAGAUCUAAAGCCAUGGAUACGUUAAAUAUGUAUAUCAUGGUAUUACACUCAUAAACUUCUAAAACCUUAAGGUUCUUGAAAUCUAAACUUCCAUGAACGUUCUCCUUCCAUAUUUCAAUUGACCUGGAAAAAUCAGAGAGGACUAAAUACUCGAUAGCUUGGAACCCAGCCUACAAAAUCCAGCAAAGAAACAAGGAUUAAAAUUCAUAAAGGUUAGAACGAAGCCAACCCAAACCAUAUGAAAGAAAGAAUGACAUUAUGGAAUAUACAAUAGUACCUUUAUUGAAUAAAUUUCUUGGAUGGUGUUGUUAAGGUCACUACACCAAUGUCCAUUAUCUUUUCCACAUACUACUUUUUGCAAUAAUGGUGGAUUACUUAAAACUCCCUUACAAAAUAUCUCCAAUUCAGGGCAACCACUUACAAUUAAUUCCUGUAAACAUGGGAAUCUUAAUGUGUGGCUGCCAGAACAAAAGCUCUUAAGUCGCGGUAGAUUCACAAGUUCCAAACUUCUCAGCCUGCUGAAAAUAAUGUCACAAGUUGCUUCACCUCCCUCAGUUGCAACUAUUUCCUUCAUUGAAAUGCAGUCUCUAACCCUCAACUUCUUAAGUUGGGCCAUACCUUGGACUGCUAAACAUGUAUCCAAGUAUUUCAUUGCUUCGCAAUUCCACACAUCCAAUGUGGUGAGAUUUUGAAAUGAUGCUGAGGAUGAUCCUAAGCAGAUCAAAUUAUCACAAUCGUGAACUUCAAGAGUCUCAAGUUUGGGUAGAAUGUGGUCCACUUGUACAUCUUGCUUCCAUAAAUAAUUGUUUAGAGUAUUAAGAGAUACCAAUUUUAAGUUUCUAAUUGUUGACAAACGCCCAGCAUACAUCUCCUCAUUACCGGUAUCUCUUUCAGAACAGAAUAGCUCUUUUAUUUCACAAUAAGUGAUAAUAAGGCUUUCAAGAGUGUGGAAUCUCUCAAGGAAAGAAAUUCGGAAAUAAAUUGAUUUUGCAGCGUGGCCAUGCACUUCAAAAACUUUUAUUUCAUGGAAAGGGCUGCUUGAAAAUUGACCAUCACUUAUCAUUGCAAUGUAAUCACUAUCUAAUGUCAAAUGUUGUAGCUUAGGGAUGACCUGAAAACCAAUCAGAAAGCAAUUUUGGAGUCAAUAUGUUCAUCUUCAAACUAAGAAUAGCAUCGGUUACAUAAAUGAAACAUCAUAUAUUUUCAAAAACUUCUUAAUACUCUCUUCAUCAGUAAUUAAUUUUUCUAAGUAAUAUUUCAACCUUAAUUAUCAUAAAUUUUUGUGCUAAUCAAUAAAUAAUAAAAAAAACCCAAUAAUAAUAGUAAAUUAAUUUGAUGGUUUAGAGUUUAAUCUAAGAUUUUAGAUUUUAGAGUUCAUUGUUGGAUUUAUGGUUUAUGGUUUAGGUUCAUGAUUUAGAAUUUAAGAGAAUUUCCUUUGUUUGUUAAUUAGCGUAAAAAAAAGUUAGUUUUUACAGUUCAUACCUUUUCAACCAAGAAAAGUGGUGGAUGGAUUGGGGAGUCAAGUUGUCCAUUGUUAGUGUUCAGAUGUGUACCCAAUAUCUUCAUUUUCCCACACUCAACUACUUCCAACUUGCUUAACAGUGGCCACUUUGCAGUAUGCUUACCCGGGUAGAAACAUUUCAAUUCUGGUAGCCUCCAAAGUACAAGGUCGUAUAGUUGAUCAAACUCGAAAUUGACUGCUGUUUCUGAAUCUGAUCCUUCCUCUAAUUUGGAAACAAUCUCCUCCACCCCAGAAUGAGAUAUUGCAAGAUAACCAAGUUUUGGUAGGUCUUUGGCUAUUGAGGCUGGAAAUACAUUCUUCAAACUUUGACAGUCACAAACAGUUAUUGCACAGAUUUUUUUAAAUGAAAAAAUUCCUUUGGGAUCACUUUUCCAAAUAUAUUUCAACUUUGGUAAUUCAAUAAGAUGCAAUUCUCUUAGUUGAGCGGUUGCAGGCAAAGCGGUUUCGUUUUCUUCAUGCAUGAUUUCAAAUACUUGUUGUAAGGAACCACAAUUCCCUACGAAUAGACGGUGCAACCUUUGAAAUGUUAUCAGCAUAUUAGAUGGAAAAAUGGUUAACAACUCAUCACAUCCGUUAACAACCAAUACUUGUAGUUUGGGAAAUGAAUUUGGUGGAAGUGGGUUCCGCCAUAUCAUCUUCAUCUUUCUCAAGAAGGAAAUAAUCACUUUCUCCAAAUUGGGAAAUGCAACCUGCACUCAUGUCAAUAUAAUGAAAUUAGAAAAUAAAUAAAUUUCUAAAAAUUUAAGAGGAAAAAAAAUAAAAGAAAUGCUCGUUUUUUUAUUCUAAUGCAUACAAACAAAUUAUUCGAAAUUGAAAUAAUAAAUAAGUGAAAUGUUUGAUAGUCUUAAAAUAUGUAUUUUCAAAAAGUCAUUUUCAACUGUACCAAAAAAUGACAAAUGAAAUUUACCUUUAUCUUUCAAUUUUUUCAUCUAUCGUAUCGACCACAUUCUAGGAACCAAGAAUAAAUGUUUUCUAUCUUUUUACUUUAAUUUUUCAUCUCUUCAAUAUUCUUUCCAUUAUAACAUUAAAGCCAAAGCCAACAAGGAGAAAAUGAGUAAACCUACAAUUUAAGAAUUAACCCACCUUAUUGUCAAACAGAUCACCUUGACUAGAGAUUCGUUGGUUCCCUUCCCUUGUAUAUCUACAUAUGAAGCCCUCCAAGUUUGGACAGUUGUAUAUCGUCAUUGACUUCAUAAAUGGAAAUUCAAUAACUUUAUUUUGAGAAUUGAAGCAAAAUCCACGCAAAUGCUGAAGAUCCUUUAGCUCUAAGGACUUUAACUGAGGAAAUAAUGAUAAAGUCAUGGCAACCUGAGUUUCUUCUUCUAUAUCCUCCCAAAGGAUUAUCUCCUCUAAGCAGUUGCACUUAGUUACCUCAAAAUAUUUGAGAUGAACUAGAUAUUUAGCCAUAGAAAAUGAUAACAGGUAUUUUAUGUUUCCACAACCCUCGAUUUUCAAUGUGGUUAACUUCUCAUGAGUGUAAAAAGAUACAUUUGACAACUGGUUCUGCCAUACCCUUGUAACAUUAAGCGAUGAUAACUGCAAUUUCUCCAAGAAAGGGAACGAUAUCUACAACCAUACACAUAGUUAAUUCUACUUUCAAAUCAAUAUUGUAAAUAUAUAUAUAAUUCUAUUUUUGCAAUUACCAAAUAAUAAAGUCUGCCGAUCAAAAAAAAGUGUCAUAUAAUAGAAAAUUUCUAGUAAAUAUAAAAUAUGUUGAGAGUAUUGGGGACAGAAGAACCCAUCAUAUGAUCAGAAAAAGGGAAAAAAAAAAUACCACGUAACUAAGCAACAACACGAGCAAUACGGCAUGAUUCGGAAAAAGGAAAGAAAGCCUUGAAAGAUAUUGAAUUAUAGAUACCUUUUCUCCGAAAAGUGGCAAUUCACGUUGAGGCAAUGAGGUAGCAUCGAUUUUGUCUUGAGAGCAAAAGCUAACGAGUUGAGGAAGACCCUGCAAUGUCAAGGACUGCAAUCCCGGAAAUUCAUUUCUAUCAUUAGUGAUAGAUUCAAUAUCCAAACCAUUUUGGAUAUGCAGAUUCUGCAAAUGUGAUAACCUUUCCUCAUCUAUUAAAUCCUUCAGUGCAAUCUUUACACCUUUCAAUUCAUCCAAUUCUAAAUAUUGAGUUCUCUUUACCAACUUCUUAAUUCCAUGAUCCAAAUCAUCAAUGCUUUUGUUUAGCCUGAGUUUUAAGGUUCUUGAAUAUUGAGAGUUGCCAAACCGCUCCCAUUCCUUUCCUAUGAAAAUCUUGUAUCUUUCCAACUUUUGCAACUUUUGAAAGAAGUCCUCUGGGGCAGCCUUGGCGUCCGGAAUUUGAACUUCUAAAGUGGACAAAUGAGAGAGUGUGUUCAGUUCAGCAAGACUAGCAUUGGGUUGUCCCCAUUGAAUAGAAGUGCCACCCAUAUAUAAUUCUUCUAAUUUUGACAAACUUGGCAACACGUCAGCUGAAAUUGUUUUGAGUUUAGUACAACCACUUACAUCUAACAACUUUAGCUUCAACAACUGCCCAAUUUCCUUGGGUACAAUUUUGAUAUCAGAUCCAGCAAGGCUAAGCACAUUUAAGCUCUUGAGAGCUCCAAUAAUGGUUAGGUUAUCUCCCAAAUUGCAGCAAUCUAGGCACAAUGUACUGAGGCUAGUUAGGAGACCAAUUGAUGAAGGUAAAGAAGAAAAAUGCAUGCGAGUCAAAUCUAAGACUUGAAGACUUUUUGCUUCCUUGAAGAAGUUAUCCGGUAAAGUCAAGGAGAGAUCCUUGCUUAAUAAAAAGAAAAGAAAAAGCUGUGGACAAUUCAACUGGUCAGGAAGCUUGUUGAUACUAGGAUGCUGCAAAAUAAUCUUGUUGCACUCUUUCAUUGACUCUCCAUUUGGCCAAUCUGUUACAGCAUCCUCAUCCUCAUCAUUAUCCUCCUCUGUUAAAGCAAGCACUUGAUUGUCCUUUGAAGCCAUUGAUUUGGCUACAAUAUAAUAAGAUCAUGCACAUCAAAGUACUCCUCAUUGGCACUUUUACUAUCAAGCAACAGACAAGAUUCUUUGAGGGUACUCAGCAUUUUUAACAGCCUAUCUCGUGCUGCUUUCAUGGUGUUGACUCCUUUAAUUAGACCCAAACCAUGAGCAUAUCUCAACAAGUUGUCAAUCCUAGUGUCACGACGCAGUAAACUGCAAAGCAGGAAAAUCUGCUUGAGGUCUUCACUCGAUAAAUGAUUGAUACUCAACUCAAUAGCCGAAUGUACCUCAGCAGAUAUCUCAUUGGAGCUUUUUUCCAAGUAAGGCCUCUGUAGUUGUUGUAAAGCAUCCCUCCAAACAAAUAAACUUUUAUUUCGUAAUGCCCUUGCAACUGUUGCAAGGGCGAGUGGUAAUCUUGCACAUUUCUCGGCUACCUUAAUUGCUGUAGAUCGCAGCUGCUCGUCACUUUCAAAACUGUCCCCGGCAGUCUUCCUAAAGAACUCCCAAGCUUCUUCGUUUUCUAAAUCACCGAGUGCAAAGGUCUUUGUAGCAUCCAUCCCAUUGCUUAGAACAUUUUGAUCUCUUGAGGUCAACAGUAUUUUGCAUCCUUUGUGUCGACUUCCAAAUGGAAUUCCGACUUCCUCUAGAUCCAGUUUCUUCCAAAGAUCAUCCAAAAUAAUAAGAACAUUUUUCUCCUUCCUUAAUCUUUCACACAAUCUACGGGCUCUUACAACCGGACUGUUUUCUUCAAGCUUCAAACCCAAUGAGUAUGCUAUUUGGUCUUGGAUUUCCUUAAUGUCAGGACUUCGAGAUACAAUUGCCCUGACGACUGAAUCGAAUAACUUAACCUCAUGGAGUUGUCUCUCGACUUCUUUGACCAGCGAUGUUUUGCCCACACCAGCCAUCCCGUACAAUCCAAUCAUGCCUGUUGUUGCAUCUUUUAGUGACUCCAUGAUAUCAUCGAAAACCUCCUCUCUUGAUUUAAAUGCCUCAAAGUCUGGAUGGACUAUGGGUACAGGAACAUCAGGGUAUCCCACGCGCUCAAAUUGGCAAUCUUUGAUAAGCUCAUCAAAAGUGGCAGCAGCUUCUUCAGCUUUCCUGCUAAGCUGGUAGCGAGACUUGAUGUUGGGACACAAGCCAAAGAAGCACUUGGUCUUCGCUUUGACUUCAAGAUCCUUCACUUUCUUCUCCUUUUCAGUGAUAACCUCAUCCACUCUGUGGCGCCAAUCCGGAACAUCAGCUUUAAUCUUCUCCCCGUUCCUUUCUGCAACAUCAACAGCUUGCUGCACACUAGUUCUUUUUGCAAUCAACGUCCUAUGUUUCUGCUCGAACUUGUCAACAAUUUUCUGGUAGAAGAUUACAUAUCUAAUAUAACGUUUAACUUGGUGGAAGAUACCUUUGGCAGCCUCGGAAGAGACAUUGGCAGCAGCACCAGUACCAAUUGCAUCCAUUUUUUUUUCUUUUUUUGCUUUGGGGUUACAAAUGACAGACAGAGAAAGUAAAAAAGAGGCAAGAAAGAAAUUAGUAAAAGGAAAGAAGCAAGCAAGAAGAAAUCAAAAAUGAUGUGAAGAAGCCAUUAGCGGAUAUGAAAUAGAAAUUCUGGAAGGCAUGGAAUUGGAUAUGGACUGUUGCCUUCGACUCUGUGAGACUUCAGAUUAGAAGUCAAAGAACCAGCAAAAGAAAACAGAGAAUGACUGUGAACUUCAAUUUUAAAAAAUACAUAAUUAUUUAUCAACUUAUCUAUUAACUUCUAUAAAGAGGGUGAGUGAUCUUGACACAAUAAUAAUCAAUUUAACCUCUGAAUUAUAAUUAAAAUAUUAAAAUAUUAUUUAUCAACUUAUCUAUUAACUUCUAUAAAGAGGGUGAGUGAUCUUGACACAAUAAUUUAAAAGGUUAAUUAUAAUUUAACCUCUGAAUUAUAAUUAAAAUAUUAAUUUGAUAAUUCUAAAAAAACAUUUAAUAAUAAUUCUAAAUUUUUUAAAGGGUAAUCUAUUUAGAUAAUCACCCAAGUUUUGUUGAGCUCCUAUUUUGGUCACCGAUUUUUGUUGUUGUUAAUUUAGCUACUUCCAUAAGAUUAAUUGUCAUUUUUAAUCACUCCACCAUUAAAAUGUUUUGGUCAUUGAAUGAAAUGCUAACCUGUUAGUCUUUUGAUUAAUAUAAUAAUAAACUUAACCAUUAACAUUUUACACAUUCUAUCAAGUUGGUCCUAAUUUUAAAAAAAUUAACAAAUUUAACCCUCAAGAUAUGUAUUUUUUUCAAUUUAGUCCAAAUUCAAAAAAUUUAAGAACUUGAAAUAUAUAUAAUUUAUUAUAAAAGGACAUAAAAAUAUAAAAUAUUUAAAAUAUAUAUAAAAUUACAUAAAGGAUUAAUUGCUAUUUGGUUCUAAUUCUAAAAUUCAAGAAAUUUAACCCUUAAUAUUUACAUACUUUUCAAUUUAAUCUAAGUUCUAAAAAUUUAUAAAUAGCAUAUUCAAACAUAUAAAACAUUCAAAAAAAAAUAAACAAUCAAGACCCAAAAUCAAAAUAAGUAAUUUUUUUCUUAGCUAUAAUUCAAAAUCAUUCAAAAAAUCCACAAAAUGCUCCUACUUUUGAUUUAUGCCAUCGCACAACAUUGCGAUCAAAAAAAUUACAAGAAAAAAAGUUCAAUUUUUUAUCCUCUUACUAUAAUUUUUUUGGUCAAGUAAACAAAAGAGUUCAAACUUUGUAAAACAACAAUCAUCCCCUCAUCUCCUUCCCCAUUCAUCUUCAAGUUUUUCAUUGUUCUUAUACUCUCGCCCAAACCUCACAAUCUCAAAUACCAUACCAAAUCGAUAUCCAACUUUACUAGACCCAAACUACAUCACCACUUCAUCAUCAAGCACUCAUCGCUAAACUCACAUCGACAGUCUUUUUUUUUUUUACAAACAUACCUAAACUUUGUUUCACAUUUUCUUUUAAUGAGGAAAAAUCAGUUAAUGAAGCAUCACUUAGUCUUAAGCAUCUGAAUCCCUCAAAGCCCUGCAUUUUGCCGUUGAAAUGGAGCCAAAGAUGUUUCUAUAAUUAAAGGCUUUUUUAUUUGAAUCUCUCAACCAACUAUUUGAUCACGGUUCUAGUAGAAGUUGGUAGUGAUUGAUUCACAAAAGUAAUUCAAAAGACUUGUUUAGUUGGGUGAGGUUUAAAGAAUAUANNNNNNNNNNNNNNNNNNNNNNNNNNNNNNNNNNNNNNNNNNNNNNNNNNNNNNNNNNNNNNNNNNNNNNNNNNNNNNNNNNNNNNNNNNNNNNNNNNNNGAAAAAUUGAGGGUUAAAUUUUGUUUAAUCCCUAAAAAAUUGGGUAAAAUUAAAUAAAUAUUUAUCUGAAUCCCUCAACCAAAUUCAUAUUUAAUCCUUUAUAUGAUUUUAUCUAUAUUUUUAGUAAUUUAUUUUUAUGACAUUUUAUAAUAAAUUUUAUAUAUUUUCAAGUUUUUAAAAUUAUUUUUUUUAAUUUGGACUAAAUUGCCAAAAUAAACAACUAUUGAGGGUUAAAUUUGUUGAAUUUUUAGAAUUAGGAACAAAUAGACAAAAUGUGUAAAGUCUUAAAGGUUAAUUUUAUUUUUAUAAUAAUCAAAAGACGAUCAUGUCAACAUUUUUGUUUAGUGACCAAGGCAUUUUAAUGGAGUGACUAAAAAUGACAAUUAAUCUAACAGGUGACUAAAUUAAAAAAAAAAAAUUGGUGACCAAAAUUGGAACACGCUAAAACUUGGAUGACUAUAUAAAUAGUUUACUCUUUAAUUUUUUUUUAAAUUAUUCUUAAGAACAAAUUUAAAUUGAUCAAAUUGAUAUUUUAAUUAUAGCUCAUGGGCUAAAUUGAUUAUUAACCUUUAAAUUAAUGUACCAAUCACCCACUUGACAGAAGUUAACGAAUGAAUGACAAUAACUUUCGAAAGUUGAAUAACUGAAAUGUAAUUUUAAUCAAAGUUUAGGAAUAAUCGAUAUAGUUUAGGAAUAAUCAAAUUCUUCUUAAUAUUAUUUUAGUUCUAGUUAUGAUUAAUUAAAUAAAACUAAUGUAAAAAAUUAAAUAAAACUAAAAAAGAUUAUUAUGAUAAUAUAUUUUUAUACUUUUAAAUCUUUUUUAAAUAAAAAAUUUAUAAAUUAAAUAAUUAAAUACAUGUUGAAUAUUAUUAUAAUACAAGUUUAUUAUCAGAUGACUUAUAUCUAUUAUUAAAUAAUAUUUUAAAAAAAAUUAACAUAUAAUGUUUUUUUAUUGGUGGGGAAUUUAGGGAAAUUUGAGUAGAAGUAGUAAUAUUUUUAUUAAGGAUAGUAUAAAUAUCUUUUGGAGUUUCAACCUUAUUUUGUUUUCAGCUUGUUCAAUAAUUGAGAAGGUUGGCCACUUGUUCAAUAAUUGAGGAGGCUGGUCGUGUGGGUCUCAUGAAAUGGCACGUGACAUCAUAAUUGAUUUCCUAUUGUUUCGGUUCUACAGAAUAGUUUAUAUUUUGUUUUGCUCAAACUGUAAUAUGUGUUUCAACUCAAUUUUGGUUAAUAUCAAUUUGUAUUGGUGUAUUUAAAUUAAAUUACAGAGUAAAAAAAUAAAAAAUAAAAUAUAUUUUCAGACAUUUAGUAUAUUCCAAAUUUAACAUUUCUACUUUUAUUUUUAGAAAUUUAAUUUAUCUACUUUCAAAAUUAAAAAUAUAGAUUUAAUUGCUACCACCAUUAAAAUUCUUCUAUAAAAUUAUACAAAGACAUUUAAAAAUUAAAAAAAUUCCCUUAAUAACCAUGUAAUAAUAAAAAUAAUAUUAUAAAUACCAAUUGGGAUUUUUUUUUUUUAAACUGUACAUUUGAAUUCGGUAUGAUAAAUAGUAUUUUUAACAAAAAUUGACAUCAAAAUUUGGAUAACAAUUUAACUUAAAGUAAAAAAACUAAAUUAUGUUAAAAACAAAACUAUAUAUAUAACAACCCACAUUUAAUCCAAUCAUUAAAUCUAAAUAUCUUCAAAUAUUAUGAUUAUUUUACUUUCGAAAAAAUAUUUGCGUAAUUUUUUAAUCGAUUUGGUACCCGAUUGACUCGUAACAUCAACUUAGACAAAAAUUUAAAUAAUAGCUUAGAUUUAUCAAUAAUUUAUUAUAUUAUUCAUUGUACAGACCCAUUUUGCCCGGGUUCAAAACCAAUACAAACCCAAACUAUUAACAGUCCCAAAUAAAAAAACCUAGCCCAAACCCAAAAACAAAAAGAAACAAAGAAACCCUAGCCCCUAACCCUAGCGUCAGCCGCCGCAGCCACCGACCCCAACUCCCACCACCUACUCCGCCGCUCCUCUGUCCACUUGCACCUGCAACGAAAUGCCAGGCAAAAGAUAAGAUAAAAAAAAUCAUGUAAAAACGGCUAUAAAGUCGAGAAUCGAACGCUUGUAAGGGGUUCCCCCCUUUUUUUUUUCACAAACAUUUAAGAAAUAAAAGAAAACAAUUUAAAAAGGUGACUUUUUUGUACAUUUUUCGAUUUUGUUUUUUUCCGGUUUGUUUCUUUUUUAUUUUUUUAUUUUCUUUCACAUACGAAAUAAAUAAAAAUAACAAAAAGAAAAAAAGAAAAAACCUACCUGUUUCGUUCUUCGUCAUCGGGAUUCGGAGGGUCCCUCCUCUUUUCGGUCAUUUUUGGCCACUUUUUCUAAAAAACAACCCCAGAUUCGAAAUCAAGGGGUUGAGAGGGUUAAAGAGGCCUUUUUUUAAUUUUUUCGACCCGACCCGAUGAAGGUCCGCGUGUUUUCAUACCUGAGGGUCUAUUUUCCUUUUAGCCCUUCCGUAUUUCUCUUUUUUAUAAUUUGGUCCCUUUUGUUAAAUUUCUUUUAUGUUUAAUUUUGCCUUAGAAUUUUAUUCUGUUUUCAUUUGAGUCCCGGGUAAAGCGCUGCGUUUUGGAGGGAGGGGAUAUUUUCCCCUUUAGUCCCUCUUUGUUAUUUGCGCACUCUAUUCGGUCCUUUUCUUUUAAUUUCUUCUCAGAUUUGCCCCAAAUUUCUAUGUUAAGUUCAAGUUAGUCCUUUUGUUGUUAUUUUUAUUAAAUUAAUUAAUUUCUAAUCAUUAUUAUCACUUCUCUUACUAUUAUUUUUAUCAUUACUCAUAUUAUUAUUUUAUUUUUACUACUACUACUAUUAUUAUUAUUAUUAUUAUUAUUAUUAUUAUUAUUAUUAUUAUUAUUAUUAUUAUUAUCAUCAUCAUCUUAACCUUUUAUUAUAUAUUUAUUAUUAUUUUCACAUUGUUUAAUUAAUUAUUCUUUUACAUAAUUUCCAUUACAUUUUUUUACAUUCAUAUUAAAUACGUUUGUCUUAUUUAUAUAUUAGUUCUUUAAAUGCAUUUUUAUACAUUUGUUUUGUAUCUUUUUACAUAAUUUCUAUCAUCUUUUUUUUAUUGCAUAGCCUUAAAUUGUUUAUUGUUAUUAUUAUUAUUUAUUUUCAUAUUUAAUAUUUUCGUUUCUAAAUUGUUUUAUGUUUUUAUUCAUUUAUUUAAUAUCAGCUCUUUAGUUUCAAAUCAUAAAUUUGCCCUAUUUAAUACUCGUCCUUUUAUCUUCGACUUGUUUAUUUUAUCUCAUUUUCGUUCCUUAUAUUAUUGUUCAUAUUAAUGCAUUCGUAUUUAUUCUGUUAUGCAUAUCAACAAUGUAAUUUGCUUUCACAUUCUUUUUAUUACGACAUCAUGUUUCAUUUUACUCGAUAUAUCAAAAUUUGUUUAAAUAAAUGGCAUUUCGUAUGUUUAGAUUCGAGAAGGUCGUACCCUAACUUACUGGGUUUCGAUUUUCAUGACGAAUCUAAAUACACGAGUCUUUUUCAAACUUAAGCUUUAAACGAUCUCGAAAAUUAAGAAAAGAUCAAGUCCUAACUUACUGGGCCUGAUCCCUUUUUUUUUAAAAAACCCGAGAUAAUUAAAUAUCUUUUUAAAUAAGUAAAUUUUCGACAUUUAUUCUCGUAUUGGGAAUUCGAUAUGUUGUGUCCUAACACAUUGGAUAUGACACUUCGUUUUCUCGAGAUGAGGAUUUUUCUAAAAAAUAAUAAAGGCAAUAUUCAAUGUUUAUAAUUUUGAGAAAUUGUGCCCUAACAUAUUGGGUUGCGAUUUCAUCAUCUGACUUAAGCAAUUGAAUAUCCUUUUAAACUUUAUUGCACGAGUUUUUUGGACAAGCUCAUUUUUGAGAAGGUGAAAUAUCAUGCCCUAACUCAUUGGGUGUGACUUUUCUCUCUCCGAAAUGAGAGGGUCUUAAUGGGUAAUUUAAUUUAAACAAGUUUUUAAUACAAGGAUCGUAUUUUUUAACUCUUCAAAAUUUUCAAUCUUUGACAUUAAGACAUUAAAUAAUCGACUAGGUACUAAUUUUGGGCGUUACGAGGGUGCUAAUCCUUCCUCGUAAGUAACCGACUCCCGAACCUAUUUUUCUGAAUUUCGUGGAUCAAAACCGUUGUUUUAAUAAAAUCGAACCGUUUAUUAAAAACAACCACUUUUACGAGGUGACCCGAUCACAGCUCAUAAAAAAAAAGGAUUGGUGACGACUCCCGUUUUUUCGUUUUCAUUUUCAAAUCCAAGUCGACCCCAUUUCAUCAAAAAAAUUGUGUCAACAUUCAUCAUAUAUUACUAUUUUAUAAUUAUUUAUAAAAUUUAGUAUAUAUUAUGAAUAUAUCAUAAAGAUAAAAUUAUUUAUCAUUCAGAGAUUUUGUAACACCUAAAAAUUUUGGUGACAUAAAUGAUAUUAUUAAGAGAAUAUAAAUUGUAAAAUGUUCUUAUUUUCAUAUUUUUUUAGACGAAAAAAAAUGAUUUUAAGAAUUCUUCAAAGAAAAAAAAAGGUUAAAAUUGGAAGGCAAACAAUAAAGUGUAAAGAAGCUUUAAAUGUUUUAAGGUUAUUUAAAUAUAUUCACAUGGAAAUAUUUCAUUAAUGGAAGCAUCACUCACAACAAUAUUUUGAAGAUCUAAAAAUGAUCGAAAGAAAUAAGGUGGAAGAACAGUCAGCGGAGGAGAAUUUAAGAGCUCCAAAACUUUCGGCUUAAAAUACCCUUCUGGAAGUUGUCCAUGUAUAUCUCUUUCAUGUUGCCAUUGCUUUCCAAUCUCAAUUCUUCUAAAUAAGGGAAUGUAUCCAGGUCAGUUGACAAAUGUCUUAAACAAAAGCGAGGAUGAAUUUCGAUUAAGGAAAUGGAAUUGUGGUAUGCCCGUAUUUCAGUUAAAUUUGAGAGAUAAUCUCUCAAUUAAACUUUGUUUAUAUAUUUUAAUUAAACUCUGAUUAGUUUAGAGUUUUAUUAUUGUUUGAUCUAUGAAUUUAGUCUAUAAAUAGGCUCUUUUACAAUAUUAGUAAAUACACCCAUUAAAGAUUGGUUAUUAUACUCAACUGACCCAAAAAAAUAAAUAAUUACAAAAAUAACCCAGAUUGAAAAAUAAUAACCUAAUAAAUGACCUGAAAUGAACAGUACCCAAGAGUAAUGGACACUAGAUGGCCGACACCCAUAUAAAUCCUGACACAAUUAUUGCCUCAUGAUUGUGUCAGGGAGUAAAAAUUAAUUUUUUGGGUUUUGGACAUGAGAUGACUGGCACCCGUGUAUUUUUUCCCAAUUGUAUCAUAUUGGUAUAACAUGUAUACCAAAAUUUUUAAAAAAAUUAGGGUGGCGUUAUAUUGAUGGCUGGCACCCCUUUAACUGAUUAGAAAUUUUUUUUGAGGGGUGUUGGGACACUGAUGGCCAGCACCCUUUUUCCAAAUUAAAAAAAAUUUAGGUGUUGGAACACUGAUAGUCGACACCAUGUAAUUUAUAUAUAUAUGGAUGCUCUUUGGGUUGUGGUAUUGUAAUUAGAGAAAAACUUAUUGAGAGUAUCCUGCUGAAGAAAAGGCUAUCAUAGUUACUCACUGUCUGAUAAGCAAACAAUGUCACUAUAAGGUUAGAAACCUUUCAAGUUGUUAACCAUCCAAAGUUGUUUGCCUAUCAGAUGAGGAGUAACUGUAAAUCAUAGAUGUGAUGUAAUGGACUCUUCAAUUAUUUGGGGAGGGUACCAUCAAUUCAAGAUACAGAAAAUUGGGGUUGAAUUAUAUAUUGUCAUGCGUUAACGGAGUUGGAUUAUAUAUUGUCACGUGAAUCAUAAAGGUUAUGUCAUCAAAGGGUGGAGAUACUAGCAUUCAAAUUGAUUGUAUUAUUUUUGUAUCUGUAAAUCAAUUUUGGUCUGUAUUAUUUGUUGUUGGAUUUUUUUCGUAUAUCAAUUGGGCUUCAUAUAUCAGUUGUCUACAAUAUUCGUAUUUUUUUUGUAUCAGUAAAUCAAUUUUAGCCCAUAUUAUUUGUUGGUCGAAUUUUAUAUGUUCUUAUAUCAAUCUAAAAAGUUCCUAUUGCAAAAAAUUUAUGUGGACCCAAGAGUUUUGCACACAAAAAGUUAUGUUAGAAAUUCAUAUUACGUUUUGCAAAAAUAGUUACAAACUAAAUAAUUACAAAAAACUCAAAAUUGUAUGGACCCAAGCGUUGUCCUCGGCCCUGGCAUGUAACGGUCGGGCAACCUCCGUUGGCAAGAGGUUGCACCUUCAUGUGGCGAUUGAUAAUCAUUCAGGCCGACCUCCGUUUUUCCUGCCAGUGUACUGAAGAAAGUGUAAAAUUGUAUGCCUCAUCAUCAGGGGUGACGGGGCAUUAUGACACCGGAGGUGUUGAGCCAAAAAUAUCCUCAAUGGCAAGUGCUUGCCAUUGGAGCUCCAUGUGGUAUAAGAAUGUUUCAGAGUGUGCUAAAUGUUGAGGGUGGGGGUUUAGGUCAUCGCCAAAUAUCUCCUCGAAUGAAUAAGGUUGUUUGGGAUGGGGUGUAUGUAAUGACGUUCCGGAUGCUGAAUAUUGGGGACCGAGAUCGGUGUUUGAGUCUGAUUCAGUGUUCUCAAACGGUGGGACUCUAUUACAAAGUGGUUGAGUCUUCAUUCGUUGUCGUUUAGACCUACUUGGUUGCGAGUGUUCCGGGACCACCAUGAAGGGGGCGCUUCUUAUAGCAGGCGUUCCACAAAAUGAUGUAUGGGGCAUGUUCGGUCACCCAAUUUUUUAUGUCCUUACCAUUUUUGUCUAACCCGUAAGCAUGUUCAAAGUCUUGUGGAAGGUUUAGGAUAUAUUGAUGCAACUGAACUAUCUUGAUACCCGAUUCGCUAUGUGCCACACGACCAUCUUGAAAUUAAUCAAUGAGACGUUUGUCAUAAAUAGUAUUCGUUGCUUGUGAACCCAUGAUAGUAUGAGGGCCGCAAUUUCUCCCUUGGAAUACAUCCAUAGAAACUGCACAGUAUAGAAAGAUUAUAUUAUAAAUUGGACUAAAUUUUUUUGCAAAUGUUGAAAUUAAAAAAUAUUUAUAGCACUCAAAUAUUGUAAUUUUAAAAAAAUUCGAAAGCGUAUUUCAUGUUUUCCCUAAAAUAAGCCUCUAUCAUUUGGCGGUAUAUGGGCACCGUGUAUGAUCUUUCGAUUCCCGAUAUCGUUGCCCAUUUGUAAAACAUAUUCAAAUUUUUAAGUAUAUUUGGCAUGCAAAAAGUACAAUACUAUUAAAGAAAAAGGUAAUAUCCAAUUUUUAAGCAUAUUUCAGAUCUUCUAGUAAGGGGAGGUACAUGAUGUGCAUUUUAUUCUGAUUGGCAUCCAACAUUAGUACCCCACCUAUCAAUUGUAGAAGAUACGCUCUAGAAGCAUAAAUAAUGUUCGUUUGCAUUGGACGGCUUGAUAAGUUUUUGAAAUUAUUCCUUAACCAAGUAAAUUUAAUACCUGUAAUAAGGCCCAAUCGGCCCAAAACAGUUCCUAGUCCAACAUUACAAAAUUAAACAGACGGCCCAAAACGGUCCCUGGCCCAACACUACAAAGUUAAGCAGAAAAACCCUAAGCAAUAAGGAGCGCCGCAUCUGCCUCAGCGCCGCAACAGCACCCGCGCCGCGCCCAAUGCCCGAUCGCCGCACGUUUCGGCCUCCACUCUCCACGCACCUACAAACAUGGAUUCAGAGAGUCCAUUAGCGAAAAUAUAGUGUAAAACAAAUAGGUUUUCAGGCUAUAAAAGGCCGACUUUUAUCUGUAAAAAGGACGGAUCUUUUGAUAGGGAAUCGAGAAUAAAAAGCAGUAAAGACUUGUUUUUUUAAAGGUGAUUUCUUCUUGUUAUUAAAAGUGUUUAUCGUUUUUACAUUUUUUUUUAUAUUUUCUUUUACUUUUCAUUUUGUUUCGUUUAAAAUAACAAGGGAAAAGGAAAGGAAAACUUACCUGAAAACGCCGUGCCAUCGCCAUCUCCGUCGUGAUCGGAGUUUUGGUGAGAGGGCCGAUCGAGCGGCGGCGCAAGGACGCUAGGGUUCCAAACCCUAGCAGAGCAAACAAAAGGGGGGGCCUCUGUUUUUUUUAUUUUUUUUCUUCUCUUCGAUUGCAACUGAUUUUGAAAAGAAAUUUUGUUUUAAAUAAAUGAUCAAAACGGCGCUGUAUUGUCCAGGCCUUGACCCGCGCGGUGACCCGACCCGAAGGGGAGGAUCCGCGCGUUCUGACGUCAGAGGGGAGAUUUGCGCAAAUGAUCCCUCCCUUUUGCAAUGCGCCCCAACUUAAACCCUUUUUUGUUUUUUAAAUUAGGCCACAUAUUUGAUCCGCGUUUCGAUUCAGUCCCUAGCUGCGCAGUAUUUUGAGAGGAUGGAUUAAUUUCCACCUGGGUCCUCCUACUGUUGUGCGCAUCUUAAUUUGGACCUUUUCCUUAGUUUCCAUCUUUAAAUUUGGUUUCAAAACUUUGUUUAUUUUUGAUUUAAUCCUUAAUUUGUUGUUUUUUAUAUGUUAUUAUUAUUAUUAUUAUUAUUAUUAUUAUUAUUAUAGGAAUUACUAUUACGCUUACUAUAUAUAUAUACACAUUCGCAUAUUCUCUGCAAUAAUAUGUGCAUACAUUCUUUUUAACGAUUUUUAUAAACACAUGCACCUUACAUAUAUAUUUUAUUAUCAUUCUAUGUGCAUAACUUUCAUAUACUUUUGCGUGCAUUUAUAUUUUAUAUAGAUAUACAUUGUUGUAACAUAUUUAUUCCCUAUAUUUUAUAAUUUAAAGCAUACAUGCAUUCUCUAAUAUAUACCUACACAUUUAAACUUUUUAUAAAUCCACGCAUAAAUUUUGUACAUACUAAACAUUUUUUUAAAAAUGUGUAUUUUAUAUUUUAGUUUCAAAUUCUUUUCACUUUUGUAAAUAAAUAUAUGUGAACGCAUAAUUGUAAAUAUAUUUGUAUAUUCUACCUACUUGUAUAUGUAAUUGUGAAUAUUUAUUCAUAUAUGUUUGAAAUUAGGGUAUUUGUUUCAUGUUAUACCUUAACCCUUUUUUAGCAUCCAUUUUAAAAACAUAUAUUUUGAUUUUCUCAAAGUACUUAAAUCAUCCUAUUUUAUAAAUUCCGAAAUAUUUGACAUUCAUGAUUCACGUGAAAGAUCGUGUCCUAACUUACUGGAUCGCGAUUAUUUUUCGAUGAAUUUAGAAAGCCAAGUAUUUGUUUUGCAACAAAUUUUCAAAUUUUAAAUAAAAGCUUAUUCUCGGGAAUUAAAUUGUUGGGUCCUAACUUACUGGUCAUGACAUUUUCUUCUCGAAAUAAGAAUUUACAAAAACAAAAAGGCAAUAUUCGGGUAUUUUGAAGAUUUAAAAACAUUGUGCCCUAACUCACUGGGUGUGGUGUUUUAUUUCUUUGAAAUAAGAAUGUCUUGCUAUUUUAAAUCCAUUCAUGAAAUAAAAAGUUUCCUUUUAAAAUCUUUUCAAAUUUUCGACACCAAGGCAUUAAAAAAUCAAUUUGGUACCAAUUUUGGGCGUUACGAGGGUGCUAAUCCUUCCUCGUGCGUAACUGACUCCCGAACCUGUUUUUUUUCAAAUUCCGCAGACCAAAAUUAUUUUUAAGGUGGGCCGAUCACACCCUAAUAAAGGAUCGGUGGCGACUCCAGUUUUGUUUUUUUAAAGUCGACAACAAAAUUUUUUGUUUUCAAAAAAAUGGUUUCCACAAUACCGAUUAAUCUUUCUUCCUUAUUAUCGGGGGGCACUCUUCCAAGUAAUCAUUCGUAAUUUAACCAAUGAUCGAUCACUUUACCUAGCCCUGUCAUUAUUUAACUUUCAAUAAAUAGACCCACUUGGACCGAUACAUCUUGUAGUGUUAUAAUGCAUUCCUCACAUGGGAGGUGGAAUGUGUGAAUCUUCGGGCACCCUCAUUCCACUAGCGUUGAUAUUAAAUCGGCCUUUAGGUCCAAAAUCUAAAUGAAUGCGGCUGUGUCAAACUUGACAACAUUUAAAUAUGGCACAACCCGCUGGUCAGGAAAAUAUCUCGGAUCAUGGAGUCGAGGCCUCACAACCCGGUACUCUUCCUACAAAAAUAGUAAACAUUAUAUUAUUUUAUUUCUCGAAAAAAAAUUAUAUGAAUUUUAUUUAAAGCUUAAUUGGAUCACAAUUACCAUAUUAUGUACAAACUUUGCUAUGGUUUCCAUUAUCGAGAAGAGGUCGAGGAUUCAUUCUGAUAUUUGUACAAAAGUCGAAAAAAAUUUUACGCUCGACGUAAAAUAUCAAUAUUUUAUUAAAAUGGAACCAUUUAUAUUUUAAAAAAUAUAAAACAACUUACAUCUUUUAUCUAGGAGAGAUAAAAAUUAAUAAAAAUUUCUCUAAUGGGUGGAGCUUGGUGAUGGUGGUUUAUUUUGUAGGUUGGGUGGUAGACCAUUUGGGGCUUUUAUAGUGGAGGACCAUUGAAGCUAAUAAGAGAAAGAAGGAUAAGAAGGGAAAAAAAGAGGCCUUACAAGAAACUCGUUUUCCUAGAUAUGCAAUGUGUGUUGCAGCAUGUAGACUUCGUCUAUGAAUUAUUCAAUACUUAAAUUAGCUGUCGCACACGUUGCAUGAACAUGCACACACGGGUAUUGAAGGUUUUGGAACUUCCCAUACUUGUAGUUCUUGUUCCACAAAUCAACUGCGUAGGACCUGAGCGAAAGUCUCACGCGACGACCGAUGUACUCUUAAACUUGAAAAGACUCCAUGUUGCAAGAAUACAAUUUUGCAUUCAUCGUCUAUGCCUUACAUGUGUUGUUUGCCAUGGCCCUUCGGACGACUUCAACGUACACGUGCCCGACCUUCAUUUCUUUUACUUGCCUUAACCCUAUCAUUAGCAUCAAUCUGGCAAGCCUAUACAACAUUGCCGAGAAUACAACAGAAAUUGGCAAAUGGGGUAUACGCCUCAGAACGGAGUUAACCGCCUUUACAAGGUUGGUUAUUAUAUGAGCAUAACGAAACCCGUCAUAAAAAAUUCAUUCUACCCAACCACUGCUGGAAAUUAGUUGGUAAGGACGACAUUUCACCUCAAGCCUCGUAAGUUUAUGCUUGAAUCAUCACGGUUCUAGCUCGUACUCCGUGUAGCCAAUUUAAAAAAUAUAUUAAAAAACAAAUAGGAACAGAUAAAUUUUGCCAAAAAAUAAAAAAGAUCUGAAUAAUUUUCAAAAAAUAUUUUAAAAAAUUAAGAAAUGGGAAUUUUUGAAAAUUUAUUUUAAUAAAAUACAAACUGAAAUAUUUCAAAAAAUAAUUUAAAUAAUUACUGACUGAAAAUUUUAAUAAUUAGAUUAAAAAUAAAAUAUAAACAUAUUUUACAACAAUAUUUUUUUACUCAUGUUCACAAUUUUUUUACGCCAGUCCUUAUUUUUAUAAUCUUUGUGGAAGUUUGUCGUGAUGUGUUGGAUGUAAUAAACAAACAUUCAUGGAACCCCCCGAACAUCUUAUCGCAGCCAAUGAUCCCUUUAAUCUACAGAGAUAAUGCAAAUGUUGUCUUGCUUGACAACAUGCCUCCCCAGAUUUGUUAGGAAAAAAUCCCAAGACCCGAAACUCUCACCCUCCACGAUUGCGAAAGCGAUAGGAAGUACAUUCUGGUUACUGUCUUGUACAACCGCAAUCAAAAGUAUUUUUAUAUAUUUAUCGUACAACCAGAUACCAUCCACCUGCACCAACGAUUUAUAGUAGGGGAAUGCCUUCACACAUGGCUGAAACGUCCAAAACAAUUGGUGGAAAAUUCGUCUCUACAGUUGUAUUUCACCGUCUGAGCCUUUAUGCGGCAAAGUUUACAAAUCAGUUACCUUACCUGGCACAUACUUCUACAUCACGGCUAUCCACCCUUGAAGUUCGUUGUAUGACACAUCCCAAUCACCAUGCAACUGCUCCAUCACCAUUUGUUUCACCCAUCAUGCCUUCCUAUAAGAAACUCGAUACUUGAAUCGAGCUUGCAUGUUUACAAUAAUGACCAGUACAAGGAUGAUGGGCAUGUCUUUCACCAAUGGCAUGAUGCCGUUGCAUAUGGUUUUUGCAUCCAAUUUUUGGUGGUCUUACAUUAUACGAGCAACCGUGCAUGUGUGAGGCCCUUCUAUUUUCUUGAUUGCCCACCUUUGAGUCUGCACCAAUAAAGCAACCUGAACACGCUAAUUACAACCACUUCCAUCUUUCCAACAUUAUCUAACAUAUAAAAACUGUGUAGACUUCAUGACUUUGUAGUCGACAGAUAACUUCAAGUUGUAUUGAUUUGUUGAAUGUACAAAGUAUUUUUUGUUAUUGAAUUAUGGUCCGACGAACAACUCUUCAGCGUCUGAUUCUCCCUACAGUAGAUGAGUAGUUGCUAUAUCUGGAUAUUCGGGGAACUCAUAUACAUGCACCGUAUCAAGAUCUACGUCUGACGUGAAAGCCCUUGGAUUAUUAUAGAUAACUAUAUCGGAUCCUGUGUUCCUGGCCGAAUUGGGGUUCAUAUCAACACCCUCCACCAUGCCUUCAUUGUCUAUAUCUUCGGGGAUCUCAUCCAAAUCAGGGCCACUAAAAUCUUCAUUAUCAUGGUGGGACUGAUCUUCAUUACAAAACUUUCAUCACCAUCUAGUAUAGUACCCAACACCUCUGGAUAAAUAUCUAGACGAGGACUCGGGAUUGAGAUGUUAUACAAACAUCCGUCGUUAUUUAGAUUUUUGGGAGUUUGCAUUAACCCUUCAUAGCCCGACUGGUCUUCCCAGUAAACAUUAAGAUCAAAAUCAAAUACAAAACACUGACUUGCUGAAAUUACAACUUGAACGGGUUUUGGAUCGACUAACUUUGCGAACAACUCAAUUGAACUUAGAUUCUCGAGCUCAGGGGGUAAUAAAUUGUCAUCUUUGUGCCUAUAUCAUCAUCUUCAAGCUCCAUCUUCGCAAACCUGAAAGGUUCCAUUGAAAUUAGAAUUUUGUAAAGCAAUGUUAACAUUUGCUUCCCGCAAUGGACAACUGUCUUCAUACUAAUCUUCUCUUUCAAUUCCACUAGCAAAACACGUUUGUUGAAUCUUAUUCCAAUUUUUUACCGACUUUGAAAUACACAAGCUUCUUCAACUGUAUUUAUAAUUUCUCCAUCGCAAUUAACAUAGACUAACAAAUUUUGAGAACUCAUCUUAAAAAAUAUAUGCUUCCUCCUCAACAAAAUACUGAUAUAUCACUAUUUUUGUUGUUAAACUAGUAAAUAGAAAAAACCAAAUAGAAGAAACCACAAAUAAAUAGGUUAGGGGGUGUCGGCCAUUGGAUACAUGACACCCCAAUUUUUUUAAUUGAUAAAGGGGGUGUCAACCAUUAGUGUUCCAGUACCCCAAAUUUUUUUAAUCUGGAAAAAGGGUGUCGGUCAUUAAUGUCCCAACACCCAAAAUUUUUUUAAUCUUAAAAAGGGGUGCCAACCAUCAGUGUUCCAACACCCCAAAAAUUUUUUUGUCUAUAAAAAAGGUGUUGGCUAUUAGUGUCUCAACACCUAAAUUUUUUUUUUAUUUUGGAAAAGGGAUGCCAACUAUUAGUGUCAUGACAACCUAAUUUUUUUGUAAUCAGUUAAAAAGGUGUCGACCAUCAAUGUCAUGUCACCCCAAAUUUUAUUUUAGAUAAUGUUAUACAUGUUAUACCAGUAUGAUACAAUUGGAGAAAAAUACAUGGUGCCAACCAUCUCUUGUCCAAAACCUAAAAAAUUAUUUUUUUUUACUAUCUGACUCAAUUAUGAGGAAAUGAUUGUGUCAGAAUUUAUGUGGGUGUCGGCCAUCUAGUAUUCAUUACUCCCGAGUAUUAUUCAUCUUAGGUCAUUUAGGUAAUUUUUUUGAACUUAUUUCAUUUUUGUAAUUAUUUUUUUCGGUCAAUUAGGUAAAAUAACCUUAAAGAUUAGACUCAAAACAUAUUGAGAGAAUUUUGUGUUUAUGUUUUGAGAAUUCUUUAUUUUUGGGUUUCUAGGUUUAGUUUUUAUUUCCAUAUUUUGUACUCUUUGUUCUAUUACUAUUAUAGUAAACUUAUCUUUACCCGUAAUUUUUUAUCCUCUUUGAAGGGGUUUUUCACGUUAAAUUUGUGUGUUUAAUUUCUCAAUUUCAGUAUUUUUUAUUUGUUCGUUGCUUAAUCAAGUCAAUCUCCAAGUGGUAUAAGAGCUAAUUCAAUUUUUACAGAUCAAUUCAUUUGAUGGUGUCACACAUUUCAAUUUGUAGCAAGUUUAGAUGAUGACAAUUCUAGUUCAGACUAGCCUAAAAAACGUCGUUUCCAGAAAAAAAAAAGCUUGAGAAUCUAGAUUAGACAAAAUGGGAUAAGUUUGAUAAAAAACCCUGUCUGCAAUUCAAUUGUACCUCACGAAUAGGGUAUUACAAGAGGUAUUGAUGGAGAAAACCUCAUCCACCUUGUGAAAAAGGUUAAAAACUCUUUAUGCGGCUAAGUCUCUAAUUAACAGUUUAGUGUGUAAACAACAUCUAUUUACGUUUCGCAUGAACAAAUGUGAGCUUUUAAGAGAUCAUAUGAUUCAUUUCUCUUUUGAAUGAUUUAAUGGACGUUGAGGUUCAAAUUGACAAUAAAGAUUAGGCUAUGCUAUUACUGUACUCUUUACCCCAUUCAUACAAUUCUUUUAAGGAGACCCUGAUUUAUGGUAAAGACAAUCUCUCAUUUGAGGAUAUGAAGGGUCCUUUGUUGAGUAAAAACAAACUCAACAAUGAGUUUGGUUCGAAUAGCAAGACAAAUAGACAUGCUUCCAUUUUAGUAGCAUUAAAGAAGCAAGACAAAAGGUGUCAUUAUUGUAAGAAGUUAGGUCAUUGCAAAAUAGAUUGUUAUAAACUGCAAAAUAAAAUGACUGCUGAGAGCAACGGGAAAGGUGUAGCUGGUGCUAAUUUGGUCAACAAAAAAGGUAAUGAUUUCUUGUUAGUGUCAACGAGCAAAAGUUUCGAGCUUAUAUCUAAGUGGAUCCUAGAUUCGUGAUGUUCUUUCCACAUGUGUCCCAUCAGAGAAUGGUUCUCUACAUACAGUUCGCUUAAAGGUAGAGUUGUGUGCAUGGAAAACAAUUCAUCCAGUAAAGUAAUCGGUAUUGGUACUAUUCAAAUCAAGAUGUAUGAUGGGACGCUCAAGACACUGCCAGAUGUUAGGUAUGUACCUGAUUUAUGAAAAAAUCUCAUCUCCUUUAGUAUUUUAGACUCGAAAGGUUGUAAAAUCAACAUCAGGUCGAGCGACAUUAAGGUAUCUCGUGGGGCUUUUGUUUUGAUGAAAGGUAAAAUGAUCAACAAUCUUUAUAUUCUGGAAGGUUCUACAGUGACUGGUGAAAUCAAACGUCCAUCAUCCAUUUCGAAGUCGAAGUCGACUUAUUUGGAGCAGAAACAACUUGGUUAUAAGAGGGAAAAAGGUAUAACCAUUUUGUUGAAGAAUGAUUCUCUUUUGGAUGUAGGUUUCAAAUAAUUAGGGCAUUGUGUUCGUGAAAAUUAGAUCAGAGUUAGUUUUGAUUUGGCAGUGCACAAGUCAAAUGCUAAAAGUCUUCUAGCUUCUAAGUAAAAAUUUGACUCGGUUAAUUCCUUGCAUAGUUCAAGAUAUGCCCAUAAUGGGCUUUGACAAAAAUGGUGUUGCGAAAAUACGAGUCAAGGUGGAGAUUUGUUGAGUAUGCCUCGUAUUUCAGUCAAAUUUGAAAGAUAAUCUCCCAGUUAAACUCUGUUUAUUUGUUUUGGUCGAAUUAUGAUUAGUCUAAAUUAUUUUUUUUAUUUGACCUACGAAUUUAGUCUAUAAGUAGGCUCUUUUACAACCUUAGAAAUACACCCAUUAAAGAUUAGCACUCAUAACACUUUUGGAAAAUUUUGUGUUUAUGUUUUGAAGGUUCUUUAUUUUUUCUAGGUUUAGUUUUUAUCUUCAUCUUUUGUACUCUUCGUUCUGUUGCCAUUAUAGUAAAAUUAUCUUUGCUCGUGUAAAGAACAAUUAAACCUGCAAUGGAAGGGCAUCUCCCAUAACUCUUUAUAAAGCAACUCUGCUAAAAUGAUAAGCGAAAUAAUCAAUUUCUGCCAUUAAACUACAUUUUAUGCUUAAGCUCAUUACUAAAAGUAGGAUAUUUUUCCUUCAAUUUUGGCCUUUCUGUAGUAUGUAUCCUUGAGCUGAAACUUUUCCCUAUAAAGUAGAAGGAUGUAAUAAGUUUAGGAAAAUACAGAUUUAAGGCUCUUUCCAUAGCAACGGAUUGAGUGAUUGUCAUUGCAUGUAAAUUGUUGGCAUGUUUAUUAUUUGCAUCCGCUGUAAUUUCAUCAUUCAUCCCCUUAUAUAAAAAUGGAAAAAAGGUAUUCCAAAGUUUUACUUUUCCCCCUUCAAUCAAACACACAUGUAAGAUAUAGACUUACGUAGUUUGUUGACUGAUUGUGCCAUAUCUUUCUCCAGUUUCCCACACCCAUGAUGCUUUGUUUCUCUAAGUAAGGUUAGUUUGCUAGAGAAAAACAAGUAGUACAACAAGAAUAGGGAAUCAAAUAUUUAAGAAAAAUGAACAAGAAAAAAAAAAUGAAAGAAAGCAAUGAUACAAGAAAACAAAAAUGGGAUAUCCCCUUUCAAUGAAAAGAGUUGGAAAGAGAAUCUCUGAGUUGUUGCUUUCUAUCCCAAGAGAAUAAUGUCAAUGCCAGUAGUGCUACAUUUUAGACAAAAAUACCCAUGUACCUUGGUACCUACCAAGGUACAAAAUCCAAGAAAGAAACAAGGAUUACUCAAAAGCUUAUUACCAAAUCAGAGCAUGCCGAAAAGAAGAAAUUCAAGAAGAAAAUAGAAUGGUUAAAGCUAAAUUAAAGGAAUAUGAAAUAGUACCUUUGUUGAAUGCAAUUUGUUGGACAAUGUUGUUAAGGUCACCACCCCAAUGUCCCUUACCCUUUUCAUCUUCUACUCUUUCCGCAUUUAAAACUCUCUUACAAAAUAUCUCCAACUCAAGGUAACCUUUUAUUAUUAAUUUAUCUGAACAUGGGAAUCCAAAAGCAUGAUUGCCUGAACCAAAAUUCUUGAUGUUGAGAAUGAUUCAAAUGAAUGAAAAAUCUCAAGAAUAAAUGCUAUCGAUUAGAAUGAAUAGUGCAAUCCUCUUACAUUAACUAUUCAUCGACUAUGAUUAAAUGCAUAAGAUAAAAGUUGGUUGAAAUUUGAUUAGGACUAAAUGUUUAUUCAUAAGAUAAAACUUUAAGGAUUUUAAACUUUAUUUUUUAGAAUUUAAAUAAACUGUAAAAAUUGAACCAAUCUUGUUGGUUUUAUUGUGCCAUGAUACUGUUACAGAUGCAUUUAUGGCUAAAUCUUAAUUAUAAUGAUUUAUUAAUAUUUCAACUUAAAAAAAAUUUAUUUUAGUCCUUCAUUUUUUAUAGACCUUUAACUUGUGUUAUUUAUUAAAUCACCUCAAAAAUAAUGAAAAAGUCAAGAUUUUAAUCAUUAAAAGCUCAAAGUCCUAACUCUUUAUGACUGGAUUUUUGAGUCUUGCCUUCAUAAUCUUGGCAAAGAAGAGUGUUGUUUUACCUUUUAGUAUCCCUUAACUCACACAACUUUACAUUUUUCAUAUUGCAAUUAGUGUUUUGUUUGAUAAAUUUAUCAAAAAGUGGAGCCUACAUAUUUAAGUUAUAAUUGUUGGUUAAAUUAUUUAUACAUUUCUUAACAAAUUUACAGUGUUCCUUCUUUUCAUAUUUUUGGAAAAGAAAAAAAUGAUUUAAAGAAUUCUUUUAAAAAAAAAAAGUUAAAAAGAAGCAAAAAUGGUUUUGGAAGGCAAAGGAUAAAGUUAAUAUAUAGAGUAGGAGUGAGAGGAUUCAUACCUUUUCUUAGUAGAAAAGUGGUGGAUGGACUGGGAAGUCAAGUUGUCCAUUGUUAGUGAUCAGUUGUGUACCUAAUAUCUUCAAUUUCUCACACUCAACUAGUUCCAACUUGUUUAACAUUGGCCACUUUGUGGUAUGCUUACCCGGGUAGAAACAUUUCAAUUCUGGUAGCCUCCAAAGCCUAAGGCUGUAUAGUUGAUCCAACUCGAAAUUGACGGCUAUUUCCGACUCGGAUCCUUCCUCUAAUUUGGAAACAAUCUCCUCCACUCCACAAUAAAAUAUUCCAAGAUAACGUAAUCGUGGUAGGUCUUUGGCUAUUGAGGCUGGAAAUACACUCUUCAAAUUUUGACAGCGCCAAACAAAUAUUGUACAGAUUUUCUUAAAAGAAAAAAUUCCUUUGGGAUCAUUUUUCCAAAUAUGUUUCAACUUUGGUAAUCUUAUCAUAUGCAAUUCUCUUAGUUGAGUGGUUGCAAGUAAAGCGAUUUCUUUUUCUUCAUGCAUGAUUUCAAAUACUUGUUGUAAGGAACCACAAGUGUUUACAGUUAGAUGCUGCAACCUUUGAAAUGUUGUGAGCACAUUAGAUGGAAAAAUGGAUAACAACUUAUCACAUCCUUUGACCCUCAAUUCUUGUAGUUUGGGAAAUGCAACCUGCACUCAUGCCAAUAUAAUGAAAUUAGAAGCUAGCUGUUUGUUUCAUUUAUUGUGUGUUUGUGGAAAAGUAGAAGGAUAGAAAGAGAGAGUGGAAAUGUGGAAAAUAAAUAAAUAAAUUUUGAGUGUUGAUUGGUAAAAAAAAUUAAAAAGAAAAAGAAAAGCUCAUUUUUCACAUAAUUCAUAAAAACAAAUUAUUUCAAAUUGAAAUAAUAAGAGAAGAGAAAAUGGAAGAGAUGCUUGUUAGUCUAAAAAUAUGCAUUUUUCAAAAAUUCCAUUUUCAUUCCUCUCAUUUUCAACUAUACCAAAAAAUGAUUAAAAAGAAAUUUACUUUUUCUUUCAAUCUUUUCAUCUUUCUUAUCGACCAUACUAUAGAAAAGAAAAAUAAAUAUUUUCUAUCUUUCUAUCCUUUUACUCCUUAAAUUUUCCUAUCUUUUUAAUUUUCUUUCCACUAUACCAUUAAAGCCAAAGCCAACAAGGAGGAAAUGAGUGAACCUAAAAAUUAAGAAUUAACCCACCUUAUUGUCAAACAGAUCACCCUGACUACAGAUUCGUUGAUUCGCCUGCCUUGUAUAUCUCCAUAUGAAGCUGUCCAAGUUUGGACAGUUGUAUAUCCUCAUUGAUUUCAUGAAUGCAAAUUCAAUAACUUUAUUUUGAGAGGUGGAGCAAAAUCCACUCAAAUGCUGAAGAUUCUUUAGCUCUAAGGACUUUAAUUGAGGAAAUAAUGAUAAAGUCAUCGUAGCCUCAGUUUCUUCUUCUAUAUCUUCCAAAAAAAUUAUCUCCUCUAAGCAGUUGCAUUCAGUUAUCUCAAAGUAUUUGAGAUGAACCAGACAUUUAGCCAUAGAAAAUGAUAAUAGGUAUUUUAUGUUUCUACAACCAUCAAUUUUCAAUGUGGUUAACUUCUCAUGAGUGCAAAAAGAUACAUUUGACAACUGGUUGUGCCAUACCUUUAUAACAUUAAGUGAUGCCAACCGCAAUUUUUUCAAGGAAGAAAACGAUAUCUGAAACCAUACACAUAAUUAUUUCUACUUUCAAAUAAAUAUUAUAUAUAUAUAUAUAUAUAUAAAGGAAUAUUUGCUUUAUAAUUCUAUUUUCGCAAUUACCAAAUACAAUAAAAAAAUUACCCGUUUGAAAUUUCUAAUGGUGAUAUGCUUCCAAUUCCAAAACAUGUCAUAUUUUUUUCUAAAAAAACUAAUUUAAUAAAAAAAACAUACUUACUGAAUACACAAUACAAACAAGCUAAAAACUCAAAAAAUCAAAAAUAAAGUCUGCCAACCAAUAAAAAGUGUCAUAUUGUAGAAAAAUUCUAGUAAAUAUAAAAUAUGUUGAGAGUAUUGAGGACAGAAGAACCCAUCAUAUGAUCAGAAACAGGAAAAAUAAAAAACACUCUCACAUAACUAUUCAACACCACAAGAGCAACACUGCAUGAAUCAGAAAAAGGAAAGAAAGCCCUGAAAGAAAAACUAGAAAGAUAUCGAAUUAUACAUACCUUUUCUCCGAAAAGUGGCAAUUCACGUUGAGGUAAUGAGGUAGCAUCGAUUUUGUCUUGAGAGCAAAAGCUUACGAGUUGAGGAAGACCCUGCAAUGUCAAGGACUGCAAUCGAGGAAAUUCAUUUCUAUCAUUAAUGAUAGAUUCAAUAUCCAAACCAUUUUGGAUAUGCAGAUUCUGCAAAUGUGAUAGCCUUUCCUCAUCUGUUAACUCCUUCAGUGCAAUCUUCACACCUUUCAGUUCAUCCAAUUCUAAAGCUUGAGUUCUCUUUACCAACUUCUUAAUUCCAUGAUCCAAAUCAUCAAUGCUUGUGUUUAGCCUGAGUCUUAAGGUUCUUGAAUAUUGAUAGUUGCCAAACCGCCCCCAUUCCUUUCCUAUGCAAAUCUUGUAUCUUUCCAACUUUUCCAACUUUUGAAAGAAGUCCUCGGGGGCAGCCUUGGCGUCCGGAAUUUGAACUUCUAAAGUGGACAAUUGAGACAGUGUGUUCAGUUCAGCAAGACUAGCAUUGGGUUGUCCCCAUUGAAUAGAAGUGCCACCCAUAUAUAAUUCUUCUAACUUUGACAAACUUGGCAAGACAUCAGCGGAAAUUGUUUUGAGUUUAGUACAACCACUUACAUCUAACAACUUUAGCUUCAACAAUUGUCCAAUUUCCUUGGGUACAAUUUUGAUAUCAGAUUGCAAAAGGCUAAGCACAUUUAAGUUCUUGAGCGCUCCAAUAAUGGUUAGGUUAUCUCCCAAAUUGCAUUGAUCUAGGCACAAUGUACUGAGGCUAGUUAGGAGACCAAUUGAUGAAGGUAAAGAAGAAAAAUGCAUGCGAGUCAAAUCUAAGACUUUAAGAUUUUUUGCUUCCUUGAAGAAGUUAUCCGGCAACGUCAAGGAGAGAUCCUUGCUGAACAAAAAGAAAAGAAAAAGCUGCGGACAAUUCAACUGGUCAGGAAGCCUGUUGAUACUGGGAUGCUGCAAAAUAAUCUUGUUGCACUCUUUCAUUGACUCUCCAUUUGGCCAAUCUGUUACAAUAUCCUCAUCCUCCUCUGUUAAAGUAAGCACUUGAUUGUCCUUUGACGCGAUUGAUUUGGCCACAAUAUAAGUAAGAUCAUGCACAUCAAAGUACUCCUCAUUGGAACUUUUGCUAUCAAGCAACAAACAAGAUUCUUUGAGGGUACUCAGCAUUUUUAACAGCCUAUCUCGUGCUGCUUUCAUGCUGUUGGCUCCUUUAAUUAGACCCAAACCAAGAGCAUAUCUCAACAAGUCUUCAAUCCUAACGACACGACGCAGUAAACUGCAAAGCAGGAAAAUCUGCUUGAGGUCUUCACUCGAUAAAUGAUUGAUACUCAACUCAAUAGCCGAAUGUACCUCAGCAGAUAUCUCAUUGGAGCUUUUUUCCAAGUAAGGCCUCUGUAGUUGUUGUAAAGCAUCCCUCCAAACAAAUAAACUUUUAUUUCGCAACGCCCUCGCAACUGUUGCAAGGGCGAGUGGUAAUCUUGCACAUUUCUUGGCUACCUUAAUUGCUGUAGAUCGCAGCUCCUCAUCACUUUCAAAACUGUCCCUGGCCAUCUUCUUAAAGAACUCCCAAGCUUCUUCGUCAUCUAAAUCAACAAUUGCAAAGGUCUUUGUAGCAUCCAUCCCAUUGCUUAGAACAUUUUGAUUUCUUGAGGUCAACAGUAUUUUGCAUCCUUUGUGUUGACUUCCAAAUGGAAUCCCGACUUCCUCUAGAUCCAGUUUCUUCCAAAGAUCAUCCAAAAUAAUAAGAACAUUUUUCUCCUUCCUUAACCUUCCAUACAAUUUACGGGCUCUUACAUCCGGACUGUUUUCUUCAAGCUUCAAACCCAAUGAGUAUGCUAUUUGGUCUUGGAUUUCCUUAAUGUCAGGAAUUUGAGAUACAGUUGCCCUAACUACUGAAUCGAAUAAUUUAACCUCAACCUCAUGGAGUUGUCUCUCAACUUCUUUGACCAGCCAUGUUUUGCCCACACCAGCCAUUCCGUACACUCCAAUCAUGCUUGUUGUUGCAUCUUUCAGUGACUCCAUGAUAUCAUUGAAAACCUCCUCUCUUGAUUUAAAGGCCUCAAAGUCUGUAUGGAUUAUGGGAUCAGCAACAUCAGGGUAUCCCACGCGCUCAAAUUGGCACUCUUUGAUAAGCUCAUCAAAAGUGGCAGCAUCUUUUUCUGCCUUCCUGCUAAGCUGGUAGCGAGACUUGAUGUUGGGACACAAGCCAAAGAAGCACUUGGUCUUCGCUUUGACUUCAAGAUCCUUCACUUUCUUCUCCUUUUCAGUGACAACCUUCUCCACUCGGUGGCGCCAAUCCAGGACAUCGGCUUUAAUCUUCUCCCCGUUCCUUUCUGCAACAUCAACAUCUUGCUGCACACUUGUUCUUUUUGCAAUCAACGUCCUAUGUUUCUGCUCGAACUUGUCAACAAAUUUCUGGUAGAAGAUUACAUAUCUAAUAUGACGUUUAACUUGGUGGAAGAUACCUUUCGCAGUCUCGGAAGAAACAUUGGCCGCAGCACCAGUACCAAUUGCUUCCAUUUUUUAUUUUUUAUUUUUUAUUUUUUUGCUUUGGGGUUACAGAUAACAGUUAGAGAGAGUAAAAAAGAGGCAAGAAAGAAAAUACUAAAACGAAAGGAUAUGGACUGUUGUCUUCCACUCUGUUAGAAAAGAAAACAGAGAAUGGAUGUGGACGAUUGCGGGUAUUUUCAUUGGCGUUAACUACUGAGGGUGAGUGACGUAGCACAUUAAUUCAAAGGGUUAAUAACCAAUUUAGCCCCUGAACUAUAACUAAAUAUUAAUUUGAUACAUUUAAAAUUUUUCUUAAUAAUUCUACAAAUUUCAAAGGGUAAACUGCUCGUAUAGUCACCCAAGGUUUGAUGUCUUCCUAUUUUGGUCACUGAUUUUUGUUUUGUUAAUUUAGUUACUUCCAUUAGAUUAAUUGUCAUUUUUAAUCACUCCAUUGCCUUGGUUAUUGAACAAAAUGCCAACAUGGUAGUCUUUUUAUUAGUAUAAUAAUAAAUUUAGCCAUUAACACUUUACACAUUCUAUCAAGUUGAUCCUAAUUCUAGAAAAAUUCAACAAUUUUAACACUCAAUGUUUGCAUAUUUUGUCAAUUUAGUCUAAAUUCAAAUAAAUAAAAAAUUUUAGAAUUUUAAGAACUUGAAAUAUAUAUAAUUUAUUAUAAAAAGACAUAAAAAUAUAAAAUAUUUAAAAUAUAUAUAAUUACAAAAAGGCUUAGUUGCUAUUUGGUCCUAAUUCUAAAAAGUCAACAAAUUUAAUCUUUAAUGUUUACACGUUUAGUCAAUUUAAUCCAAAUUCUAAAAAUUUAUAAAUAAAAUAUUCAAAAAUAUAAAACAUUCAAAAAAAAUUAAUCAAUCCUACAACCGAAAUAGGUAAAGUUUUCUUAGUUAUAAUUCAAAAUCAUUUUUAAAAAAAACCCACCAAAUGCUCCUACUUUUUAUAUAUGCAAUUAAAAAAAUUGCAAAAACAAAUGUGCAAUUUUUUUUUUCUUGUUAUUAGAUUUUCUUGGUCAACCAAAGAAAAGAGAUAAACUGUGUAAAACAACAUUGUCCCCUCAUCUUGUAAAACAACAUUGUCCCCUCAUCUCCUUUCCUGUUCAUCUUCAAGCUUCUCAUUGUUCUUAUACUCCUGCCCAAAUCUCACAAUCUCAAAUAUCAUACCAAAUUGAUACCCAACUUUAUUAGACCCAAACUACAUCACCACUUCAUCAUCAAGCACUCACCAUUAAACCCACACCCAAAGUCAAUUUCUUUUUUUUUUUUUUUUUACAGGCAUACCCAAACUCUGUUUUGCAUUUUCUUUCAAUGAGGAAAAAAUCGAUCAAUGAAGUAUCAUUUAGCCUUUAAGUAUUUGAAUCCCUCAAAGCCCUACACUUUGCCACCAAAAUGAAUCCAGAGAUGUUUCUUUAAGUAAAAGUUUUCUAAUUUGAGUCCCUCAACCAACUAUUUGAUCAUAGUACUAAUAGAAUUUGGUAAUGAUUGAUUCAAAAAAUAAAUUAAAAGGACUCGUUUAGCUCGAUGGGGUUUAAAGAAAAAAUAAAUAAAUAUUUAUUCAAAAAAUUCAAGAGAAAUUAAGGGUUAAGUUUUGUUGAAUCCCUAAAAUAUUUUUGUUAGAAUUCAAGAAAAAUUUAUUUGAAUCCCUCAAGCAAAUUCAUAUUUAAGCCUUUAUAUAAUUAUAUAUAUUUUUAGUAAUUUAUAUUUUAUUUCAUUUUAUAAUAAAGUUUAUAUUUUUUCAAUUUUUUAAAACUAUAUUUUUUUUAAUUUUGACUAAAUUGAAAAAAUAUGUAAAUAUUGAAGGUUAAAUUUGUUGAAUUUUUAGAAUUACGAACAAAUAGAUAGCAUGCGUAAAGUGUUAAGGGCUAAAUUUGUUUUUAUACCAACCAAAAGACGGUCACGUUAACAUUUUGUUUAGUGACCAAGGCAUUUUAAUGGUAGAGUAACAAAAAAUGACAAUUAAUCUAACGGGUUGACUAAAUUAACAAAAAAAAAUCAGUAACCAAAAUAGGAACUUGCUAAAACUUGGAUAACUAUCCAAGUAGUUCACCCUUUAAAUUUUUUAAAAUUAUUAUUAAGAAAAAAAUUUAAAAAUAUAUUUUAGUUAUAGUUGCUAAAUUGAUUAUCAACCCUUUAAAUUAAUGUGCUACAUUACCCUCUUAACAGAAGUUAACGGAUAAGCAACAAAAAUGUAACAUUUUGAUAACUUUCAUAGCAAUUAUGUAACUUUUGAAAAUUGAGUGACUGAAAUGUAAUUUUAAUUAAAGGUUAGGGACAAUUGGUGUAGUUUACCCUAUUUUAUACACUUUUGAACCCUAAAUAAUUUCUUCUUAAUAUUAUUUUAGUUUUAAUUAGUGUUGAUUAAUUAAAUAAAAUUAACAAUUAUCCUUAUGAAUUUUUUUUAUUUUCGUACUAUUAAAUAAUUUUAAAUAAAAAAUUUACUAACUCAAUGAUGAAGCACGUGUUUAAUAAUAUUAUAAUAUAAAUUCGUUAUCACUCUAUUUAUAUUUAUUAUUAAAAAAUUUAAAAAAAAUUUGUUUUUAACAUGUAAAUUUAUUUUUCAUCCACACAUUGUGGGUGAUUUAGGAAAAUUUGAGAAGAAGUAUAAUAUUUGUAUUAAGGAUGGUAUAAAUAUGUUUUGAAGUUUUAACCUUAUUUGUUUUCAGCUUCUUCUAUACCUAAUACCUUGUUCAAUAAUUCAGGAGGGUUGGCCACUUGGUCAUUAAUUGAGGAGGUUGGCCGUGUGGUUCUCAUGAAAUAUUACGUGACGGUUAAACAUUUGUAUCAUGAUAAUUUAGAUCAUAUUGUUUCAAUUUACACUGGUACACAAUAGUUUAUGUUUUAUUUGGGUCAAAAUUUUAAUAUGUUUUAUUUUAUUUUGAUUAAUAUUGAUUUGUUUCGAUAUAUUUGAUUUAAAUUAUAGAGUAAAAAUUUGAAAGUUAAAAUAUACUUGAACUCUUUAUACACUUCGUACUUUUAGAAUUUAACCUCCCUACUUUUAUUUUUAGGAAUUCUGUUUAUCUAUUUUUUAAAUUUAAAAAUGUAGAUCUAGUUGCUACCACCAUUAAAAUUCUUCUAUUAAAUUAUACGAUGACAUAUAGAAAUUAAAAGAAUUCACUUGGUAGCCAUGUAACAAUAAAAAUAAUGUCAUAAAUACUGAUUAGGAUUUUUUUUUAAAAACGUGCAUUCAAAUUCAUCAUGUUAAAAUAUUUUUUUCAGCUUGAAUAGUGUUUUUAACAAAAAUUGACAUAAACGUUUCGAUUGACAUAGUUAACAAUAUUAACUAUUCAGACUAAUAACAUGAUAACAUAAAGAGGCCAAAUCAUGUUAAAAACUAAAGUGUAUAUGUGACAGCCAAUAUCUAACCCGAUCGUAGGGCCCAAAUGUAUGGCAUCACAUUCAUUGCCAAAGCAACUUGAAUUAACUUCUCUUUAAAAAAUAACACAAGUAUCAAGCAUUUAUCACAUUAUACAAACCAUUCAUAUUAAUUAAAAACGAGUUCAAGUCAUUUUAAACACUUUAGAAGCAUUUUUAAUUGAGUUCUAGGUGUUCGGGGAUGAUAAGGACCAAGAUCGGGACUCCAACGGUUAAAACAAGUCAAAAUAGGGGAGGGAGCCUAUUUUUCCACACUUGUAUCAAUAGAAGUUUGGACUUAGAAGUCCCUGUUACUAUUCUUUUUUGGCUAUUAACUUACUUUUCCGAUCCAUCUAACCACUUGCACUAGUAGAAGUUUGCUAGGACCUAAAAAUGACCCCAAAACACACUUAGUUGGACUCAAAACAAUACCAUUUCAAUUCGAAGUAUUAUGGAACACCAAAUUCAUGUUUUAAACCUCAUAUUUGCCUAUUUAAACACAUUCAAACACAUGGUUAUUAUCAUGAAUUGAUGCAUCAUGAACUAACUAAAAAUUUGAUUAAGGCAAGUGCAUCUAUCAAUUAAUAGUAUAGCUACGGUGAGCACAGAUAUCAUUCCCACGAAGACUCUAAUCCGGUAGAUUUAUAUCAUCCUAUUUCUAAUAUUGCAUGCAACUCCACUCAGCUACGCAAGAUCUACUCUUAAAUAGAGUCUAUUCCUCUGAUUUAAGCACAUCAAACAUGGAUCAAUAAUCUAGAAAUAUCAAACCAAGAAUUAAACAUACAUAAUUGAGAACUAGAUCUAAGUAUUUAUUGUGUAGAAUAAAAAUCAAAAGACAAAAUUCAUCAUAGGGUUUAUCUCCCCUAAGUAUUUAGAAAAUUAGUUCAUGCUUGAAAAUAAAAACAUCUCAGAGACAGUAUAACCGAAAAAAAAACAAAGAAACUCAUGAUAAUCUCCGAAGAAAUCAAAUGUUAAUCUUCAAUAUUGAUGGAGAUUUGCUUCAGAAUUGGCUUCAACGGUGUUUUUCGAGUUGUUUUCUUGAAUAUUCUAUGACGGCUCUCUCCUAUCCUUUUAUUUUUGUCAUAUAUAUGUCUUAGAAUGCCUAAAAAACCUAAAAAUCGUGUUUUUUCACUGUUCAGAGUGUAAAUUCGCGCAAUCAACAUGGUCUACCACAUGGUCGUGUGGCAACUCCUGUGGGUCACACGACCAUGUAGAAGGGGUCAGUCUGUAUGGCUCAUGUAGCUUGCUCCUAUUUUCCGGUUUUCACUUAUUUUGCUCCCAAGUGCUUUAUUAAAUAUCAAAACAUGAAUUUAAAGGAUUAGGAGUAUAAAAUUCACAAUUAACAUUGAAUAAUCACCUAAAAACGCAUUAAUAAUGAAGAAAAAUAUGUUACUUAUAGCACUUAUCAAUAAUCACAAUAUUUCCAAUUUCAAAUAUCAAUUUCACAUAUAAGGCAUGAAUGCAACCAAUUAAACAUAGCAAAAUCAUUAACUUAAGAUAAUGCAUCUCAACAUAAUCACAUAAUCUUAUCAUCAAAUGCUUAUAUGCCUAUAGAACAUGCUUACAUUACAAAUUUGAAGCAAAGAAGAUACCAAGGCACCACAAUUGACUCCAAAAACAAGUUUAGGUAGUAGGUACAUGCCAUCUUUACCAUAACAUUAAAAGCAAAUAAAUCCGCAUGUUUAGCAAAAAAAAUUCAAUGAUACUAACAUAAUUUGAAAGCAAUGUAUAAACAAUUCAAGUAUAUAAUUUAAUCAUUAAAAACAUUUGUAACAUACUCCUAUCGUUAGUUGUUUGUCUCAUGACCAUUUCAUUUACCGCAUGAUUCCCCAUUCAAUUUAGGUUCUAAAUGCCAACCUAUCAUUUUGCCUUCAAGACUUUAUAUUUUGAUAUUUAAUAUCUAUACUUAAAUUAAAAUUAUAUUAUCAAUGACAAUCCAAUAUCUUUUAUAACCAUAUGACAUUUUUAUAUCACUAUUUAUAUCUCAAUUUCAUGAUACAUAAGGCAUUUCACAUAUGCAUUCUUGUUUCAUUUCUCAAUCGAAUAUGUUGAUUUGUUACAUAACAUCAUUGGUCCUCAAGGCUCAUAAUACUAAAUCCGCAUAAGGUUUCAUCUGCUAUCAUUUAUCACAUAUACAUUUAAAUUCAAUUUAUUGAUUUAAUAUGAAUUAGGUAUUGACUAAUAUCGCUUUAACAUAUACAAUAACACAUUCUACAAAUUAUAACCCCUAUUAACCGAACAUGGACUUCUAGACCGAAUACAUGGAUUGUAUUACCUUUCAUUAUUGGUACAUGAUCGAAGUAAUCUAUAUCAUCAGUACAUAACCUAUUUAGGGUGGCACCAAUUUAGUAAAAAAAAAAACAUAAUAAAUAGUAUAGAUAUAUAUACUAGUUUUUAUCUCGUGCAUUGUGUGUUUAAUUUAAAAUAUAUUUAAUAAAUUUUAAAUUUUCCUAAAUCAAUUUUAAAUUUUUACCUAAAUGAAGUUUUAAAUUAAAUGUUUAUUUAAAUAUAGUACCAUAGAAAAUAUAUUUAAUAUACAUACAUGUUUAAUUAACAAAUUGUAACAUGUUUUUAACAUAUUUUAAGCAGUUUUAAAGUAUUUAUGUAAAUUUUUAUAAAUUUUGAACAAAGAAAUAAAAUUUGUUCGGGAUAAACCUAGUUAAGCAACGAACAAGUAAAAUAACGAAGAAAUUGAAAAUAUCGAACACAAAUAUUUUACAUGGAAAAACCCCUCCAAAGAGGAUAAAAAACCACGGGAAAAGAUAAUUUCACUAAAACGGAAAAACAAAUAAUAUAAAGAUGGAGAUAAAACUAAAACCCAAACUCAAAAUAAGAACCCUCAAAACAUAAAUACAAGAUUCUCUGAAAGCUUGUAAAAGCUAAUACCUUAAUGUGUAAUGAGUUAUUUUUCUAGGGUAGAAAAAGAGUCUAUUUAUAGGAUAAAUUUGUAGUUCAAAUAAUAUUAAAAUAAUCUACAUUAAUCAAAGCUUAAGUGGGAAACUAAAAAAUAGAGUCUAACUGGGAGAAGAGAAGCCGAAAAAUAUGAGGUAUAACUUUACAAAUCUCCACCUUGACUCAUAUUUCCACAACGCCUUCAUUGCCAAAACCCGUCAUGGGCUUAUCUCGAACUAUGCAAGAUAUUAACUGAGUAGAAGUUGUGCUUAGAUGCUGGAAGACUUCUAGUCUUCGACUUGUGCACUGCCAAAUCAAAAUAGACCCGAGUCUGAUUUCAACAAACAUAGUGCCCUAUCUUCUCAAAACAUGCAUCCAAAAGAGAACCUCUUUUAUAUGAAACAGUCAUACAUUUUUCCCUCUAAUGACCAAGUUGUCUCCGCUUCAAAUGAGUCGACUUCGACUCCUUAACAGACGAGGGACAUCUUGUUCCACCAGUCACCGUUGAUCUUUCUAGAACAUAAAGACUAUCAAUCUUUUUACCUUUAAUUAAAACGAUAGCCCCACGAGAUACAUUAAUGUUGUUUGACUCAAUCUUAAUUCUACAACACUUUGAGCCCAAAAUUCCCAAGGAGAUGAGAUUUUUAUUUAAUUAAAACACAUGCCUAACAUUUGACAGUGUCUUAAUUGUCCCGUUGUGCAUCCUGAUCUGAACAGUACCAAUAUCGGUUACCUUACUAGAUGAACCAUUCCCUAUGCACACAACUCCACAUUCAACUAAACUGUAUGCGGAAAACCAAUCAAUGUUGGGACACAUGUGGAAAGAACACCUUAAAUCCAAGAUCCACUCGAACGUAAGCUCGGAGCUUUCACUUGUUGAUACCAACAAGAAAUCAUCACCCUUGUCAUUAGCCAAAUUAGCACCAGCUAAAUUUUCCUUAUUGCUCUCAGUAGCCCUUUUAUUUCGCAUUUUGUAACAAUCUACCUUGAUGUGACCUAACUUCUUACAAUAGUGACAUCUCUUACUCGCUUCCUUGAUGCUACCAAAACCUAGGCUUGCCUAUUUGACUUGCUAUCUAAACCAAAAUCAUUUUCAAGAUUUCCUUUGCUCAACAGAUGACCCUUCACAUCCUUGAAUGAGAGAUUAUCUUUGUUAUAAAUUAGGGUAUCCCUAAAAGACUUCUAUGAUGGGGAUAAAGAGCACAAUAAUAGUGUAGUCUAAUCUUCAUUGUCAAUCUGAACCUCGAAAUUUUUUAAAUCAUUCAAAUGAGUAAUAAAUUAACUAAUGUGACCUCUAAGUUGCUCACUUUCGUCCAUGCGGAAUGUGUAUAGACGUUGUUUCAACACUAAUAUGUUAGUCAAAGAUUUUUUCACAUAGAGGGCUUCUAACCUUUUCCAUAAGGUGAAUGUCAUUUUCUCCAUCAAAACCUCUUGCAACACAUUAUUUGUUAGACAUAAUUGAAUCAUCGAUAGAAUUUUUUUAUCUAACCUAUUUCAUUCUGAUUUAUCUAAGUCUGCAGGCUUUUUCUCUGUAAGGAACUUCUUAAGAUCGCUCUGAGUUAGAAUCAUCGUCAUCCAAACUUGCCACAGAUUAAAAUUUGUGAUGCCAUCGAACUUAUCAAUAUUAAACCUUAUUACUACCAUCUUUAAAUGGGUUGAAUGUAGAAAUUGAACUAACUCUGAUACCAUUUUGUUAGAGAUAAACUCGGUUAAGCAACAAACAAGUAAAAUAACAAAGAAAUUGAAAAGAUCAAACACAAAUAUUUUACAUGGAAAAACCCCUUUGAAGAGGAUAAAAAACCACGGGUAUAGAUAAUUUCACUAAAACGGAAAAAAUAAAUAGUAUAAAAGAUGAAGAUAAAACUAAACCCCCAAAAUCUAAAGUAAGAACCCUCAAAACAUAAACACAAAAAGCUUGUAAAAAUUAAUACCUAAAUGUGUAAUGAGUUAUUUUUCUAGUGUAGAAAAAGAGCAUAUUUAUAGGUUAAAUUUGUAGGUCAAAUAAUAUUAAAAUAACCUACACUGAUCAGAGUUUAAGUGGAAAACUAAAAAACAGAGUUUAACUAGGAAAAGAAAAGCUAAAAAAUACGAGACACAACUCUACAAAAUUGUUUUAAAAUAUGUUUGUUAAACCAUUUUUAAAAAAAUUAUUUUUUAAACAAAUUGUUAUGUUAAUACUUUUUAAUAUAAUUUAACUAAAAUUUUAAACAUAUUGAUUUAAAAAUCUUAUACACGAUAUGAUUAUAUGUCCAGAAUCUGUAAUAUUAGUUAAAAGUAAUGUGUAUCUUUUGAAAACAAACAUCAAAUAAUUUAUAAAUUGACGACAUUAAUUUGGCUGAAAAAGGAUAUAUUCUACCAAAACGAUAGCAAUAUUUUAUUUUUUUUAGUUAAAAAGAUAUUUUAAUUAAACAUUAAAAUUAAUUGUUAUUUAAAAUUACUGUUUUUUUUUUUUGUCAAAAUGGUAUAUUUUACCUUAAUGUUUGUUACUUUUUUCCCAAGUUAAAUAAUACUAUAGAUUUACCAAUAAUUUAUUAUAUCAUUCAUCAUAUAUUACUAUUUUAUAAUUAUUUAUAUUUUAUUUAAAGUUUACUAUAUAUUAUGAAUAUAUUAUAAAUAUGAAAUUAUUCAUCAUUCAACUAUUUGAGAGAUUUUGUAACACCCAAAAUCUUGAUGGCAUAAAUGACAUUAUUAUGAGAAUAUAAAUAGUUAAAUUUUCAAACAAAGGGUAAUAAUUUAAGUAGAGUAAAAUUGGACACUAGAAUGAAGAGUAUAAAUAGAAGUUUUUGAGAAAGGAUUCAAUUGAAUAUUUGCAAAAGUGUGAGGAAUAAAAUGUGAAUAGCUUAUAAAAAAAUGGUAGAAAAGUAAUUAACUAUUUUAUGUGAAAACGAAAUUGAAAAUAUAUUGAUAUUUAGAAUUAAAAACCAAACCUGUCCAUGGACCGAGCCAUUCGAAAUGUGGGAGGGUUUGGGUAAAAACAUAGGCUUAAAAAAUGGGUUUCGGCAAAAAAAUAAUGCCUGUUUAAAAAAUAGGCCGAGCCUUGAAUAAGGUUUUUUUUACCCAAGCUCGGCCCGAAUGUGCAAAAAAACUACUAUUUUUAUUGUUUUAUUGCUAUUUUUUAUUUUUUUUGAUGUUUUCUUGUUGUUGUUUUUCAUUAUUUUGCUAUCAUUGCACAAUUAUGUUGUUACUAUUUGGAUAUUGUAUAACUCUUGUUUUAUUAUUAAUUUUGUUGCUAUGUUAGAGACAUUUGCUUGUUAAGUUACACCUAUUUUAGUGUUAUUUAAGUAUACAUAUUUUUUUAAUUUAUUUUUAAUUUGUUGGGAAAUUUUUAUUUUAAUAUUUUUAGUAUUUUUUAUAUAUUAUAUAUAUUUUAAAAUAAUAUAAAAAUAAUAUAAAAAAUUUAAUACUAAUGGUCACUAAACUAACUAUAAAUACGAAAGGCAAGCGCACCUAUCGAAUAAUAGUAUAGCUAUGAUGAGUAGGGAAUAUCGUAUCCACGAGGACUAAAAGUACUAGUAAUUACCAUCUUCUUGUUAUCUAGCCUACAAAUUGUGGUGAUGUAUUUUAAUCUAAAAUUACUAAACUAAUUUAUCUAAUAACGCAAUAGAGAAUGAAAAAAGAAAAUAGUCAAAGAUAACCAAUGAGAUAGACAAUGCCCAGGAAAGAAUCCACCUAGACUUCACCUAUUAUUAUGAAUUUGAAUUAAACGAUUUAUUCACUUGUGACUUGAUCCGUAGAAAUCCCUAAAUUAUGUCAAUAUUCUUUCGAGAGUAAAAACAACUGACUCUAGGUUGAUUAAUUGAAAUCUCUUUCUAAUUAAAACCCCUAUUGUCGCAUUAACUCGAUCUAUAGAUUCUCUUAUUAGAUUUAACUCUAAUCCGGUAGAUUUAUGUCGUCCUAUUUCUAGGAUUGCAUGCAACUCCACUCAAUUAUGCUAGAUCUACUCUUAAACAGAGACUUUUGCUCCACUGAAAUAAGCACAUUAAACAUGAAUUAAUAUCUCAGAAAUAUUAAAACAAGAAAUAAGCAUACAUAAUUGAGAACAAGAAUCAAGUAUUUAUCGUGUAAAAACAUAUAUUAAAUAAAAGGAUUCAUCAUAGGUUUCAUCCUCCCAAGGUAUUUAGAGAAUUUAGUUCAUAAUCCUGAAUGAAAACAUCUCAAAGUCAGAAUAACCACAAGACAUAAGAAACUCAAUAAAACUUCGAAAGAAAUUAAAAGGAGAUCUUCGACCUUGAUGGAGAUCCGCUUAUGAGUUGAUUUCGAUGGUGUUCUUGGAGUGCUUUCUUCGAUCUUCUUUGAUUGCCCCCUUAUGUCGUCUUCUAAUUGGUAUUUAUAAACUUUAGAAUGCUUAGAAAGCCUAAAAAUUAGGUUUUUUAGCGUAUUUGGGAAGUAGGGUGCAAAAUCGACACAGGCAGGCACAUGGGCGUGUGGCCAGCCCGUGUGGCUCACAUGGGCGUGUGCCCAGGCCGUGUGGAAAUGCCCAGGCCGUGUGGAUCAUGAAAAUAACUCUUCUUGUCUGAUUUUGGCUCGUUUUCGCUCAUUCCGCUCCCAAAUGCUUUCCUAAGUAUAGAAACAUGAAUUUAAAGGAUUAGGAGCAUCAAAUUCACUAAUUUGCAUAAUUAAUUAUCCAAAAACGCAUUAAAAUGAGAUUAAAAUAUGUUACUUUUAUAGCUUAUCAAAUACGAGCGGGUCGAGCUCAGGUUUUAGCAUUUUUAUCCGGGCCAGGCUUGGAUAAAAUUUUAGGCCCAUUUUUCGGGUAAUGCUCGAGCCUAGAAACUGGGCCAAAAAUUUUGGUUGGGCCUAACCUAGCCUAUAGACACCUUUAUUAAAAACUAGACAUGUUCAUGGGUCGGGCCACCCGGCCUGAAGGCCCGCCCAAAAAGUGGGAGGGUUUGGGCAAAAAUAUAGGCCAGAAAAAAUAAAUUUUGGCAAAAAAAUAAGGCCCGUUUAAAAAAUGGGUCGAGCCUUGGGUAAGGCAUUUUUGGCCUGGGCCUGGCCCGAAUCCAGAAAAGGACAAAAAAUAUGCUAUUUUUUUGUUCUAUUAAUGUUCUUUUCUUAUUUUUUUCUCCCUAUUUUGCUACCAUUUUACUGUUAUAUUGUUAUUGUUUGAAUAUUGUAUAACACUUGUUUUAUUGUUAAUUUUGUUAAUUUAUGUAUGAUAUAUAUUUUAAAACUAUAUAAAAAUUUAAUACGGGCGGGCCGGGCCGGGCCGGGCACAGGUUUUAGCAUUUUUAUUUGGGCCAAGCUUGGGUAAAAUUUUAGACCCAUUUUUUGGGUCGAGCCCUAGCCUAGCAAAUGGGCCAAAUAUUUUGGUUGGGCCUGAAUCUAGCUCGACCCAGCCCAUGAACACCUUUAUUAAAAACUUAAGAUAUUAAUUAAAUUUUAAUUGAAAAAAAGUUAAAGGAACUUAAGUAUAAUUUGCCAUUAAGUGGAAAAAUGACUUAACUGUAAUUAGAUUAAAGUUUUAAAAAUUAAAUCAUAACCAUUAAUGAUUUAAUAACUAAGGGUCUGUUUGAUUGCCAGUAAAAUGUUUUCCGUAAAAUGAAUUCUGGAAAAUGUUUUACUUUUCUGUAAAAUGAUUUACUGGAAAAUAUUUUCUGGUGUUUGAUUGAAUCUGUGUAAAAUAUUUUCUACUGUUUGACAGAUUUUCUGAAAAUAUUUUUCGGAAAAGUUGUUUUUACAUAUAUUAAUAUAUAUUAAUAAAUUUUUAUAUUUUAAAUUAUUUUUACAUAUAUUGUAAUGAUUUAUUUAUAAUAAUACUCAAUUAUUAAGCUACAAUAUUAAUCGUUAUAAAUUGAAAAAAACUAAUAUCAAAUAAAUUAUUUGUAAUUGUGUUAAAAAAAACAAGUAUUGAAUAAUUAAAAAAACAAGUUACUGGAAAAUCGAUAAACAGAAGCAGUUUUCUACCGGAAAUGAAGGAAGGAAUGAAGGAGGCGAUAGAGAGGAGAGCACGGAAAAUGUCUUACAGAAAUUGAAAGGGUAAGACAUUUUCCCUAAAAUGUAACCCAUUUUCCCUUGUUUUGGAGUUCAUUUUCCAAAUGGAAAAUGUUUUCCGCCAAUCAAACGCUGGAAAAGUUGGAAAUGAUUUUCCGGAAAAUCAAUUCCGUCAAUCAAACAGACCCUAAGUAAAAAAAAUGGAUAAAUAAAGAAAUACGAAGAAAAGCCGAGAAAAUUGGGAAAUUCAUCAAAAAAAAGGUAACUCCAAAAUGAAUAGAAGUAAUUGAUUAAAAUAUCUUUCUAUUAUUUCAUUAGAAUAUAUUUAAAGAUAUAAGUGAACGACUAAUUAAUUUUUUUUAAGAAUGAUUGAUCAAUUAAUUUUAUCUUAUUAAAAUAUAUUUAAGUAAGGUUAGUUUGUGAUCUGAAAAGAUCAUUGUAAAGUAAAAAUUUACACUUUUUUAGUUUUUAUUUUUGUCAGCGGUGGUGUUAGCCUCCGGGCUAGCUACUGUCUGCCUUUUUUUCUUACCCAUCAACUCCUUUUUUCUUUGUUCUUCUCAUUCACUCCAUGUGUCUUCUCUAUUUUCAAUUUGCAGAUCUAUUUUGUGGGUAUCUUUGUUGUCUUCACAAGUUGUGAUUGACAGAUUAUGUUGCCCAUCAUCGUUGAAACAACACCGACCACCGAAAAUUUCUUUUAGAAAGUAGGUAGCUCUUCGUUGAAUAUUAAUUUGUUUCUGUUUUGAAAGUUUCUGAAUAAUAAAUUAUCUCAUGAGUCAGUUUAGACUUGUGUUGUUUUAAGUUUUAUAUGUUUUUUUGUUUGCUUUUCCAUUGUUUAAUAAGUCUUCACUUUUAGAAGUUUUUGUCUACUCUUGUAGUACAUUUUUUAGUCUUACUUAUGCAUGUAGUCUUGAUUUUGCAAGUAAUUUUAGGGUUGGUUUUGUCGUCAUCCCCUCUAGUUUGGUGGAUGUUCGGUUCUUUUGUCGAUUUAUGCCCGCCAUUUUGGACCAUCCGGGGUUGAUUUCCUUAUUGUAUUAAGUGCUUGCAAUCACUCCUGGUAUGUUGUGCUUGAGUUGAGAUAGAGCCAAUUGUCAAAGUGCCAUAAUGUUCUAUUGAUGCUGAAGCUGAAGCUUUUGUUGUGUUGAUGGAGCUUGUCCUUCAGUGCGUACAACGGGUGUUUGUUAUUUUUUCCCCUAAAUUGCAUGGUCUCAUUCAUUGAAUGAAUUAAUGAAUUUCUCUUUCAAAAAAACAAGUAAAGUUAGUAUGCUAAAGAAAAACAAGUAGUACAACAAGAAUAAGGAAUCAAAUAUUUAAAAAAAUUGAACAAAAAAAAACAUGAAAGAAAACAAUGAUACAAGAAAACAAAAUGGGAUAUUACCUUUCAAUGGAAAGCAUUGGAAAGGGAAUCUAUGAGUUGUUUUUUUCUAUCUUAAGAGAAUAAUGUCAAUGCCACUAGUGAUUAUAAGAUUUGGCCUUUGUCCUCUUAAAUCAUUUUCUCAACCCUUCACAAUAUUUAUUCUCAAUUAAAUACAAGUAUGACUCACUAAUUCAAUUGUAACAAAAGUAGUAAUUGAGGAAAAAAAACUUAUCCAUUCAAAAGUAGUAAUUGAGGAAAAAAAACUUAUCCAUUUGCUCAUGAGAAUAUCAUACAUAUAUACUAGUUAUAAAAGUUUAAUAUAAACUCUAACACUACUCAUCUAAUUAUAUUCACAACAUUAAUAGAAAGGAAUUAUGCUUAUUUCUACUCAGAAGAUUUUUGGAAUCUCACCUUACGACUCUUAACAAGCAGCUUCUGAUGUCAAAGUAGGGAACGUCCUUUCUUCAUUAUCCACUUCAAAGACAAGGGUUCAAAUAUGUAGAGGUGCAUACGAUGGUGGAAAAACAAUAACUGACCUAUAGAAUACCCAAAGAAAACAAAUCUUGAUUACCAUUUUUGAAAAAGAUGAAUCAAAUUUCAUUACGGAACUUCAUCUUCGCAUUAUUUUUGACACCAUUAACAACAAAUACCAACUCAAAAAAGGAAAAAAAGUUAAAUAUUGAUUUAUUUACCUUAAGAAAUUUUUUCUAUUGAUUAUCAUUCACCAACGGAUCUCCCAUCUACAAACACCACAAAUAACUCAAUUAGAAAUAAUUUAAUCUUCCCUAUCAACCACCCCUAACUUCUUUUUCAACUCCCCUUCUUUUCACACUUCCCCUAUGUAGCAGAAAAAACCUUAUAAUUUGAUCUCCAAAUAAUAAAAUUUUUAGUACUUUGGUUUCAUACUUCCUCUAUGUAGCAUUCGAUUUCUCAAAGGGAAUGUUUAAUUCUUUCAUUAUUGAAGAUAAUCAAGUUGUGGUAGGUCUUUGGCUAAUGAGGUUGGAAAUACAUUUUUCAAAUUUCGACAGUCCAAAACAGAUAAUGCAUAGAAAAAUUCCUUUGGGGUCAUUUUUUUCAAAUAUAUUUCAACUUUAGUAAUCCUCCAAUAUGCAAUUCUCUUAGUUGAGCGGUUACAAGUAAAGUGGUUUCUUUUUCUUCAUGCAUGAUUUCAAACACUUGUUGUAAGGAACAACAAGUGUUUAAGGUUAGACGGUGCAGCCUUUGAAAUGUUGUGAGCAUAUUAGAUGAAAAAAUGGUUAACAACUUAUCACAUCCUUCAACUCUCAAUUGUUGUGGUUUGGGAAAUGCAACCUGCACUUAUGCCAAUAUAAUGAAAUUAGAAGCUAGUUGUUUGUUUCAAUUUCAGUAAGCAUCGUCACUUGUCAAAUCCACAAAAAAAGGGGAUCGGGGGUAUAUAUACAGCGAAGAUGGGGAAUUCCAGAUGGUUUUUCUUUCUACUCGAUGUUUUGGUCCUUCUAACCUAAACAUUCUUUUCUUCUUCUUUGUUAAGAUAGAACUAAGAUCUCAUUUAAUCAAUGGAUGAUUCAACCUUUUGGUAAGUCUUAUAGCUCUGUAUGUUACGAUUGUUAAAAAUUAAUGAUGUUAAAAUGUGUAAAAACGUAGGGUGUGAAUGGAAGGCCUCGCAUGGGGGUCACAUGUAGUUGAAAUAUUAGUAAACUAUUUGUAAAUGGGGAUUCUAUUGGAAAUUUUGUGAUCUUUUAAGAAGUUAUUGUUGCUGGAUUGGGAAGGAUAAUUAAAAUAGAAGCUUCAAGUUGAGAUCAAGGUAGAUCUCUGGUGAGCCUUUAGACCCGACUCCUGCGCAUCAUUUUAUGAUGAUUCUUUGUAUGGUUGAUGUCCAUAAAGUUGUGUAUAUCUUCUUGAUGAAUUGUUGUUGUUGUUGUUGUUGUUGUUGUUGUUGUUGUUGUUGUUGUUGUUUUUGUUGUUGUUGUUGUUGUUGUGUGUGUGAAGCAUCUGUAUGUAUGUACUGAAGUUUACAAUGUGCUACAUGAAUAUACUGAUGUGUGGUAAGCAUGCAUGAGAAGUAUGAUUCUGUUACGGGUAUAAGUGAAAUCUAUAUAAAUGUGUUUAUUAUGUUAGUUGAGUGACGCGUGACAAAGUAUGGUUGGUGAUAAGGGGGUUCAGGAGGAGUGUCAGGAAAAAUAUGUGAUGUGAUAAUAGACCCCAUAGUGGUUCUUUGAUGACUCUGCUAGGACAGUAAACACGAGAAAAGGCCAAUAUAGCAGAUAUGUGGAAAGACCAUGGCCAUGACGUAUUCUGGAAAUGACGGAUGAGUCGUAUUUGUCUACUAGGGUUUCUGCGUGUCUCGGGGGUAAUGAUGGGCAAACCUCAAAUGAUAUUGAGUUUAGGAAAAUCCAUAUCGCCAAACACAACAAUUUGUGUGGUGCCUUGGUGGCAAACUAAAUAAAGCCUUAGUGGCAAAUUUUUCUAGGAAGCCUUUAUGGCGAGUUACCUGAAAAUCUGGCAUAUUAUUUGGAAAGCCUUUAUGGCGAGUUACCUGAAAAUCCUAUAUGGCGUAUUAUUUGAAAAUCCUUAGUGGCGAAUUUAUCUGGAAAGCAUUUGUGGCAAGUUACCUGAAAAGCCUAUGUGGUGUAUUAUUUGGGAAGCCUUAGUGGUGAAUUUAUCUAGAAAGCCUUUGUGGCAAGUUACCUAAAAAGCCUAUGUGGUGUAUUAUUUAGGAAGCCUUAAUGGCGAAUUUAUCUGGCAAACCUUUGUGGAGAGUUACCUAAAAAGCCAAUGUGGCGUAUUAUUUGGGAAGCCUUAGUGGCUAAGUUAUCUGGAAAGCUUUGGUAGUAAGUCGUCUGGAAAGCCUGUAUAGUGAAAUUUGUAAUGUUUAAGUGGCGAGUUGUUAGUCUGCCUUUAUGGCGAGUUGUUAGUCCGCUUUUGUAGCGAGAUCUAGGUAUGUUUUUGAGGCAUUUUCUGAAAGAGUUCUCGGUAGUGUACUCGACUGAUAAAUCUGUCAUAUUAACCCGUCAGGACAGAGAGCUUUGCAUAUUUGUAAUUCUGGGUAAUGUAAGUGUCCGCCAAACCUGAGAAUCCUCACGUUAUGUGUCGAAGUCAUCUUGAAUUCUAUUGGAUGAUCUAAAACAUUGUAUUCAUCUGAAUAAGUUUGUUGUCUGGAUCGACUCAAAAAUACGAUGUGACUGGAACUCUGUCAAUCGUCAAAGCUAGUAUUAGAAUCCGCCCAAAGUAGUAUUUGCAUGUAUACCAUUCCAAGAAUUGUAUCUAACUUCUAUCUAAAAAAGUGAUUGUGAAAUAAGAUCUGCAUUAUGGUGUGAAGUUUGUGAUCUGCACAUCAAGCGGAAUGUGUAUAAGGUGGUUAAGUGUAGAAAUGGGCAUAUAUCUGCUAGGAAUCAGAAAAGCAUCCAUCAAAGUCUGAAAGGAAGUCUAGAAUCUUCAAGUAGAGGAAUCCAACAACAACGUUAAAGGUAAUAUUGGUUGAGACUCACUAAGUUUCGUUGGACUUACAAGCGUCUUUUUGUAACGCAAGUUCUUGGAAUUUAACCAGUGUGUCUGGAGGGACCAAGCCAAGAAUGCGCCAGGAUGGUAGUUCGAAGAUCGAUAUUAUGCAUACAGAGGGGCACUCUUGGGAACGUGACAAAUAGUACUCUACGCCAUGAAUAAAUUUGUUUUACCAAUGAUUUAAGUUGUAAUGCCUUAUACUACUUUUAAAAGUUUGUUGUAAUUAAAAAACGUUUCCUCCAAAACUUUUCUAACUUAAAAAAGAAAAUAAAUAAAUAAGAAGUAUGUUCGGUAUGAUUUUCUUUCCAGUUGUAAACUUUUUGUUAAGUAUUUAAGUAUUGUGACAUUCUAUAUCUGGGUCCGACAAAUUGGGCUGGGUAUAGAGUGUUACAAUUCAAUUUAAAUUCUGAAUGCUAACCUAUCAUUUUGCCUUCAAGACUUUAUAUUUUGAUAUUUAAAAUCUAUACUUAAAUUAAAAUAUUAUUAUCAAUAUCAACUCAAUAUCUUUUAUAACCAUAAGACAUUCUCAUAUCACUAUUUAUAUUUCAAUUUCAUGAUACAUAAGGCAUUUCGCAUAUGCAUUCUUGUUUCAUUUCUCAAUCGAAUCUAUUGAUUUGUUACAUAACAUUGGCGGUCCUCAAGGCUCAUAAUACUAAUUCCGCAUGAUCUUUCACAUGCUAUCAUUUAUCACAUAUAAACUUACAUUCAAUUUAUCAAUUUAAUAUGAAUUAUUCAUUGCCUAAUAUCACUUUAACAUAUAAAAUAACAUAUUAUACAAAUUAUAACCCCUAUUAAUCAAAUAUGGACUUCUAGACCGGAUAGACGAUUUGUAUUACCUUUGAUCAUCAAUACAAGACUGAAGUAAUCUAUAUCAUCGGAACAUAACCGGUUGAGGGUGACACCAACUUAGUAAAGCACUUAAUAAAUAGUAUAGAUAUAUAUACUAGUUUUUUUCUUUAUCUCAUGCAUUGUUUGUUUAAUUUAAAAUAUAUUUAAUAAUUCUAAAAUUUUUUAAAUGAAGUUUUAAAAAUUCGUAAAAUAAAUUUCAAAUUUUUACCUAAAUGAAGUUUUAAAUUAAAUGUUUAUUUAAAUAUAGUACAAUAGAAAAUAUAUUUAAUAUAUACAUGUUUAAUUAAUAAAUUGUAACUUGUUUUUAAUCUAUUUUAAGCAGUUUUAAAGUAUUUAUGUAAAGUUUUAUAAAAAUUACAAAAAUAAAAUAAAAUAAAAUUGUUUUAAAAUAUGCUUGUUAAGCCAUUUUAAAAUUUUUAAUUUUUUUAAAAAUAUAUAUUUAAAAAAUUGUUAUGUUAUUACUUUUUAAUAAAAAUUAAUAUUAAAUUUUUAAACAUAUUUAUUUAAAAAUCUUAUAUACGGUAUGAUUAUAUGUCUAGGAUCUGUAAUAUUGAUUAAAAAGUAAUGUAUAUAUUUUGAAAACAAAGAUCAAAUAAUUUAUAAAUUGACGGUAUUAAUUUAGAUGAAAAAGGGCAUAUUCUAUCAAAAUGAUCCCAAUGUUUUACUUUCCUUUUUUUAGUUAAUAUUUUAAUUCAACAUUAUAAUUAAUUGUUAUUUAAAACUACUGUUUUGUUUUUUGUCAAAAUGGUAUAUUUUACCUUUGAUAUAAAAUUAUUUGGCAAAAUGGUAGGAACAUUUUUAUAUUUACAUUUAAUUUAGGAAGGUAUGCUAUUUAAAGUUAUACUAUUAAUUAUUAUAUUAUUAAUCAUCUAUUACUAUAUUUUAUGAGUAUGAAAUUAUUUAUCAUUCAACUAUUCGAGAGGUUUUGUAACACCCAAAAAAUUUUGGUGGUAUAAAUAAUAUUAUUAUGAGAAUAUAAAUAAGUAAAUUUUCAAAAAGAGGGUAAGAAUUAUUACUUGAAUAGUGUAAGUGGAGUAAAAUUGGACACAAGAAUGAAAAGUAUAAAUAGAAAUUUUCGAGAAAGGAUUCAAUUGAAUUCUGGCAAAAAGUGUGAGGAAUAAAAUGUGAAUAGCGUAUAAAAGAAAAUUGGUGGGAAAGUAAUUAACUAUUUUAUGUAAAAAUGAAAUUGAAAAUAUAUAAAUAUUUAGAAUUAAAAACUUAGGGUAUUAAUUAAAUUGUAAUUGAAAAAAAGUUGCAGGACCUCAAGUAUAAUUUGCCAUUAAGUGAAAAAAUGACUUAACUGUAAUUAAACAAUUAAGAAAUAAAAAAAAUAUGAACCAUUAGAUUAAAGUUGUAAAAAUUAAAUCAUAAGCAUUGAUGAUUUAAUAACUAAAAAAAUGGAUAAAUAAAGAAAUACGAAGAAAAGUCGAGAAAUUUGGGAAAUACAUGAAAACAUUUAUAUCUCUAAAUAUAAAGCUAACUCCAAAAUGAAUAGACGUGAUUUUAGUAAUUAAUUUUUUUAAAAGAUAUAAGUGAAUGACUAAUUAUUAUUUUUUAAGAAUGAUUGAUCAAUUAAUUUUAUCUUAUUAAAAUAUAUUUAAGUAAGGUUAGUUUGCUAGACAACAACAAGAAUAGGGAAUCAAAUAUUUAAGAAAAUUGAACCCAAAAAAAAAAAAGACAUGAAAGAAAGCAAUGAUACAAGAAAACAAAAAUGGGAUAUUACCUUUCAAUGGAAAGAGUUGAAAAGGGAAUCUCUGAGUCAUACCACUAGUGAUCAUAAGAUUUGACCUUCGUCCUCUUUAAUCAUUUUCUCAACCCUUCACAAUGUUCAUUCUCAAGUAUGACUCAUUAAUUCAAUUGUGACAAAAGUAAUUUACUCGUAAGAAUAUCAAACAUAUAUACUUAACUAGGGAACACUACUUAUCUAAUUCUAUUCACAACUUCAAUAAAAGCAAAAAUGACUUUGGAAUCUCACCUCAAAAUUGUUGACAAGUGGCUUCCGAUGUCAAAGUGGAGAAUGCCCUUAUCUUCGGACACAAGUCUCAUGAAUAUUUCUUCCAAGGAAGGAAAUAUUACCGAGGUAUAAUCCUCUGAGCAGAGCCUGAAAGACUACCAAGUUCUAAAGACUUGAGUUGGGAGAAAACGAUGCCAUCCAUGACUUCAUCAGUGUAGAAAAGCUAUGAUUUCUUCUAACAUUUGGCAAUCAGUAACACUCAUUCUUGUCAGCUACACCAUGCUUUUAGCUAUUGUGAAUGUUACUAAAUUUCUGAAUCCAUGGCAUUUUGAUACUUUCGAGUAGUCAAAUGUUUGAAUGAUACAAUAUAUGGCCCUAAAUUCUUUAAUUUGCCGCAUCCCAACACUUGUAGAAAACUUCUGCAAGUGAUGGUUUGUUCUUCUAGAGAUGUGUCAACUCAGGAAAAUAAUACAACCUUAAUUCCUUCAAGCAAGCAAGUAUUCCUACAUGUUUGCUUUUAUCUCUUAUUCCUUUACAUGGAAAUAAUUCACUGAAGGUAGCCCUUUGCCAAAAGAAAGGUAUUCAAGAUUUGGUAAUGACUAAAUGAAACAAUCCGCGAUAGUAACUCAUGUUUUGGGACAAUGUAACUUUCUUAGUUUGGGACAAUAUUGUUUCGGAUCUGGUCCAUGUCCAAGCCAUACCUUCAUAUAGCCAUUCCAAACCAAAAACAAUUCUUCUAAAUUGGGGAAUGUUUCCUGAGAAAUUAAGAAACAUAUAUAUGUUAAAUAAAAGCAAAUCUUCUAAAGUGAAUGAUAAAAUAUGCAAAUCUGUUUAGAUUGACCUUUUAUUUAAUUUCUUUUAUGAGAUCUUACCUUAGUGACCCAAAAUAGGGGUUGUUGAACAGAGAUAACGGGUUGGUUCUCUCCUUGUGUUUCUCUAAAGUUGAUAUACUCCCCAGCGAAUGUCUCCACCUUGCUGCAUUCACACACCUCCAAUAGUUUUAACAAUGGCCAAUCUGUAGUAUGCACCUUGGAGUAGAAACCAAUCAAUUUGGGUAGCUUACGAAGUAUCAGCUGUCUUAUUCGAGGAAACACAAACUUGGUGGUUGAUUUGAGCUCAAUCGAUUCAUUUGAGUUGAGUCCAUGAUCGUCAGCAAGUCCAAUUAUUUCUUCAACCGACUCACAUUCCAAUAUUUGCAGAGUUUCAAGUUUUUCAAGUCUUUCCACCAUAUCAAAUGGUAAAACAUUCGAAAGUUUGUCACAGUGUUCCACCACAAGGAAGGUUAAUUCAUGAAAUGAACCCAUAGUGAGUUUAUCAUGCCAUAUCUUUCUACACUUUCCCAUGCCUACAAUUCUCAAAUCAUUCAAGCUAGGAAACGCAACCUGUGGGAAUUAAUUUAAGUUGUUAAUGAGGAAAACAAGUUAAAAUUCUACAUAGAUAUGAAAAGUAAUAUUACUACAAAAAAACAAAAGAAGAAUACCACCUUUUGGUUGAAGAGAGUAUUGGUCUCUGAGUUUUCUUGAUGGCAGAAUGUCCUUAGUUUUGGAAGCCUAAUGAACUCCAGUAUUUGUAGCUUAGUGAAUAAGUAAAUCUGAGGUAUCCCUUCUCCUGCUGCUAAUCCAUCUGUAAAUAUUAUUUCUUCCAUGUUUUUGCAAUCAAAAAGGCUAAGUUGAUGGAGCCGCUCAAAUUUUUUUGCUAAAAGGGAUGGGAAUAGAUAUUCCAAAUUGUGGCAACCCUUCACAAUUAAGAUUUGUAAGUUGAGAACAUUAGAGGAUGUAGCCCUGUCUGGUUUAUCAGGCCAUAAUAUUUUGAUGUUAGUUGAUGACAGUUCCAAGUACUGCAAGUUGGCACACAAAACCUGUAGACACAAUCCUCAUUGCAUGAAUUAUUUGGUAUUUAUCUUGAGAUUGAGCAUCAAAUAUGGGAUAAUCUUGUAAAAGUAAACUAGAUAUUCUCAAGAGUCAGACUUGUAGACUUUCCUUAAGUUGCGAUAAUCAUGAUCUUUAAUUGAGGAUAAAGAAGUGAUUACGGGAUUUAGAUAUUCAUCAAAUUUUGAGAUGAGGCAGUCUAGUCUACACGUCUUUAAAAGAAGUUGGAUCCUUCAGAGUUUAAAACUGACUGUAGUGCUAUUCUAUUUGAUAUCAGGAACCUUUGAGUAGAGUCUGAUUUUUCAAAAUUUUCAAACUCUGGGAGUGUGUUUUCUAGCCUUUGUAGGAAGGAUUGGAGUGGAAGGUGAGUGCAAACAAACUGUAUGACAUUAAGGCUGUAAUUAUCCUAGGUGAGCUUGGGCAGAUUGAGUUGUUACCAAGUGUUGUACUGAGAGUUUGUAUAGUGAUUUAAUUCUUUGAUCAAAGCCGAAGACAUAUGUUGUUUAACUGAACUGCAUAAACAAUCUCUAGUCUCCAUUCCCAUCUAUGCUUUAUUACUGUUUAUUACAUUUUUGCAUUGUCAUACCAUACCCUUACAAUUUCAUUUGAAAAAAAAGAACAUACCCUUACAAUAUUAGUUAUAACAUUCAAUUAGAACAGUCUUUAACAUAAGACAUUUUUAGUUUCUAUCUGUAGAAAUUAUGUACUAUAGUUUCUUAUUCUAUUAAUUAACUUAAUUUUCACCCAAAUAAAUUAAAAAGUUAAAACACUAAACAAAAGAGAAGAGACUAACCUUAUGAUUGAAAAAGGGUAUCUUUUCUCUGCCAACUACCUCUAUAUCCUCUUGCUCCCUUUUAGACGCCAGUGCAUACAUCUUUGGGCAAUCAUCUACUGCAAUUUCAUACAAAGAUGGACAUUGCAGGGUAAUGCUUCCCAUACAAAAACUUGUCAACCUUGAACAUGACUCAAGUCUUAUCUUCUUAAGCAUGGGUAACAAGAGUGUAGCCAUUUCAGUUUCCUCUGCUCCUUUUUUGAUAAUCUGCUCCAUUAUAGGGCAUUGUUUCACUUUUAUGUCUUCUAGUUGCGCAAGAUCUAAAGCCAUGGAAACGCUAAAUAUGUAUGUCAUGCUAUUACACUUAUAAACUUCUAAAACCUUAAGUUUCUUGAAAUCUAAACUUCCAUGAAUGUUCUCCUUCCAUAUUUCAAUUGACUUGGAAAAUUCUGAGAGGACUAAAUACCCGAUAGCUUGGAACCCAGCCUACAAAAUCCAACAACGAAACAAGGAUUAAAGGAAUAUACAAUAACGAACCCAACCCAAACCAUAUGAAACAAAGAAUGAUAUUAUGGAAUAAGCCAGAAUAACCAAAGCUAAACUAAAGGAAUAUACAAUAAUACCUUUAUUGAGUACAUUUGUUGGAUAGUGUUAUUAAGGUCACUAUACCAAUGUCCGUUAUCAUUUCCAUAUUCUACUUUUUGCAAUAAUGGUGGAUUAGUUAAAACUCCCUUACAAAAUAUCUCCAAUUCAGGGCAACCACUCACUAUUAAUUCCUCUAAACAUGGGAAUCCAAAUGUGUGGUUGCCUGAACAAAAGCUCUUAAGUCGUGGUAGAUUCACAAGUUCCAAACUUUUCAACCUGCUGAAAAUAAUGUCACAAGUUGCUUCAUCUCCCUCAGUUGCAACUAUUUCUGUCAUUGAAAUGCAGUCUCUUACCAUCAACUUCUUGAGUUGGACCAUACCUUGGACAGCUAAACAUGUAUCUAAGUAUUUCAUUGCUUCGCAAUUCCACACAUCCAAUGUGGUGAGAUUUUGAAAUGAUGCUGAGGAUGAUCCUAAGCUGAUCAAAUUGUAACAAUUGUGAACUUCAAGAGUCUCAAGUUUGGGUAGAAUGUGGUCCACUUGUACGUCUUGCUUCCAUAAAUAAUCUUUUAGAUUAUUAAGAGCUACCAAUUUUAAGUUUCUAAUUGUUGACAAAGUCCCAGCAUACAUCUCCUCAUUACCGGUAUCUCCUUCAGUACAAAAUAGCUCUUUUAUUUCAUAAUAAGAGAUAGUAAGGUUUUCAAGAGUGUAGAAUCUCUCAAGGAAAGAAAUUCGGAAAUCAAUUGAUUUACCACCGUGGCCAUGCACUUGAAAAGCUUUUAUUCCAUGAAAAAGGCUGCUUGAAAAUUGACUAUCACUUAUCAUUGCAAUGUAAUCACUAUCUAAUGUCAAAUGUUGUAGUUUAGGGAUGACCUGAAAACCAAUCAGAAAACAAUUUUGGAGUCAAUAUGUUCAUCUUCGAAUUAAGAAUUACUAAUGGUCGUGAGAAGAAAAGUGCACACAGGAAGAAUAGCAUCUGUUACAUAAAUGAAACAUCAUAUAUUUUCAAAAAAUUCUUAAUUAAUAUCAUACUCUCUUCAUCAGUAAAUUAACUUUUCUAAAUAAUAUUUCAACCUUAGUUAUCAUAAGUUUCUGUGUUAAUUAAUUAAAUAAAAAAAUAACCGACAAUAAUAGUAAACUAAGAUUAAUGGUUUAGAGUUUAAACUAAGAUUGUAGAUUUUAGAGUUCAUGGUUGGAUUUAUGAUUUAGGGUUUAGGGUUUAGGGUCGGGAUUAAGAAUUUAAGAGGGUUUCUUUUGUUUGUUCAUUAGAGUAAAAAGAAAGUUACUUUUUAAAACAAUUUAAUAUAUAGAGUGGGAGUGAGAGGAUUCAUACCUUUUCAACCAAGAAAAGCGGUGGAUGGAUUGGGGAAUCAAGUUGUGUACCUAAUAUCUUCAUUUUCCCACACUCACUUACUUCCAACUUGUUUAACAUUGGCCACUUAGCAGUAUAUUUACCUGCGUAGAAGCAUUUCAAUUCUGGUAGCCUCCAAAGCAUAAGGGCGUAUGGUUGAUCAAACUUGAAAUUGACGGCUAUUUCCGAAUCUGAUCCUUCCUCUAAUUUGGAAACAAUCUCCUCCACUCCACAAUCAGAUAUUGCAAGAUAACCGAGUUGUGGUAGGUCUUUGGCUACUGAGGCUGGAAAUACAUUCUUCAAACUUCGACAGCCCAAAACAGAUAUUGCACAGAUUUUUUUAAAUGAAAAAAUUCCUUUGGGAUCAUUUUUCCAAAUAUAUUUCAACUUUGGUAAUCCUCCAAUAUGCAAUUCUCUUAGUUGAGCGGUUGCAAGUAAAGCACUUUCUUUUUCUUCAUGCAUGAUUUCAAAUACUUGUUGUAAGGAACCACAAGUAUUUACAGUUAGACGGUGCAGCCUUUGAAAUGUUGUGAGCAUAUUAGAUGGAAAAAUGGUUAACAACUUAUCACAUCCUUCAACUCUCAAUUGUUGUAGUUUGGGAAAUGAAUUUGGUGGAAGUGGGUUUCGCCAUAUCAUCUUCAUCUUUCUCAAGUAGCAAAUUCUCAUUUCCUCCAAACUGGGAAAUGCAACCUGCACUCAUGCCAAUAUAAUGAAAUUAGAAGCUGGCUGUUUGUUUCAUUUAUUGUGCGGGUUUGUGGAAAAUAAAUAAAUGUUGAGCGUGAUUGGUAAAAAAAAUUGAGAGAAAAGAAAAUAAGAGAAAUGCCCAUUUUUCAUUCUAAUGCAUAAAAACAAAUAUUCUAAAUUGAAAUAAGAGAGAUGCUUGUUUGUUAGUCUAAAAAUAUGCAUUUUUCAAAAAUUUCAUUUUCAUUCCUCUCAUUUUCAACUGUACCAAGAAAUGAUUAAAAAGAAAUUUAUUUUUUCUUUUAAUUUUUUUCGUAUUUUUUAUCAACCACACUAUAGGAAAGAAAAAUAAAUGUUUUCUAUCUUUCUAUUUUUUUACUCCUUAAAAAUUUCAAUUUUCUAUCCACUAUACCAUUAAAGCCAAAGCCAACAAGGAGAAAAUGAGUAAACCUAAAAAUUAAGAAUUAACCCACCUUAUUGUCAAACAGAUCACCUUGACUAGAGAUUCUUCGGUUCCCUUCCCUUGUAUAUCUACAAAUGAAACCCUCCAAUUUUGGACAGUUGUAUAUCGUCAUUGACUUCAUGAAUGGAAAUUCAAUAACUUUAUUUUGGGAGUUGGAACAAAAUCCACUCAAAUGCUGAAGAUCCUUUAGCUCUAAGGACUUUAACUGAGGAAAUAAUGAUAAAGUCAUCGUAGCCUGAGUUUCUUCUUCUAUAUCCUCCAAAAGAAUUAUCUCUCUUAAGCAGUUGCACGCAGUUAUCUCAAAGUAUUUGAGAUGAACUAGAUAUUUAGCCAUAGAAAAUGAUAAUAGGUAUUUUAUGUUUCCACAACCCUCGAUUUUUAAUGUGGUUAACUUCUCAUGAGUGCAAAAAGCUACAUUCGACAACUGAUUCUGCCAUACCCUUGUAACAUUAAGCGAUGACAAGUGCAAUUUCUCCAAGGAAGGGAACGAAAUCUACAACCAUGCACAUAGUUAAUUCUACUUUCAAACAAAUAUUGUAAAAAAAUGUGUAUAUAUAUAGUUAAAGGAAUAUUUACCUUAUAAUUCUAUUUUUGCAAUUACCAAAUACAAUAAAAAAUUACAUGUUUGAAAUUUUAAUGUAUGAAUGAUUUUUAAUGGUGAUAUGCUUCCAAUUGCAAAACAUGUCAUAUUUUUUUCUAAAAAACUAAAAUUUUAUUUAUGAGAAUAAAUUUUUUUUAAAAACAUACUUAUUGAAUACACAAUACAGACAAGCUAAUAACUCAAAAAACCAAAAAUAAAGUUUGCCAACCAAUAAAAAGUGUCAUAUAGUAGAAAAAUUCUAGUAAAAAUAAAAUAUGUUGAGAGUAUUAGGGACUGAAGAACCCAUUAUAAGGACAGCAAAAGGAAAAAAACAAACAAUCUCACAUAACUAAACAACUAGAAAGAUAUAGAGUUAUAGAUACCUUUUCUCCGAAAAGUGGCAAUUCAAGUUGAGUCAAUGAGGGAGCAUCGAUUUUGUCUUGAGAGCAAAAGCUAACGAGUUGAGGAAGACCCUGCAAUGUCAAGGACUGCAAUCGAGGAAAUUCAUUUUUAUCAUUAAUGACAGAUUCAAUAUCCAAACCAUUUUGGAUAUGCAGAUUCUGCAAAUGUGAUAGGCUUUCCUCAUCUGUUAACUCCUUCAGUGCAAUCUUCCCACCUUUGAGUUCAUCCAAUUCUAAAUCUUGAGUUCUCUCUACCAACUUCUUAAUUCCAUGAUUCAAAUCAUCAAUGCUUGUGUUGAGCCUGAGUUUUAAGGUUCUUGAAUACUGAUAGUUGCCAAACCGCUCCCAUUCCUUUCCUAUGCAAAUUUUGUAUCUUUCCAACUUUUGCAACUUUUGAAAGAAGCCCUCUGGGGCAGACUUGGCGUCCGGAAUUUGAACUUCUAAAGUGGACAAAUGAGACAGUGUGUUCAGUUCAGCAAGACUAGCAUUGGGUUGUCCCCAUUGAAUAGAAGUGCCACCCAUAUAUAAUUCUUCUAAUUUUGACAAACGUGGCAAGACGUCAGCUGAAAUUUUUUCGAGUUUAGUACAACCACUUACAUCUAACAACUUUAGCUUCAACAAUUGCCCAAUUUCCUUGGGUACAAUUUUGAUAUCAGAUUGCAAAACGCUAAGCACAUUUAAGUUCUUGAGCACUCCAAUAAUGGUUAGGUUAUCUCCCAACUUGCAGUGAUCUAGGCACAAUGUACUGAGGCUAGUUAGGAGACCAAUUGAUGAAGGUAAAGAAGAAAAAUGCACGCCAGUCAAAUCUAAGACUUUAAGAUUUUUUGCUUCCUUGAAGACGUUAUCUGGCAACGUCAAGGAGAGAUCCUUGCUAAACAAAAGGAAAAGAAAAAGCUGCGGACAAUUCAACUGGUCAGGAAGCUUGUUGAUUCUAGGAUGCUGCAAAAGAAUCUUGUUGCACUCUUUCAUUGACUCUCUAUUUAGCCAAUCUGCUACAACAUCCUCAUCCUCAUCCUCAUCAUUAUCCUCCUCUGUUAAAGCAAGCACUUGAUUGUCCUUUGAAGCGAUUGAUUUGGCCACAAUAUAAGUAAGAUCGUGCACAUCAAAGUACUCCUCAUUGGUACUUUUACUAUCAAGCAACAAACAAGAUUCUUUGAGGGUACUCAUCAUUUUUAACAGCCUAUCUCGUGCUGCUUUCAUGGUGUUGACUCCUUUAAUUAGACCCAAACCACAAGCAUAUCUCAACAAGUCUUCAAUCCUAGUGUCACGACGCAGUAAACUGCAAAGCAGGAAAAUCUGCUUGAGGUCUUCACUCGAUAAAUGAUUGAUACUCAACUCAAUAGCCGAAUGUACCUCAGUAGAUAUAUCAUCCGAGCUCUUUUCUAAGUAAGACCUCUGUAAUUGUCGUAAAGCAUCACUCCAAAAAAUUAAAGGUUUAUUUCGCAACGCCCUCGCAACAGUUGCAAGGGCGAGUGGUAAUCUUGCACAUUUCUCGGCUACCUUAAUUGCUGUAGAUCGCAGCUCCUCAUCACUUUCAAAACUGUCCCCGGCCAUCUUCCUAAAGAACUUCCAAGCUUCUUCGUUUUCUAAAUCACCAAUUGCAAAGGUCUUUGUAGCAUCCAUCCCAUUGCUUAGAACAUUUUGAUCUCUUGAGGUCAACAGUAUUUUGCAUCCUUUGUGUCGACUUCCAAAUGGAAUUCCGACUUCCUCUAGAUCCAGUUUC
Molecule: long non-coding RNA, 138744 nt
Filed under: Gossypium raimondii (Peruvian cotton)
Lineage: Eukaryota; Viridiplantae; Streptophyta; Magnoliopsida; Malvales; Malvaceae
Description: long non-coding RNA (GRAI_LNC005824)
Rfam family: MIR7486 microRNA precursor family (bases 44097-44183)
Source: RNAcentral